UCAAAUUUUCAAUAUUUUUCCUUCUCAUGCUAGAGGGAACGCAUUGGUGUGACGAGGCAGGGCCUCAGCCAUGGCGUUGAGGUUUUUCUUUUGGCUUGGAAGGAACGCCCAGUGUGCAGGAGUCCUUUCAUCUGAAUUUAGAACUCUGAUGUUUCUAACAGUAUGCACAUUUGUAAAUUGCUCCAUUGAACAAAUUAGUAUACAAAGUGCUCUUCCCAUCAGGUUAUUCUCAGCCAUCGUGUGGAUAUUUUUAUUUUGGCCUAGAAGGAACGUCCAGUGUACAUGUGUCCUUUCCUGUGAAUUUAAAACUAUGAUAUUUCUAUUAGUAUACAAGUUUGUACAUUGCUCCAUUGAGCAGGUUAGUAUACAAAGUGCUCUUCCCAUCAGCUUGUUAUAUAUGUAAGCGCUACAAUUUCAAUCCACCAUUGGGUAUGCCUUUAAUUGGCAAAGUUUAUGAUAGAUAUAGAAGCAUCCGCAUUUAAUAUCUUCGUAUCUUAAAUAUGUUAGAAUUUUAGCUGCUAUUUUAUUUAUGAAACACAUAUAAGUAGAUUGAUGUUGACCGAUUCAUAUAAUGAUUCGCUAAUGUGGCCAAAUAAGUUAUUUCAUGCAGUACAUUCUACGUGCUUCUUUACAUAUUGUUGUUAAUUAAUUGCCCUAAGAGAUCUUGAUUUUGCAUUUGUAUACAUUUUUCCUGCCUGCUGCAUCCUGCCGAUUUGGAGAUGGUAUAAUAACUUAUUAUGGCGCCAAUCUAUUUUGUAAUUGUGCAAGUUUAGUGUUCAGUACAGUUGUUUCGAUGCAUUAGGAUACGUCAAUUUUCACAGUAAAAAAAAUACUCUUUAAUGUUUCCUUAAGUUUUGUUACAAGAUCUCCAUAAGAUAUAUAUGAUUUUGGUUAGUCCAUUCCACAUUGUCUGCCAUAGGUAUUGGCAAUUUAAAUACGGUCAUUUUGUUGAUGCAAUUGCAAAUUAAUUGUGGUGGUUAUUUGUAUCGAUUCCAAGUCUAACUGAACAUAGUUCCUUUUCGUAGGUAACUUGUGUAGCUAACAUGUAACAUUCAUAUUAGUGAGGAUGGUUUCUUCAUAUAUGGAGUGUUAAGGAUAAGACAUCGGAUAUCACCGAAACAUAUAGCAACAAUUUCAUGCAGCAACGUGCGGGGUAUUAUUUAGUUCUUAUAAAUCUUACCAACUAUAGCUUUUGCUAAAAAAACAACUAUAUAGCUAACCUCAAAGAUGUAAAUCCAAACAACUAAAAAAUAUCAAACCCCGGUGUCAGGUUUUGCUUAUAACCCUUCGAGGUUCAUAAACCAGCAUAAAAAUCAUCCCUUUUUUCUCAGUAAUCACCAGCUAUGAUAAAUCUCAAGCAUGUGCAAAACAUAGCCAAAAAUAAUUUCGACGGGGCAUAUCAAAUCCCACUAACGCAACACAGCGAGAAUUCUUACUCAAUAAUCUGAAACAUACCAAUAAUGAAACUUUUAAUGAUGUCUAGAAGACCUAGGAAAUGGCAAUGCCAUGUCAUCUUUCUGAAAAUCAUUCUUAAUUUUGCCACGAUGAAGACUUUUGAAUAUCCCUCCUCGGUCAAUGUAACACACCAUCAAAUAGUUAAGCCAGCCACCAGACAUCAUAUUGCGCAAUUCGGUCUUAAUGAUUUUCGUUGCUGAGAAGGCUCUUUCAAUUGUUGUAGUCACUACUGGUACUAGCAAUGCCAACUCAAUGAGGCGAUAAAUCAUAGGAAACAUGAUGUAUUGUUCUAGUUCAACUAUCUUUUUAUCCAGGCUUGCAAUACCAUGACAAGUUUUCAAUCCUUCUCGUAUGAAUAUGAAUAGCUCAAGGUUAUCUUCUAUAUGUUCACGUUCAUACUUAGAGAAAUACUCUUGAUAAAUCUCUAUGAGUCUCAAGCUUUUUCACAUUGAACCCAGAAAAUAAGUCUCUAGGGUCAAGACAAGAGAAGUUCUAGAGCAGCUCUAAAGAUACCUCAUUAAAAUGAUGAUCAGCCUUUGUGGCGAUGGAGUCUAUAGCAGCAUAGAAGGUGUCCACAUGGAAAAAUGAUCAAUAGUGACAUUGUUUGACCCACCUUUUCUUGAUUUUCCCCAUUUAAUAAAUAUGGCAUCCAUAUUUAGUAUCUGAAUUCCAUUUUUUGGUGCAAAAGGCUAUAACAUCUUAAAAGAGUGGAUCCCAACCAUCAUUUCUUCGUUCCCAUAUCUGUAACCAAACACAUUGCCUAGAAUGAAACAAUUACAAUUUUGGAUGCAUGUAUGUUUACAUGAACAGAAUAUCAAGCAAACUGGAUACAUAUAACAUAAUCCAUCACAUACCUGAACAACUUAUUCAACAACCAAAACCCAAUUUGGAGAAGACAACAUGACCAAAUUUAUCAUCCCAUCGGCCAGGCAUAAAAAGAUAUCAACCUAAUCAAUAAGUCAUAUACUUUUGUGCACCAUAUUCCAACCAAACAAAGGCUACAUUACAUAGUUUCACAUAUGAACCAAGAUGUCAUCCAUCUUUGUUUUCCUAAAUCUACAACACAAUCACUACUAACUACAAUUGCAUAAUACAAGUUGUUUAAAAUUCAUAGAAAUAUACCUCUGCCUCUCCCCUUUUCCAUUGGCUUUUUCUAGCCCCUUACCUCUCUAUCUUCUGUCAGGUGUUGGCAACAAACGCAACAAGGCACUGCACCAUACCGAUCAUGAAGGAUGUGAAGCUUGCUUCCACUAACUGCUAGGCCCCACCCUCCAUCGACGCUCGUUGUGCAGUACGCCCUACACAGUUGCACCCAACCACCCGCUUGCUCGAGGCCCUUAUUUGUCGUUAACUGUCAUGUUGUGUGAUGGUAUGUGGCGUCCUAGCCAGCCGCCGCCCUAGCUAGGUUUUGGAGUGAAGCAUGUGCGUCUCGGUCUUGCGAUUUGCGCCCCAUGCAUGCACAUCGUCAGUGGCACUGGGUUCUUGCUCAAUCUACAUGUGGCCCAACUACGUCUUAGAAUCUUAGUGGCCCAUUCUCAGGUGAGCGGGGCUCUUUUGUCCGUUAGAGGCAAGAGUGAGCAUAGGUAGAAAUAAUUACAUCGAGUUAAGGUAUGGUGGGAACAAGACGUUGCUCACUAGAGUCCUCCGCCGUCGAGUAGAUGGCCAUGCGUCCAGGGAACAUUGGGAGAGCCUAUCAAUACUAAUCCACCUCGACGCCACCCCACCGACAAUCAUCAUCGAGUAGAAGCCGCAACCAGACAUCGGUGAUGAAGAUGGUGGCCGACAACACAAAGGUGGACUAAGAUGAGGUCUCAAGUAGCCUCUGGACACAAAGGAUCAACGGCUCGUUUACACAAAGGAUCAUGUAGAACAACAUGCGCUGAAGAGGAAUAAGCCCCUUGAAUGGGUGGUGGCCUCCUUAUAGAAGCUGAAGCAACACUAAAAACCUGACUGCCUGGGAUUUGCAUCCGAAGACCGAAAGUGGGCCUCCAAGAAAGGAGGUUGAGAUGGAUGUCUUCCUCUGCUUGCACAGGGAUUUGACAGACUCCCCACUAGUUUGAUUUGUAGAUGUGGUUGAGGAAAUCUCGAACUCAAGUGAGGAGAAAUGAUGCCUAUUCAUUAAAGAAGAAAGAAUAUGCACCUAUUCGAAAGGACCAUGCAUGCUUUUCUGUCCAGGAGACCAAAAGUGAAGCACGAGAUCUCUGUUCAGGGUUUUAUGUGUCUCUGGAUAUCGGGUAGGGAUAAAAUGGCAGGUGAUUAAGGGAUAGGGUAAGGGCAACGAUCCAGUGAGAUCCUAGACACAACCCUUGGCCGACAUCUUGGCACCACCGUGGUGCCGAGAAUAAAAAAGUAUGAAGAAAUCACUCAAAGGGAAGGGGGUUAUUUAGAAGGGCAUGUUCGGGACGAACCCAACAGAAGCCAUCGAUGAGAAAGCCCAUGACAAAGACCAUGCUGAGGACGACCAUGAGAGGAGCUCAACGGUGCCUCCACUCAUUGUGGAACACCCGGAUCUAUCCAUUAAGGACGCAACCACUCUAAGAAACAAACCUACAACUAUAAAACAGUAGCGGGACCCACCCCCCUGACACCUCACCGGUAUGGGGAGGAGGAUAAUUUCAAGAGGGUUGUGGAGAAGAGAGGCAGAGAGAACAAGGCGAGAGGGGGUUGAGGUGCUUGUGAGCUCUGUUUGACCUCAAUCAGUUUUAGAUGUCAAUUCACAUCGUCGGUAAGAUAGACACGAUGCGUGUACAUACAUCUAUUGCCAAGUAUAGUUGCUAAUCAAUACAAUGGCAUGGCAGUAAAUAUUUUUGAUUGAUUCCCAAUUUGAGAUGUAACUAGACAAACAAGACCUAUAAAUUGUUCUUCAAUACUUGAGUUGUAACUCGGGUCAUUACAUAGUCAAGAAACACGUAAAUCAUUCUUGUUCAAUUUUACUACUAUAGCUAAUAUAAAAGACGUAAAACCCAAACAAAUAAAAAUAUGUAUCUAAAAUAUAAAAUUGUGAACUGAGCAUAGCUCAGAUGGUUAGUUCCUUGUGCUGGAAUUAGCCCACCAGGGUUCAAGUCCUACACUUAGCACCCGUGCUCGCAUUUUUCUGGAUUUAUUUCAAGUCUCCUGGCGAUGUUCGUUUAGUGGGAGAGGGGACAUUUCCGUUGGGUAUGAAGCGCCAGUGGUGACUUCAUCCAUCUCAAGAUUUUGUGUCCGCUUGGUAUUUUGAAGGUGCUCAUAGAAAUAGGUAGUGCGUACAUGGAUUCAUAUGGGUGAGUAUAUGUGCAUAUGUGGUUGUACUAUGUUAAAAAAAUCGUACCAUGGUCAUAUUUUGCUUAUAAACAUCUUAGGUUCAUAUGUGAAACAUAUAAAUCUUUUUAUCAAUUAUCACCAACUAUGAUAAAUCUCAAUCAUGUACAAAACAUAGCCUAAAAUAUUUUCCACAAGCCAUAUCAAACACCAAUAACGGAGCACAACAAGAAUAUUUACUGAUCUUGGAUUUUAAACAUCUUUUGUAUUGUCUAAUACUCAUCCGUUUCAUAAUGUAGUGUGUUAGAUUUUUUUGAAAAGUCAAACUUUGCAAACUUUGACCAAGUUUGUAGAGAAAACUAUUUAUAUCUACAAUAUCAAAUAUAUAAAAUAUGAAACUACAUCUUAUGUUGAAUCUAAUGAUAUAUGUUUGACAUUUUAGAUGUAAAUGUUUUUCUCGAUAAACUUGGUGAAUGUUUGUGACAUUUUACUUUUCAAAAAAAUAUGCACUGCAUUAUGGAACAGAGGGACUACGUGUAAAGGAAUGUGUAACCCAUAUAUUUUAUCCUAUGUCACAAACUGAGCCAUGACAUGGCAUAAUGGCAUACAACAUUUGUUCACCAGCUUAAUUCGCAAAACUCAAAACCAUAAUGCAUCAUUAGUUUUUUCUUGAUCAUUGAAUUAGAGUUGUCAUUUGCAUCAUGAGAUAAGAUAUGUUAAGUUUUUAUCACUUGGCACUAGUUAAAGAAAUUCUUAGAUACAUAACUCUAUAACUUUGUGGCCUUUGGCUAUAUAAUAUCUUGAAAUGACAAUGCAAGUUCUUUUAAUUUAUGGUCCGACAGCCAAUAGUCGUGUAGAUUAUUGGUGUUAGUUGUGGCUAAGGAAAGCAAAAUCUCAAAAAUUAUACAAGGGAUAUGAAUAAAACAAUUGCCUCUCAUUUUUUGGAAAAUGCCAAACCACACCACAAUGAUCAAUUUUGCUUGACCAUGUAUCCGGGUUAUUCAUUUAUCAUCAAAUAAUCAAGAAAGGUUUGAGUCUAUUUUUUAAUCAAUUGCCCGACGAAAUUUUUAAAACCAUAGCAAAUCAUAUAUACCACCAUGUUAUAUGUGUACUAUUAAAACUGUUAUUCGUGAGAAAUGUCAAUCAUGUUUGUUGACAAAAUGUCACAAUGUAUAACUAGGGAAGAAUGUUAAUCACGUGAUUAGUUAGUGGCUAACUAAUCGCAUCUUCAUCUCCUAUUGCAUAACUACUAAUUGGUAUCUUUAGAAAAUAACUAAUGGGUGAAAGCUACUAGUGUAUACAUGUCCAUCUCCUCUUGAAUCACUGAUGAUUUGUAUCUUUAGAAACUAACUAAUGCAUCCUAGUUUCUGUAGUUUUCGCGCUCGAAUACACCUGCACCCAGAUGAUCAGUAAAAUCCGGAAAAAAUGGUGAAAAUAUUUUAAAAAACUGAUUGACAACAAACAUGCUUGAGUAUUAUACUCCCAUACAAAUUUGAUGGAAACAACAUUCGACGUGUCUAGGGAAAAAAACAAAAAUUGUACUCCGAGAAUGCUAUUUUUGAAGCAUUAUUGGAGUGCCUAUAUUUUUUUACCCAAAGAAUGUGAAUGUCAUCUCUUCACAAAAAAUAUGCGUAAGGAGAACACUUAAGAAUGUUUCUCUCCAAAAAAAACUUCAAAUUUUUCUUGCUAUGCAUGUCCAUCUACGAUCAGAAUGACACUUUCACAUCUCCUCUUGCAUCACUAUGGGCUAACGUUAACUAUGUGUUUAACUUGGAGUAAAAUGCAUAGGUGGAUUGUCAAAGAGGACAUGAAUAUUUCUUAGUGAUAGACUAACCCCAGAUGACUUUGAAUUUCUUAUGGUUGUAAUCAUUAACCGUGUAGUUCAUGAGUGGAGGGAAUUAUUUUGCAAAGAAUUCUUAGACAUAGAUCACUAGAACUCACAACCUCCCGUGAACUCACACCCUCCCAUGAACACCCACCCUUCUGUAUGGCUCAAGCGGCAAUGCUACACACCAAGCCAUACCAUGACUGCAUCCAUCAGUUACAAAUAUGCACUAUCUCCUAUCCAACUACACGGCUGGCAUUUGCUAGCUAGAACUCAUUAGCUUCUAAAGGUAUACUAUUAAUUUCUCAAUAUAUACAUGAUUAAUUUCUCAAGAUUUACCAUAAAUAUAUACGCAUUUAUUUGGAGAUUUCUUAUUAUGACCUGGAUUUAUCUCAAGAGAGAACUCAUAUAUAGGAAAAUAGUUGUAUCUAUCAAAUUGUUGAGUAUGUACGCGUAGUAUGCAGUAUAUAAGAAUGUUUAGGUAGUAUAGAUACUACUAUUUUGGUAGUAUGUAUCAUAUUUUGAGUAUGCUUCUUUUUACGUACAAAUAUGUACAUAUUUCACAAAUAUAAUAAAAACAAUGGGUCAACUUGCAGUUUUUUCAUGUAACUUACUUUGAAGUAUCUUAUAUAUAGUGUAUAAACAUGCUUAUAAUGAUAAAGUAUUAUAUAUAUAUAUAUAUUACUGCAUAAUAGUAUGUGAGACAUGAGGGUAACUAACCCCAGGUGGUAGGAUGUACUUUCCAUAUAUAGAGCAACACUAUUCUGAUCUUAGGAUCAUAAUAAUAUUCAAAUUACCGCGCGCCCUAUAUAGGCCCUGAUGGACUUGUUCCCGAACUCCUCACCUGCAGAGACAAAAGAAAAAAGCAACCCACCCGCCCGUCUCCACCUUCCUCCGAAAGCCACCAGCCGUUGGGAUCCUACCGCUGCACUCUGCGCGCCGAUGGCUACCGAGUCCCGACGCUCCACCCAGCACGCUGCCAGCCGUUGUUUCAUGCUCGUCGAUACCCAGUUGUUGCCCGCCGCCGCGUGCAUCCCCAGGCGUUGCCUCCCUCGCACCGUUCCCUAUCUCACCACCCCUUGCCCCGAUUCACCCGCCGGCCUCCGCCACUUCGUCGGGACCAGAUAACCGGCCGCCGUGCCUCCAAGGCCAAAGAAUACGGUCAUUGUCCCACCUUCCUAGUUCCUACCCCAUGCAGUGUCCCUCCUUCCUCCCCCGACCGCACCCGCCUUCAAUGCCAAAAAAUACAGUUCCCGUCCCACCUUACUACCCUGUCUGCGGACCCACCUUCCUCCUCAGGCUGGGUUUCGGCGCCCCACCUUCCGCCUCCGGUCGGGCGCACGACUCGUCUGCUGCCGCCACACAACUUCCCCCAUCGCCUGCAUUUCCCGUAGAAAGCGGCUGCCAUGUGGCGAGUGGCUGCCACUUAAUCACUCUGCGGCUUCACACCACACUGAUUGAUGACAUGGGUCGAGGUGGAGUGGUUGGGUGAGGUAGUUUUGCCUCCGUGAGUCCCGGCAGGCCCUGCCGGGACGUCUUGGACAUUUUCUUCCGGAGGCGACCCUGCCCUCACCGAGCUCGUCUGCCCGGCAAGGGAGGCUUUUCUACUGGUGGUUCUUGCUUCUCUGACUUGAUCUUGCUCCUCUUGAUCUGCAUGCUGGUCAUUCGAAGAUCUCAGUCUCCUGUACUCUGGUAUGGCCUGGUGCCGUAAUUUCGCUCCCGUGCCUGUGUACAGUAUGGGAAACAGACACAGGGUUUGUUGCACCGACAGAAGCCCCCGGGCCUGCCCUGAUCACGCUGCUGAGCAUCAUCAGGGUAGGCCCUAAUAAGUGCACAGGNNNNNNNNNNNNNNNNNNNNNNNNNNNNNNNNNNNNNNNNNNNNNNNNNNNNNNNNNNNNNNNNNNNNNNNNNNNNNNNNNNNNNNNNNNNNNNNNNNNNNNNNNNNNNNNNNNNNNNNNNNNNNNNNNNNNNNNNNNNNNNNNNNNNNNNNNNNNNNNNNNNNNNNNNNNNNNNNNNNNNNNNNNNNNNNNNNNNNNNNNNNNNNNNNNNNNNNNNNNNNNNNNNNNNNNNNNNNNNNNNNNNNNNNNNNNNNNNNNNNNNNNNNNNNNNNNNNNNNNNNNGGGGGGGGGGGGUGCUGAAGAGGCUGGUUUCUUGAGGUCUUCUUCGCUCCUUCAUUAAUCUUGAGCCCGGGCCAGUUUCCGAUUUCUCCGCACGUCAUAUGUGACGUUAUGAAAAAACUCAGAUCGUGGUCCGUCGGGCCCGGGCCAGGUCUACCCUCAUCUUUCAUCCAUGAUUUAUUGUUUGUCGAAGAAACAAAACUAAGUUGAGGUAUUGCUUUCUCAUAUGUGAAUGAGAUGCCAUGUAAAAAAAGUAUAGUAGAAGAGAAAUUGCUUUGUUGUUGUGCUUGCACAACUAUGUAAUUUUUUUGUUUUUGCGAAGGUGAAAAUGGUGUGUUUGAGAAGGUCAAAGUAUGCUGAGUACAUAUUGUCAUUUUUGCAACCACCGAAGGCAAACAAUUGUAAAUUUUAGUAUGAAUGUGACUCGAAGUUCUCUGGAAAAUUAGUAAUAAAAAAUAUGGAUGUCCAGAAUGUACUAAGGGAUGCAGGCCAGGGUGUUGAUUUUCUAUAGAUUUUGCACGGGACUGUAACUUUGUAUAAUUUGCAGCACCCUGUGAUAGGUGGAAACUUGUUUUUUCCUUGUGAUAUUACCACUUCAAAGUCGUGGGGAAAGUCCUGCUUCUAAAGGUAUACUAUUAAUUUCUCAAUAUAUACAUGAUUAAUUUCUCAAGAUUUACCAUAAAUAUAUACACAUUUAUUUGGAGAUUUCUUAUUAUGAGCUGGAUUUAUCUCAAGAGAGAACUCAUAUAUAGGAAAAUAGUUGUAUCUAUCAAAUUGUUGAGUAUGUACGCGUAGUAUGCAGUAUAUAAGAAUGUUUAGGUAGUAUAGAUACUACUAUUUUGGUAGUAUGUAUCAUAUUUUGAGUAUGCUUCUUUUUACGUACAAAUAUGUACAUAUUUCACAAAUAUAAUAAAAACAAUGGGUCAACUUGCAGUUUUUUCAUGUAACUUACUUUGAAGUAUCUUAUAUAUAGUGUAUAAACAUGCUUAUAAUGAUAAAGUANNNNNNNNNNNNNNNNNNNNNNNNNNNNNNNNNNNNNNNNNNNNNNNNNNNNNNNNNNNNNNNNNNNNNNNNNNNNNNNNNNNNNNNNNNNNNNNNNNNNNNNNNNNNNNNNNNNNNNNNNNNNNNNNNNNNNNNNNNNNNNNNNNNNNNNNNNNNNNNNNNNNNNNNNNNNNNNNNNNNNNNNNNNNNNNNNNNNNNNNNNNNNNNNNNNNNNNNNNNNNNNNNNNNNNNNNNNNNNNNNNNNNNNNNNNNNNNNNNNNNNNNNNNNNNNNNNNNNNNNNNNNNNNNNNNNNNNNNNNNNNNNNNNNNNNNNNNNNNNNNNNNNNNNNNNNNNNCAUAAUAGUAUGUGAGACAUGAGGGUAACUAACCCAGGUGGUAGGAUGUACUUUCCAUAUAUAGAGUAGCACUAUUCUGAUCUUAGGAUCACAAUAAUACUCAGAUUACCGCGCGCCCUAUAUAGGGCCUGAUGGACUUGUUCUCGAACUCCUCACCUGCAGAGACAAAAGAAAAAGGCAGCCCACCCGCCCGUCUCCACCUUCCUCCGAAAGCCACCAGCCGUUGGGAUCCUACCGCUGCACUCCGCGCGCCGCCGGCUACCGGGUUCCGACGCUCCGCCCAGCACGCUGCCAGCCAUUGUUUCAUGCUCGUCGAUACCCAGCUGUUGCCCGCCGCCGCCUGCAUCCCCAGGCGUUGCCUGCCUCGCACCGUUCCCUAUCUCACCACCCUUUGCCCCGAUUCACCCGCCGGCCUCCGCCAUGUCGCCGGGACCAGGUAACCGGCCGCCGUGCCUCCAAGGCCAAAGAGUAUGGUCAUUGUCCCACCUUCCUAGUUCCUACCCCAUGCGGUGUCCCUCCUUCCUCCCCCGACCGCACCCGCCUUCAAUGCCAAAAAAUACAGUUACUAUCCCACCUUCCUACCCUGUCUGCGGACCCACCUUCCUCCUCAGGUUGGGUGUCGGCGCCCCACCUUCCUCCUCCGGCCGGGCGCACUACUCGUCUGCUGCCGCCCCAUAACUUCCCACAUCGCCUGCAUUUCCCGUAGAAAGAGGCUGCCAUGUGGCGAGUGGCUGUUAAUCACUCUGCGGCUUGACACCACACUGAUUGACGACAUGGGUCGAGGUGUAGUGGUUGGGUGAGGUAGUUUUGCCUCCGUGAGUCCCGGCAGGCCCUGUUGGGACGUCUUGGACGUUCUCUUCCGGAGGCGACCCUGCCCUCACCGAGCUCGUCUGCCCGGCAAGGGAGGCUUUUCUCCUGGUGGUUCUUGCUUCUCUGACUUGAUCUUGCUCCUCUUGAUCUGCAUGUUGGUCCUUCGAAGAUCUCAGUCUCCUGUACUCUGGUACGGCCUGGUGCCAUAAUUUCGCUCCCGUGCCUGUGCACAGUCUGGGAAACAGACACAGGGUUUGUUGCACUGACAGAAGCCCCCGGGCCUGCCCUGAUCGCACUGCUGAGCAUCGUCGGGGUAGGCCNNNNNNNNNNNNNNNNNNNNNNNNNNNNNNNNNNNNNNNNNNNNNNNNNNNNNNNNNNNNNNNNNNNNNNNNNNNNNNNNNNNNNNNNNNNNNNNNNNNNNNNNNNNNNNNNNNNNNNNNNNNNNNNNNNNNNNNNNNNNNNNNNNNNNNNNNNNNNNNNNNNNNNNNNNNNNNNNNNNNNNNNNNNNNNNNNNNNNNNNNNNNNNNNNNNNNNNNNNNNNNNNNNNNNNNNNNNNNNNNNNNNNNNNNNNNNNNNNNNNNNNNNNNNNNNNNNNNNNNNNNNNNNNNNNNNNNNNNNNNNUUCUUGAGGUCUUCUUUGCUCCUUAAUUAAUCUUGAGACCGGGCCAGUUUCAGAUUUCUCCGCACGUCAUAUGUGACGUUACGAAGAAACUCAGAUCGUGGUCCGUCGGGCCCGGGCCAGGUCCACCCUCAUCUUUCAUCCAUGAUUUAUUGUUUGUCGAAGAAACAAAACUAAGUUGAGGUAUUGCUUUCUCAUAUGUGAAUGAGAUGCCAUGUAAAAAAAGUAUAGUAGAAGAGAAAUUGCUUUGUUGUUGUGCUUGCACAACUAUGUAAUUUUUUUUGUUUUUGCGAAGGUGAAAAUGUUGUGUUUGAGAAGGUCAAAGUAUGUUGAGUACAUAUUGUCAUUAUUGCAACCACCGGAGGCAAACAAUUGUAAAUUUUAGAAUGAAUGUGACUCGAAGUUCUCUGGAAAAUUAGCAAUAAAAAAUAUGGAUGUCCAGAACGUACUAAGGGAUGCAGGCCAGGGUGUUGAUUUUCUAUAGAUUUUGCACGGGACUGUAACUUUGUAUAAUUUGCAGCACCCUGUGAUAGGUGGAAACUUGUUUUUUCCUUGUGAUAUUACCACUUCAAAGUCGUGGAGAAAGUUCUGCUUCUCAUGUUGUUGUACUGCGAACAAUAUAUACACAAAAAGGAUAUAAUGCAUACACAUAAAAGUUCUGGAUGCUUAAAAAAGAUGUUGAAGAUCAUUUACCAAACUUCAUUUUAGUCCAUUAUGUAAUACGACACAAAAUAAUUGGUACAAGAAAGAUAAGACAUUUAAAAAAUUGGGUGAAAAGGGAGAGAGGGUUAGAGCAAAAAAUUAUUAACAAAAGCCACACCCAUAAAAAUUGUUAACUUUAGAAGUUCAAAUUCAAUAAAGCUGAGAGUUCAGGAAUAAUAAUAAAAGCAAAAAGGUGACACACAGAUGUUUGUACAGAUUUCCUCCAUGUAUUUCCUCGUUACUAGUAAUAAACAAAACGUCCAGAUAUCCCUUGUUUGCAACAACCCGAGUAAAUAAUUAUUUUUCAUUUUUUCUUGAAGUUCAAACUGGUGAACCCAGGCCGUUCAAUGUUGCGAACCCAGGCCAUUCAAGUCCCCUGAUCUCCCUCGUUUCUAAAAAAGGAUUUUCCCCAUUUUAAAUUUGAAGUUAUAAAAAAGGAUGUUCCCCGUUUCUAAAAAACUAGAAGGUCAAAUUAAAAUAAGGGAGUGGUUCAAUGUUUUUCAUUUUUUACAAAACUUGGAUUUUUGACAUUAAUGAAAAAUAAAACAAGAAGUCCAAAUUAAAAGAUGGAGCAAUUUAAUGUUUAUAAAAAACUCAGGUUUUCAUCGUUACUAAAGAACAAAACCAAGAAGCCCAAAAGGGAUUUUCUUCAAUACUAAAGAAUAAAGCCAUGAAGUUCAAAUUUGUAAAACGAAGUAGUUUAACCUAUAUAAAAAACUCAGAUUUUCCUUGUCAAUAAAGAAGAAAACCAAGAAGUUCAAUUGAAAAAAGCGGAGCAGUUCGAAAAUUAUAUAUAGGAAAAUAGUUGUAUCUAUCAAAUUGUUGAGUAUAUACGCGUAGUAUGCAGUAUAUAAGAAUGUUUAGGUAAUAUAGAUACUACUUUUUUGGUAGUAUGUAUCAUAUUUUGAGUAUGCUUCUUUUUACGUCCAAAUAUGUACAUAUUUUACAAAUAUAAUAAAAACAAUGGGUCAACUUGCAGUUUUUUCAUGUAACUUACUUUGAAGUAUCUUAUAUAUAGUGUAUAAACAUGCUUAUAAUGAUAAAGUAGUAGGGUAACUAACUCCAGGUGGUAAGAUGCACCUUCUUCUAAUCCCAGGAUUAGAAUAAAUCACGGCGCGCUGUAUAGGGCCCGAUGGAUGUUCCUGAGAUCCGAAAAUUCCACCGAACAGAAUAAUAAAAUAAUCCCCCCGUACCUCCCCACGCCCCCACUUCCUCCCCGAUCCAGCCACCAUGCCCACGCCCCCACUCCCUCUCCCAUCCAGCCACCCACCAUCGUCGGCGUCGGCCCACCAACGCCCCGGGAAUCGGCUGCCGCACCGCCCCCGCUCCGAAAACCGGCCACCGCUUCCCUCCCUUACCGCGCCGCCGCCGCCGCUUCCCUCCCCGGACUGCGCCACCGCCGCUGUCACCCUCCACGGAUCAUGCCACCGCCGCCUCCCUCCCCGGAUUGCGCCGCCACCGUCCGCCGCUAGCUACCGCUGCCUGUGCAGUCCUUCGCUAGCUACCGCUGCCUCUGCAGUCCUUCGCUAGCUACCGCUGCAGUCCACUGCUAGUUCUUGCGGGGGAGGCAGUGCUGCUCCGGCUACCCAUGCGUCACCGGCUGCCGCCGCGAACGGCGUCCGGACGCCAUCACGUACUGCCCCCCGGAGCCGCCUCCAGCGCGUACCUACUACAGCCUCAGGACAAACCUCUUCCACGCGGGCGACUGGCCGCUCAAACUUCCCCUCGCCGGCCGUCAUGGGCCUCUGUAUCCUCUCAUGGCGGCUCCUCCCCUGUGGCACAAGCAAGGUCAACUGCGACUGGAUGAGACUCAAAAAAUGGUGGUACGUACUGGAACAAAUACUCCUGGCAUACCCAUGUCGUUGGCAGCAAAAGGUAUUUCAGUUACUAGUUCUUCCAUAUGCUAGAGGAAUUUCUUUCAACCCACCUUGAGCAGAGCUCGUGGCAUCAAUUCUUCAUUGUUCUGUGUGAAAAUUUAUGAGCAGGAAGGAAUAGUUCUGCCCGAUGAGCAGUUCCAGUUGAGUUCUCCCUACAGAUAGUUUGACUUUUAUUUUCAAGCAUUAAGUUAUCCUAGAUAUUUGAUUGGUACUCCACCUUGCAAUCAAGGAAGCUCUGAAAAUGAAACACGUGAUGUUUGAUACACCUUGGUACACCACGACUCAAGCUCUCUGCAUUUUUUGUUAAAGGUCAUCGGGCUGGGCACCGGCUGCUUAUGUGUUGUACGCCUUGGGCGUCCCUGUGCUGGUGAUGAGCGUGAUGGCCGUGCAUUGACCUGCAUCGCCUGUCCGAACUGUGCCGGCCAUGCGUCCGACAACCUCGUCCAUCCCUGAUCACCUCUUCCGCGCAAUCAGCGGCACAUACACAGACAUGCCUGUGCUGUAUUAUACUUGAACUUCAGAGCUUCUGAACUCUCUGAAUCGGUGUGCAUGUUUUUAUAUUGUGUCAUUGCAUAGCUCCACCACUGAAUUUGGAAAUUCAGUCAAUGCUUAAACUUGAUAAAAAAGAGCAAGAAACAGUGACAGAUUAUGUGUGUUUUUCACGGAAGUGAGCUGGGAAUUUAGAUCUUCCUUUUCAUAAUAUUAAGGGCAUCGAUCAUUCAACUAUUUAUGUUAUCCUUCAUGCUCUGACUUGAGUGAAGUUAUGUGAACUAGCAUAGUAUAUUGUAAUUUUCUGAUUUUGAGUCGUGGCAUAUAGUCCUCACACAAAGUAGUUGCAAAUAUAUUGAAGUAUAUUAUGCACAUAGUUAUCCUCCCUAAUGCCUAAACUGGUACCUUUUCAAUCUUUGUGUUGACUACUAAACAUAAUUAUUGUAGGUCUUCCCUGACCCAUGGUCACGCGAAAGCGGUGCUGCUUCGGCAAGCUCCUCUGUCCCCCGAGCACAGUGUUGUCCAUGACGGUCUCCUCCCUCCUGUUCCCUCAGCGAGGAUGAUGUCAAUUUUUUGCGAAACAGAAAGUUAUGUAGUUCUUCAGUAUAUGUCCAUAGAAACCUAUGACAAUUUCUUCAGUAGCAGUUCAACAGAAAAUCCUGCUGUAGUUCUUGAGUAUUGUUCCAUUAGAAUUUCAUGUUAUCUAAGUAUUUUUAGUACUUGCUAUUGCAGAUAAGUGUUUGUUAGAAUUGACAUUCUGUUAGUAAAGUACCAUUCUUCAGUAUAUGUUCUGAAAAUUUCAUCUUUUGUGUGCCUGGUGUGAAUCGUUGGUCUUCUCUCACUUUUGCUCCUGGAUUAGAGGUAGCAUGUUGAUUUUCGCACUUGAUGAAGAACAUAUCCUAAAAUGUGAAAAAAAUUGUUCCCCAAUGAAUAAUUUAUUGUCGUAAAGAUCUAUUUUCUUCCAGAGUGAUGAAGUUUUGCUCCUAAACAAAGAACUUUAUGUUGGUCCUGAAUGAGGAGGUAGUAUAGGGAACUACAUGUACGUGUUUUUCCAAAAACUUUCUUAAACCAUUUUUGAUGAAGUAUAGGGAACUUCAUGUACGUGUUGCUCCCAAAACGAUAUGAAACUUUGUGUGUACAAUUUUUUAAUAUACAAUAUUGAUUGAGAACUAAAAAGGGCAUGCUUUUUUAAUAAUCUAGAAGUUCAACGACUUCCACAUAGAAAGUUCAAAGGACAUUAUUUUUUAGGGAGAACACAUCCUGCCUAGAAGAUGCAUAUGGAAUAAAAUGUAAAUUUGCAAUGAAGUUCAUAUAUAAAAAGAGUUGAAGUUUGCAUAGAGGAAAAGGUGAAUUUCUGAAAAAAGGUACAUGUUUUCUAAUUCCAGAUGCUUAUAUGGUCGUCCUGUGACACUGAAAUCUUUUACAUUUUAGGUGAGCCAAAUUUUUGUGUGGAUGUGUUGUGCAUGUGCUUGUGCAUAGUACACUGAAUAGAACAAAAAAGAAUAUUAUGGGUGCCCUCUAAAUGUUUGUCCUACUGCUUAGUAGAAUUGACCGAAAAUUUCCUAUUGUUUUUGCACAUGUUGGAUUCAAGGGAAAACGUGUAUAAAAAAGGUGUGAUUUCGAAAGUUCAGGUGUAACGAACAUCGAAGUUCAAACCAAUAAAAUGUAAAAAAAAUCAUGGAAUUCAAAGAAUAAAAACUAUGGAGUUCAUGAAAAAAAUAAUAGCACCCGAAGUUCCCGUUUCAGAAAUUCCGAAGUUCACGUGUACCACGUACAGAAGAAAAAUCAUCAAAUGAAAAAAGGAACCGCCUAGGCCAUUUCACCGAAAAGCAAAAAAUGCAUAAAAAAUGUCACGACAAAAUUCUAUAAGAAGUUCAAAUUUAAAAACCGAAUCAGGUCAAUGUUAAAAAUAUGAAGUUGUUAAUAUCUAAAAGACAAAUUUGGAAGUUCAAAAAAUUUGAGCAAGAAGUUAACAAAAAGUAGUUCAAAAAUCUUUAUAACGUAUUUUCCCCAUUUGUAAAAAAAACAGAGAAGUUCAAAUUAAAAAGAGGAGCAUUUCAAAAGAUUGUAUGAAAAAUGAUUUUCCCCAUUUUAUAAAAACUAGAAGUUCAAAUUAAAAUAACGGCGCGGUAUCAUUGUUUAUAUAAAAAAGCAUUUUCGCCGUUACUAACCAAAAAUCUAAGAAGUUCAGAUUUAAAAAAUGGUGAAGUUCGAUGUCUAUAAAAAAUCGCAUUUUUCACAUUAUUAAAAAAUAAAACCAAGAAGUUCAAAAUUUUAAAACAAAGAAGUUCAAAAAACUGGAUUUUCCUCGUUACUAAAGAAUAAAACGAAUAAGUUCAAAUUAAAAUAACAGAGAAGUUCGCAGUAUAUAAAAAACUCAUUUUUCCCCAUUAUUAAAGAAUAAAUGAAGAAGUUCAAAUUUAAUAUAGGAACACCAAAAAAAGUUCAAGUACUCUGUCUGGAGAAGUUCAAAAAUUCUUGCGAGAGAGGUUCACCUUGUAUUUCCAUGUUUGAUUUUUUUCGUACAAAAAUCGAAUACAAUUCUUUACUCAAAGUAUAAAAAGGUGAAGUUCAAAUUGAAUAACAGAGAAGUUCGGAGUUUAUUAAAACCUAGGAUUUAACUGUUCAAAAAAUAAAAAACACAACGCCAUUUUUUUUACUUUAAAAACAACUCAUAAACGAAAAAAUGGUUGCUAGAAGUUCAAGUGCUCGGCGAGGAAAAGUUCAAAAAAUUCUUGUGAGAGAGGUUCACCGUGUAUUUAGAUGUCCAAAAAUACAUAAAAAAAUAUGUUUUUUUGUGUUUUAAAAUAAUUCUCUCAAACCAGAGAGAAGUUCAAAGUGAUAACAAUCGGACGUUCUCGUACUACAUGGGGUGUAUUUCAUAUAAGAAAAAUACAAUAAAGUGAAACAGAGUGAAGUUCAAACAGACAUGCCCCAGAAGUUCAUUUAUUUCACGCAGUGCAAAAAACAGCACAUCAAAAACAGAGUGAAGUUCAAACAAACAUCCCUAAGAAGUUCAACUACUUCACGCCGUUCAUUUUCCAUUCGCGAUGAAGCCAGAAAUCAUGAUCUCGUCAUUUUCUAAUUUACUUCAAAACGACAGAAAUAUCAUUUGUAUAAAUUCAAGUCCUUGGUUGGAUAAAGUUAAAAAAUAUAUUUUGAGAGAGGUUUGUACAAAAAGAAUAUCAUUUGUGUAACACUGGCGAAAUGGAUGAGAAAAUUACAAACGAAAAUACACAGAAGUUCAACAUGAAAACAGCAGGAAGUUCACCAAGUAUACUGAAUGAAUUUUGGAUGAAAAACUUUUAAAAUCGUCGCGAGUAUGAAAAAAGAUCAACAUGGGAAAGUUGCAUGUUUAUAAUAGCUUUCCACCGGUAUAUCACUUGCUCAAUUCUGGUGAGUGGAUGGAGAGCUGUGAGCAAAAAAAGUACGUGAAAAAACAGAGUGAAAUUCAAGUAGACAUACCGAGAAGUUCAAGUUCUUCACGCGGUACAUUUUCGAAGAAUCUGUUUCGCGAUAAAGGCAGAACGAAUGAUCUCACCGUUUUCGAAAUUACUUGAAAAUGGCUAGGAAUCAGAGAAAACCAUCAAUAUGAAAAAGUUUUGCAUUUUCUGUAGCUUUUCAGCGGUAUAUUAUUUUCCCCAUUCCGAUAAAGUUUGUAGAAAUUACGGUGAAAAUAUAGUUUUGGCCAUUUUCAAAAUUUAUUUAAAACCAUAAGAAAUUGGGAGAAACAAUAUAUACCAAAAAGUUUCGCAUUUCCUCAAGCUUUCCAACUCCAUAUAAUUUGCUGCAAUCGGACGUACGGUUAAAAACUUAGCACGAAAAUACGAACUCGGUGGAACUUGUAUCAUUUUCUAAAUUACUUUUCAACUGUUCAAAAUUAGAAAAACCUUUUAACAUGAACAAGUAGCGCAUUUUCAUAAGUUUCGAACACCAUAUCAUUUGCCUCAAUUGGAUUAACCUUUUGGAAAUGACAUCGAAAAUACGAACUCGGCUGUUCAGUUUGCGAAAUUUUACGAUUUUCUAAAUUACUCUUUAACAAUAGGGAAUUAGAGAAAACUUUCAACAUGUGUAAGGAGCAGUUUUACAGCAGCUUUCCAACGCAAUAUUAUUUGCCUCAUUCCGAUAAACGUUUUAGAAAUGCGAUCGAAAAUACGAUUCAUGUUUUUUGUAUGAAGAAAAAACGAUUUUCGAAACUGCUCUUAAACCGCUUACAUUUUGCAAAAAAUUAACUUGGGUCAUGAUACUGGUUUCCAUAGCUUUCCAUGGGUAUAUCGCAAGCCCCAUUUGGGCAAUGUUGGCGGAAGUUCAAUCUAGCACUGGGAGAAGUUCAGGUCGAACAACUCAGGCAGUAAAAUUGCCAAAAACACAAUUUCAUCAUGACCCGAGAGCAAAAUCCGCUAAUGAGCGAGAUUCCUAUUUAAAACGGGUAUUUAGUUGCUAAAAAACGUUUCUAGAUAUCAGUAACAUCAUAUAGAACACGACUAACUAGAAUAGUUCGCGCAGGGAGGCACGGUUGCGAAGAUAGCCCGAUGGUCGGGGUUCUACAGAGGGAAGUUCAGGCGUGUAACUCAGGAAGUUCAUGUUGUGAUCAGAAUAAUAUUCUGAUCCCGUGAUCAGAAUAGUGUUUAUAUAUAUAUAUAGCACUAUUUUGAUCUUAGGAUCACAAUAAUAUUCAGAUUAUCGCGUGCCCUAUAGAGGGCCUGAUGGACUUGUUCCCGAACUCCUCACCUGCAGAGACAAAAGAAAAAGUCAGCCCACCCGCCCGUCUCCACCUUCCUCCGAAAGCCACCAGCCGUUGGGAUCCUACCGCUGCACGCCGCGCGCCGCCGGCUGCCGGGUCCCGACGCUCCGCCCAGCACGCUGCCAGCCGUUGUUUCAUGCUCGUCGAUACACGGCUCUUGCCCGCCGCCGCCUGCAUCCCCAGGCGUUGCCUGCCUCGCACUGUUCCCUAUCUCACCACCCUUUGCCCCGAUUCACCCGCCGGCCUCCGCCGCGUCACGGGGACCACGUAACUGGCCGCCGUGCCUCCAAGACCAAAGAAUAUGGUCAUUGUCCCACCUUCCUAGUUCCUACCCCGACCGCACCCGCCUUCAAUGCCAAAAAAAAUACAGUUACCGUCCCACCUUCCUACCCUGUCUGCGGACCCACCUUCCUCCUCGGGCUGGGUGUCGGCGCCCCACCUUCCUCCUCCGGUCGGGCGCACUACUCGUCUGCUACCGCCCACAACUUCCCCCAUCGCCUACAUUUCCCAUAGAAAGAGGUUGCCAUGUGGCGAGUGGCUGCCACUUAAUCACUCUGCGGCUUGACACCACACUGAUUGACGACAUGGGUCGAGGUGGAGUGGUUGGGUGAGGUGGUUUUGCCUUCGUGAGUCCCGGCAGGCCCUGCCGGGACGUCUUGGAUGUCUUCUUCCGGGGGCGACCCUGCCCUCACCGAGCUCGUCUGCCCGGCAAGGGAGGCUUUUCUCCUGGUGGUUCUUGCUUUUCUGACUUGAUCUUGCUCCUCUUGAUCUGCAUGUUGGUCCUUCGAAGAUCUCAGUCUCCUGUACUCUGGUAUGGCCUGGUGCCGUAAUUUCGCUCUCGUGCCUAUGCACAGUCUGGGAAACAGACAUAGGGUUUGUUGCACCGACAGAAGCCCCCGGGCCUGCCCUGAUCGCGCUGCUGAGCAUCGUCGGGGUAGGCCGUAAUAAGUGCACAGGCAGGGGGCGCUGAAGAGGCUUGUUUCUUGAGGUCUUCUUCGCUCCUUCAUUAAUCUUGAGCCUGGGCCAGUUUCCGAUUUCUCCGGACGUCGUAUGUGACGUUACGAAAAAACUCAGAUCAUAGUCCGUCAGGCCCGGGCCAGGUCCGCCCUCAUCUUUCAUCCAUGAUUUAUUGUUUGUUGAAGAAACAAAACUAAGUUGAGCUAUUGCUUUCUCAUAUGUGAAUGAGAUGCCAUGUAAAAAAAGUAUAGUAGAAAAGAAAUUGCUUUGUUGUUGUGCUUGCACAAAUAUGUAUUUUUUUUUUGCGAAGGUGAAAAUGUUGUGUUUGAGAAGGUCAAAGUAUGUUGAGUACAUAUUGUCAUUUUUGCAACCACCGAAGGCAAACAAUUGUAAAUUUUAUUAUGAAUGUGACUCGAAGUUCUCUGGAAAAUCAGCAAUAAAAAAUCUGGAUGUCCUGAAUGUACUAAAGGAUGCAGGCCAGGGUGUUGAUUUUCUAUAGAUUUUGCACGGGACUGUAACUUUGUAUAAUUUGCAGCACCCUGUGAUAGGUGGAAACUUGUUUUUUCCUUGUGAUAUUACCACUUCAAAGUCGUGGAGAAAGUUCUGCUUCUCCUGUUGUUGUACUGCGAAAAAUAUAUACACAAAAAGGAUAUAAUGCAUACACAUAAAAGUACUGGAUGCUUAAAAAAGAUGUUGAAGUUCAUUAACCAAACUUCAUUUAGUCCAUUAUGUAAUACGACACAAAAUAAUUGGUACAAAAAAGAUAAGACAUUUAAAAAAAUUGGGUGAAAGGGGAGAGUGGGUUAGAGCAAAAAAUUGUUAACAAAAGCCUCACCCAUAAAAAUUGUUAAAUUUAGAAGUUCAAAUUCAAUAAAGCUGAGAGUUCAGGAAUAAUAAUAAAAGCAAAAAGGUGACACACAGAUGUUUGUACAGAUUUCCCCCAUGGAUUUCCUUGUUACUAGUAAUAAAUAAAACGUCCACAUAUUCCUUGUUUGCAACAACCCGAGUAAAUAAUUAUUUUUCAUUUUUUCUUGAAGUUCAAAUUGGUGAUCCCAGGCCGUUCAAUGUUGCGAACCUAGGCCAUUCAAGUCCCCUGAUCUCCCUCAUUUCUAAAAAAGAUUUUCCUCAUUUUAAGUUUGAAGUUAUAAAAAAGGAUGUUCCCCGUUUCUAAAAAAAACUAGAAGGUCAAAUUAAAAUAAGGGAGUGGUUCAAUGAUUUUCAUUUAUUACAAAACUUGGAUUUUUGACGUUAAUGAAAAAUAAAACAAGAUGUCCAAAUUAAAAGAUGGAGCAAUUUAAUGUUUAUAAAAAAAACUCAGAUUUUCGUCGUUACUAAAGAAUAAAACCAAGAAGUCCAAAAGGGAUUUUCUUCAAUACUAGAGAAUAAGGCCAUGAAGUUCAAAUUUGUAAAACGAAGUAGUUUAACCUAUAUAAUAAACUCAGAUUUUCCUUGUCAAUAAAGAAGAAAACCAAGAAGUUCAAUUGAAAAAAGCGGAGCAGUUCGAAAAUUAUUACAAAACUCGAAUUUUCCCGUACAUAUGAAUAAAAUAAAGAAGUCCACAUUACGGAAAGGAAACAGGGUGAAGUUCAAACAAACAUGCCCCAGAAGUUCAACUUCUUCACGUGGAGCAUUUUUGUAAACUCUGUUUUUUCGACGAAGACAUCACGCAUGAUCUCACCGUUUUCAAAAAUUCUUCACAACGACUUGGAAUUAUAGCAAACUCUCUACAUGCAAAAGUUUCACAUUUUUUAUAGCUUUCCAAUGCUAUAUCAUUUGCGCCAUUCUGAUAAAUUAUUAAAAUAUGACGACAAAAAAUUAGUUUUGACCAUUUUCAAAAUUGACUUCAACACAUUUAAAACUCAAAUUCUUUUCGUAUCUAAGAAAAAUACAAGUAUGAAGUUCAAUUUUAAAAAGAAAUUUUUGAUGCUUAUUUAAAACCGUAUUUCUUCUAAGCAGUUCAAAUUAUAAUAGAAGAGAAGUUCAAAGGCUAUAAAAACUCAGAUUUUCUCUCGUUACUAAAGAAUAAAAUGAACAAGUUCAAAAAAAUAAAAAUGAGCAACUAAAAAAUUUAAAAAAUAUUUCCCCCUUUUUAAAAAACUAGAAGUUGAAAUUAAAAUAAUGAAGUGGUUCAAUGGUUAUUAAAAACUAAGAUUUUACGAUUAUUUAAAAACUUAUGUAUCCCUUGUUAUUAAAGAAUGGAACGUGAAGUUCAAGAUGAAAAAAUAGGCAAAUUUGAUGUUUAUUUAAAAAACAAAAAUAAUUCUUUACUCAAAAAUACAAAAAAGGUGAAGUUCAAAUUAGAAUGACACAGAAGUUAAAAGUUUAUUAAAACCUAGUAUUUAUGAGUUCAAAACACUAAAAAAGUCAACCAUUUUGGGCAUUUUUAAAGACAACUCAUAAACGGUGAUUCAAUUUUGAAAAAACUCUCUAAAUGCCAAAGUUUCUCCUAUUCAAACUCUCUCCAGCAGGAUAUCAUAUGAUCUAUUUGAUUAAAUUGUUUAAAGUUUUGGUCUAUAGUGUUCAAAAAAAAUAAGUUUUAACAUACUCAAAAAAUGAUCCUAAAAAUGUCGCGAAUUAGAAAAACUGCUCAACACGUAAAGUUGCGCCUUUUGGAUGGCUUUCUAACGGUAUAUAUUUUUCUCAGUUUCGAUGAAUGUUUUAGGAAUUAUGGUUAAAAAAGCAAAGAGAAGUUAAAAGUGAAAGCAACCAGCGAUUCAAUUAUUACAUGGAAUGUGUUUCAUAUAAGAAAAAAAGAAUAAAAAGACAAAGUCUAAAAAGACUUUAGCUAUAAGUUCUCGUGGUCGGCCCACGAAGUUCAAAAAUUCUUGUAAAGGAGGUUCACUCUGUAUGUAUUUACUUGCACAAAAAUAAAUGUUGUUUUUUGUGUUUUCAAACAAUUUUCUCCAUCCAUUACAAAUUUGAAACAAAAAAGCUCGACACAAAAAAUGUUUAUUCAACAAAUUUCCAAGGGUAUAUUAUAUUCUUAUUCCAAAAUAAAUGAUUAAAAAUGGUCUAUGUUGUUCAAAAAAUAAGUUUAACCGUAUGAAAAAAAGUUGCGUAUUUUCAACCAGUUCCUAAUGGUUUAUCAUUUGUGAAACUCCGAGGAACGGGUGAGGAACUACAAACAAAAAUACGUUACCAAAGUUCAAUGUGAAAAUGGCGAGUAGUUCAACUACUAUACGGAAUGGGUUUCAGAUGAGAAUAAAAGAAUACAAAACUAAAAGCCUUAAACAUUUUUUGCAAGAAGUUCACGUGCUCCACCCUGCACGGUUCAAUAAUUAUAUUAGAAGAUGGCCGACCUUCAAUUAGAUGUUAAAAAAGGCAAAAACAACAUUAUUUUUGCCAUUUUUAAAACUGCUCUCAAAUGGCAACGAGUUUGUAACAUCUGUCUGCAUGAAAAUUUUGUUCCUAUUCAUAAGCUCUCCAACGGUAUAUUAUAUGCUACAUUCUGAUGAACGGUUUAAAAGUUUCAUGUAUACCGUUAAUAACAUCUUACAAACCGUUGCGAGUAUGAAAAAAUGGCCGAACACGGGAAAGUUGCGUGCUUUCAACAGCUUUCCAUCGGUAUAUUAUUUUUCCAAUUCCGGGUAAGUGGUUGGGGAGUUACAUGCAAAAAUCAACACGUCAAGAAUAGAGUGAAGUUCAGACACACAUGCCUUAGAAGUUCAACUUCUUCACGCAGUGCAUUUUUGAAGACUCGGUUUUUGCUAUGAAGGCAGAACGCAUGAUCUCGUCGUUUUCAAAAUUACGUAAAAACAGCUAGGAAUCAGAGAAAAUUUUUUGUAUGGAAAAGUUUCACAUUUUAUAUAGCUAUCCAGUGGUAUAUUAUUUGCCCCAUUCCGACAAAGUUUGUUAAAAUUAUGGCCAAAUUUUUUUAGGCAUUUUCAAAAUUCACUUAAAACCGUAAAUAAUUGGGAGUAACAUUAUACAAAAAGUUUCGCAUUUGUUCAGGAUUUCCAAUGUCAUAUCAUUUGUUGUAUUCCGACUAACCAUUUAGGGAAAAACCCAAAAAUACGAACUCGGAGGAGCUUCGAUCUUUUCUAAAUUACUUUUAAACCGUUCAAAAUUAGAAAAAAUAUUCUACAUGAAAAAGAAGCGCACUUUCAUAAGCUUUCCAACAUCAUAUCCUUUGCAUCAAUACGACUUGCCAUUUUCAAAUUACGCCAAAAUACGAGCUCAGCUGGUCGGUUUGAGAAAUUCCACCAUUUUUCAAACUGCUCUCUAACCGUUGUGAAUUUGGGAAAAAUUUAUAUAUGUCGAGUGAGCAGAUUUGCAGCAGCUUUGCAAUGCCGUAUUAUUUUCCUCAUUCCGAUAAACGUUUUAGAAAUGGUCUCGAAAAUAGGAUUCAUAUUUUUCUGUACGAUAUGAAGAAAAAUGGUUUGUAAAACUGCUCUUAAUCCGUGUAGAUUUUGACAUAAGUUUAACUUAGGUUGUGAUCCAUGUGUCGACAACUUUCCAACGGCAUAUUGCAAGACCCAUUUUGACAAUGUUCGCGAAAGUUCAAACUCUCCUUGGAUGAAGUUCAACUACUACUACUACGACAGGUCGGUUAGUUAUUAGUGUGUGUGUGUGUGUGCGUGUCUAUAUAUAUUUCAUUUCAUGUGAUUGAUAGGUAUGUCCUCUUAUAGAUGAAUUAGGACCACGGUCCCCUUGUUAUUGCCCGGUACGCUCGCUACGCAGUUAACUAGUUACGUCCACAACAUAGGCGAUGAUUCUUGAUGCUAGAUUAAGUUUCGGGGUGUGUGAAAGAAGAGACUUAAUUAAAAGUCUCGUCCCCCACACUAAACUUCGUCAAAUACACAUGACCCCUUAGAAGAUCGUUCAUCUUCAUCACCCUCUUGUGUACACAACGGUUCACUAUUCUCAACUACGGUGAACCCCAAGGAACUGCUAGCAGAUCGUCGACAGCCAGAGUCGGUCGAUUGUCAGAACCUUGUAACAAAGCGACACCAUAUUGUCGACGAAUUGAACCAAAGCAACACUCGAGGAAGCAUAGAAAAAACAUCAACCCUCGAUCACAACCUACACCUACCCAUAUAACUGGUCUUGAUGCAACCGUUGGAAAACGUAGUAGAAAACAAAAAAAAUCGCGCCUACGCACACCCAAGAUCAAUAUGAAGAUGCAUAAUGGGUUGUGAUCACGAUCGUUACCAUCACGUAGUAGAAAACAAAAAAAUCGCGCCUAUGCACAGCGAAAGAAGAACGUGUCUGUGUAGGUCGUAAUUGGAGUCCCUCGAACCGUUGAUGAAUGAUACCGCGAACCGCCCACAAACAGUCCCUCAAACCAAAGACCUAAAGCACGGCCUCUCUACUUGGUUGCAAACGUGCAUCCUUCACAAUCCGGCAGCGCUUUGUUGUCCAAAGCUAGUCAUUGCGAGAGAACUGGAGGGACGAGAUUAGAACCACACGGGGCUUCUAAUUAUGAGGAUUAGAGGAUUAGUCUAGCUCUAAUUAGUCAAAUAGGAACCACUAGAACUAGAAGAACUAGAGGAGGCUCCAAAACAUGUGUAUGCAAAAGAGCAAAAUCCCCUAGUAUAUGUAGGUUGAAGGUGAGAGGGAGGGCUGCCACCAAGGGGGGAGGAAUCCCCCUUGGUGCGCCAGCCAAGGGGAGGAGUCCUCCUCCCCUUCGCCAAUUUGGCCUCCUACCUUAGGGAAGGAGGCGCCAAACCCACUUGGGCCUUUGUGCCCCAAGUUUCCGUCCACCUCUUGGCCUUUUAAGGCCCGUUGACAUCUAUACCUACUAAUAAAUCAAGGUGAUAUUCUUGGUUUGGUCUCGCAUCCAAUCCUACGUUAUGUAGAAAUACACGCGGCGGUACUAAUUCGUAGAGCCAAGUUUUUCGUUAAAAAGGUUUGUAUUGGCUGGGCUGCGUUCCUCCACUUGGGCCUUCACACGUUGUAUUUAUACCUGGCCAUGGGAAACCCGGCCCGGUCGUCCCGAAAAAGCCCGACCCGACCCGACCUGAUCUUGCCCGCGGGCCGGGCCUAGGCCUAAGUUUUUAGCCCAAAGGCUAGGACGAGCUUGGGCUUGACAUAUUCUUGUUUUAGGGAAGAGGCCCGACAGGUUUUUCACCGAUAGCCCCGGCCUGGGCCUGAAAUCUAGGCCUGAGCCGGACCCAAGCCUAGGGUUUUUGCUACGGGCAUUAUUAGGCCCGGUCUGAAGCCCAUCCUGACACAACUUAUGGCCUGGUAUUGUUGUACCUUAUUGCCUGUACUAUCGAGGCUAGCUACUGUGUUUGUACCCCUAAAAAAGCUAGUGUGUUUGUGUACAACUUCUUCUAGCUUAUUUAUAUAUGCACAAAUCAAACCCAUCCCACUGGUUCUUCCUGUAUUUGCCUUAUCUUGGUGUCACGGCAGCCGAUCGAAUCUUGGCUUCGCGGUGACGGUGUAACCAGCAUAGCAAGAUUUGGGGCAGUUCGGCUUCUAGUGACCAUUUUCUUUGCAGUAGAAGCACAUAGUUUCAGGCUUGGGUCUAGCUUUGGGCUUCUUCAUGGGAGUGGCAACUUGCUUGUCAUACUUCUUGAAGUUCCCUUUCUUUCCCUUGCCCUUUUACUUGAAACUAGUGGUUUUGUCAACCAUCAACACUUGAUGCUUUUCUUGAUUUCUACCUUCGCCGAUUCAGCAUCGCGAAGAGCUCGGGGAAUCGUUUUCGUCAUCCCUUGCAUAUUAUAGUUCAUCUCGAAGUUCCAGUAACUUGGUGAUAGUGACUAGAGAACUCUGUCAACCACUAUCUUAUCUGGAAGAUAAACUCUCACUUGAUUCAAGCAAUUGUAGUACUCAGACAUUCUGAGCACAUGCUCACUGGUUGAGCUAUUCUCCUCCAUCUUGUAGGCUAAGUACUUUGUCAGAGGUCUCAUACCUCUCGACUCGGGCAUGAGUAUGAAAUACCAAUUUUGACUCCUGGAACAUCUUAUAUGCUCUGUGGCGUUCAAAACAUUUUUGAAGUCCCGGUUCUAGGCCGUAAAGCAUGGUGCACUAAACUAUCAAGUAGUCAUCAUACCAAGCUUUGUCAAACGUUCAUAACGUCUGCAUCUGGUCUGUCACCUAGCGGUGCAUCAAGGACAUAAUUCUUCUGUGCAGCAACGAGGAUAAUCCUCUGAUCACGGAGAAAGUCCGCAUCAUUGCUACUAACAUCUUUCAACAUAGUUUUUCUCUAGGAACAUAUCAAAAAAUAAAUGGGGAGCUACAUCGCGAGCUAUUGAUCUACAACAUAGUCAUGCAAAUACUACCAGGACUAAGUUCAUGAUAAAUUAAAGUUCAAUUAAUCAUAUUACUUAAGAAAACCCACUUAGAUAGACAUCCCUCUAAUCAUCUAAGUGAUCACGUGAUCCAAAUCAACUAAACCAUGUCCGACCAUCACAUGAGAUGGAGUAGUUUUCAAUGGUGAACAUCACUAUGUUGAUCAGAUCUACUAUAUGAUUCACACUUGACCUUUCGGUCUCCAGUGUUCCGAGGCCAUAUCUGCAUAUGCUAGGCUCGUCAAGUUUAACCCGAGUAUUCCGCGUGUGCAAAACUGGCUUGCACCCGUUGUAUGUGAACGUAGAGCUUAUCACACCCGAUCAUCACAUGGUGUCUCGGCACGACGAACUGUCGCAACGGUGCAUACUCAGGGAGAACACUUAUACCUUGAAAUUUAGUGAGAGAUCAUCUUAUAAUGCUACCACUGAACUAAGCAAAAUAAGAUGCAUAAAUGAUAAACAUCACAUGCAAUCAAAAUAUGUGACAUGAUAUGGCCAUGAUCAUCUUGCGCCUUUGAUCUCCAUCUCCAAAGUACCGUCAUGAUCUCUAUCGUCACUGGCAUGACACCAUGAUCUCCAUCAUCUUGAUCUCCAUCAACGUGUCAUCACAUGGUCAUCUCGCCAACUAUUGCUCUUACAACUAUUCCUAUCGCAUAGCGAUAAAGUAAAGCAAUUAUUUGGCGCUUGCAUCUUAUGCAAUAAAGAGACAACCAUAAGGCUUCUGCUAGUUGCCGAUAACUUCUACAAAACAUGAUCAUCUCAUACAACAACUUAUAUCUCAUCACGUCUUGACCAUAUCACAUCACAACAUUCCCUGCAAAAACAAGUUAGACGUCCUCUACUUGGUUGUUGCAAGUUUUAUGUGGCUGCUAUGGACCGAGCAAGAACCGUUCUUAUCUACGCAUCAAAACUACAACGAUUUUUCGUCAAGUAUGUGUUGUUUUAACCUUCAACAAGGACCGGGCGUAGCCACACUCGAUUCAACUAAAGUUGGAGAAACUCAUGUUGGAAAUAUGCCCUAGAGGCAAUAAUAAAUUGGUUAUUAUUAUAUUUCCUUGUUCACGAUAAUCGUUUAUUAUCCAUGCUAGAAUUGUAUUGAUAGGAAACUCAGAUACAUGUGUGGAUACAUAGACAACACCAUGUCCCUAGUAAGCCUCUAGUUGACUAGCUCGUUGAUCAAUAGAUGGUUACGGUUUCCUGACCAUGGACAUUGGAUGUCGUUGAUAACGGGAUCACAUCAUUAGGAGAAUGAUGUGAUGGACAAGACCCAAUCCUAAGCCUAGCACAAGAUCGUGUAGUUCGUUUGCUCAGAGCUUUGCUAAUGUCAAGUAUCAUUUCCUUAGACCAUGAGAUUGUGCAACUCCCGGAUACCGUAGGAAUGCUUUGGGUGUGCCAAACGUCACAACGUAACUGGGUGGCUAUAAAGGUGCACUACGGGUAUCUCCGAAAGUGUCUGUUGGGUUGGCACGAAUCGAGACUGGGAUUUGUCACUCCGUGUAAACGGAGAGGUAUCUCUGGGCCCACUCGGUAGGACAUCAUCAUAAUGUGCACAAUGUGACCAAGGAUUUGAUCACGGGAUGAUGUGAGUUACGGAACGAGUAAAGAGACUUGCCGGUAACGAGAUUGAACAAGGUAUAGGGAUACCGACGAUUGAAUCUCGGGCAAGUAACAUACCGAUAGACAAAGGGAAUUGUGUACGGGAUUGAUUGAAUCCCCGACAUCGUGGUUCAUCCGAUGAGAUCAUCGUGGAACAUGUGGGAGCCAACAUGGGUAUCCAGAUCCCGCUGUUGGUUAUUGACCGGAGAACGUCUCGGUCAUGUCUGCAUGGUUCCCGAACCCGUAGGGUCUACACGCUUAAGGUUCGAUGACGCUAGGGUUAUAGGGAAAGUAUGUACGUGGUUACUGAAUGUUGUUCGAAGUCCCGGAUGAGAUCCCGGACGUCACGAGGAGUUCCGGAAUGGUCCGGAGGUAAAGAUUUAUAUAUGGGAAGUCCUGUUUUGGUCAUCGGAAAAGUUUCGGGUGAUAUUGGUAAUGUACCGGGACCACCGGGAGGGUCCCGGGGGUCCACCAAGUGGGGCCACCAGCCCCAGAAGGCUGCGUGGGCCAAGUGUGGGAGGGGACCAGCCCCAGGUGGGCUGGUGCGCCCCCCCACCAAGGCCCAAGCGCAUGGGAGAGUGGGAGGGGGCAAACCCUAGGUCCAGAUGGGCCUUAAGGCCCACCCUAGUGGCGCCCCCCCUCUCCUCCCCUUGGCCGCCCCCCCUAGAUGGGAUCUAGGGCUGGCCACCAGCCCUUGGGGGUGGAAUCCCUAGAGGGGGCGCAGCCCCUCCCCCCCAUAUAUAGUUGAGGUUUGGGGCUGCCAUAGACAUGAGAACGUCUCUCCUUUGGCGCAGCCCUACCCCUCUCCCUCCUCCUCCUCUCCCGCGGUGCUUGGCGAAGCCCUGUGGGAUUGCCACGCUCCUCCAUCACCACCAUGCCGUCGUGCUGCUGCUGGAUGGAGUCUUCCCCAACCUCUCCCUCUCUCCUUGCUGGAUCAAGGCGUGGGAGACGUCACCGGGCUGCACGUGUGUUGAACGCGGAGGCACCGUUCUUCGGUGCUUAGAUCGGAAUCAACCGCGAUCUGAAUCGCUACGAGUACGACUCCCUCAUCCGCGUUCUUGCAACGCUUCCGCAUCGCGAUCUACAAGGGUAUGUAGAUGCACUCCCCUUCCCCUCGUUGCUAGAUUACUCCAUAGAUUGAUCUUGGUGAUACGUAGAAAAUUUUGAAUUUCUGCUACGUUCCCCAACAGUGGCAUCAUGAGCUAGGUCUAUGCGUAGUUUCUAUGCACGAGUAGAACACAAAGUAGUUGUGGGCGUAGAUGUUGCCAGUUCUUCUUGCCGCUACUAGUCUUAUCUUGUUUCGGCGGCAUUGUGGGAUGAAGCGGCCCGGACCGACCUUACACGUACGCUUACGUGAGACAGGUUCCACCGACUGACAUGCACUAGUUGCAUAAGGUGGCUAGCGGGUGUCUGUCUCUCCCACUUUAGUCGGAACGGAUUCGAUGAAAAGGGUCCUGAUGAAGGGUAAAUAGAAAUUGGCAUAUCACGUUGUGGUUUUACGUAGGUAAGAAACGUUCUUGCCAGAAACCUAUACAAGCCACGUAAAAACUUGCAACAACAAUUAGAGGACGUCUAACUUGUUUUUGCAGCAUGUGCUAUGUGAUGUGAUAUGGCCAGAAGAUGUGAUGAAUGAUAUAUGUGAUGUAUGAGAUUGAUCAUAUUCUUGUAAUAGGAAUCACGACUUGCAUGUCGAUGAGUAUGACAACCGGCAGGAGCCAUAGGAGUUGUCUUUAUUUUUGUAUGACCUGCGUGUCAUUGAAUAACGCCAUGUAAAUUACUUUACUUUAUUGCUAAGCACGUUAGCCAUAGAAGUAGAAGUAAUUGUUGGCGUGACAACUUCAUGAAGACACAAUGAUGGAGAUCAUGGUGUCAUGCCGGUGACAAAGAUGAUCAUGGUGCCCCGAAGAUGGAGAUCAAAGGAGCAAAAUGAUAUUGGCCAUAUCAUGUCACUAUUUGAUUGCAUGUGAUGUUUAUCAUGUUAUGCAUCUUAUUUGCUUAGAACGACGGUAGUAAGUAAGAUGAUCCCUUAUAAAAUUUCAAGAGAAGUGUUCCCCCUACCUGUGCACCAUUGCGAAGGUUCGUUGUUUCGAAGCACCAUGUGAUGAUCGGGUGUGAUAGAUUCUAACGUUCGAAUACAACGGGUGUUGACGAGCCUAGCAUGUACAGACAUGGCCUCGGAACACAUGCGAAACACUUAGGUUGACUUGACGAGCCUAGCAUGUACAGACAUGGCCUCGGAACACAAGAGACCGAAAGGUCGAACAUGAGUCGUAUAGCAGGUACGAUCAACAUGGAGAUGUUCACCGAUGAUGACUAGUCCGUCUCACGUGAUGAUCGGACACGGCCUAGUUUGACUCGGAUCAUGUAUCACUUAGAUGACUAGAGGGAUGUCUAUCUGAGUGGGAGUUCAAUUAUCAGAUGAACUUCAUUAUCAUGAACAUAGUCAAAAGGUCUUUGCAAAUUAUGUCAUAGCUUGCGCUUUAGUUCUACUGUUUAAGAUAUGUUCCUAGAGAAAAUUUAGUUGAAAGUUGGUAGUAGCAAUUAUGCAGACUGGGUCCGUAAACUGAGGAUUGUCCUCAUUGCUGCACAGAAGGCUUAUGUCCUUAAUGCACCGCUCGGUGUGCUGAACCUCAGCUUGUCUGUAGAUGUUACGAAACAUCUGACAUACACGUUUUGAUGACUAAGUGAUAGUUCAGUGCGUAAUGCUAACGGUUUAGAAUUGUGGCACCAGAGACGUUUUUGAAAUGUCGCAGAAUAUGUGAGAUGUUCCGAAGACUGAAAUUGGGAUUUCAGACUAGUGCCCACGUCAAGAGGUAUGAGACCUCUGACAAGUUUCUUAAGCCUGCAAACUAAGGGAGAAAAGCUCAAUCGUUGAGCAUGUGCUCAGAUUGUCUGAGUGCUACAAUCACUUGAAUCGAGUGGGAGUUAAUCUCCCAGAUGAGAUAGUGAUGGUUCUCCAUAGUCACUGCCACCAAGCUAGUAGAGCUUCGUGAUGAACUAUAACAUAGCAGGGAUAGUUAUGAUGAUCCUUGAGCUAUUCACAAUGUUUGACACCGCGAAAGUAGAAAUCAAGAAGGAGCAUCAAUUGUUGAUGGUUAGUAAAACCACUAGUUUCUAGAAGGGCAAGGGCAAAAGGGAUACUUCAUGAAACAGCAAAUCGUUUGCUACUCUAGUAAAGAAUCCCAAAGUUGAACCCAAACCCGAGACUAAGUGCUUCUGUAAUGAGGGGAAUGGUCACUGAAGCAGUACUACCCUAGAUACUUGGUAGAUGAGAAGGCAGGCAAGGUCGACAGAAGUAUAUUGGAUAUACAUUAUAUGAAUGUGUACUAGUACUCCUAGCAGCACCAGGGUAUUAGAUACCGGUUCGGUUGCUAAGUGUUAGUAACUCGAAAUAAAAGCUGCAGAAUAAACGGAGACUAGCUAAAGGUGAGAUGACGAUAUGUGUUGGAAGUGUUUCCAAGGUUGAUGGGAUCAAGCAUCGCAUGCUCCCUCUACCAUCGAGAUUUGGUGUUUGCGUUGAGCAUGAUUGGAUUAUGUUUAUCGCAAUACGGUUAUUCAUUUAAGGAGAAUAAUGGUUACUCUGUUUAUUUGAAUAAUACCUUCAAUGGUCUUGCACCUAAAAUGAAUCUCGAUCGUAGUGAUACACAUGUUCAUGCCAAAGGUAAUGAUAGUACCACAUACUUGUGGCACUGCUAUUUGAGUCAUAUUGGGAUAAAACGCAUGAAGAAGCUCCAUGUAGAUGGAUCUUUGGACUCACUCUUUUUGAAAAGAUUGAGACAUGCGAACCAUGUCUAUUGGUAUAUGUGCAUGAAGAAACUCCAUGUAGAUGGAUCGUUUGGACUCACUUGAUUUUGAGACAUGCAAAUCAUACCACAUGGGCAAGAUGACUGAAAGGCCUCGUUUUCAGUAAGAUGGAACAAGAGAGCAACUUAUUGGAAGUAAUACAUUUUGAUGUAUGCAGUCCAAUGAGUGCUGAGGCAUGCAGUGGAUAUCGUUAUGUUCUUACUUCACAGAUGAUUUGAGUAGAUGUUGAGUGUAUUUACUUGAUGAAACACAAGUCUGAAUUAUUGAAAGGUUCAAGUAAUUUCAGAGUGAAGUUGAAGAUCGUCGUGACAAGAGGAUAAAAUGUCUGUGAUAUGAUCAUAGAGAUGAGUAUCUGAGUUACAAGUUUGGCACACAAUUAAGACAUUGUGGAAAGUGUUUCACAAUUAAUACCGCCUGGAACACCAUAGUGUGAUGGUGUGUCCGAACAUCAUAACUGCACCCUAUUGGAUAUGGUGCAUGCCAUGAUGUUUCUUAUCGAAUUACCACUAUCGUUUAUGGGUUAUGCAUUAGAGACAACCGCAUUCACUUUAAAAGGGGUACCACGCAAUUCCGUUGAGACGACACCGUUUAGAGAAACCUGAGUUGCCGUUUCUUAAAAGUUUGGGGCUGCGAUGCUUAUGUGAAAAAGUUUCAGGCUGAUAAGCUCGAACCUAAAGCGGAUAAAUGCAUCUUCAUAGAAAACCCAAAACAGUUGGGUAUACCUCCUAUUUCAGAUCUGGAAGCAAAAGUAAUUACUUCUAGAGACAGGUCCUUUCUCGAGGAAGAGUUUCUCUCGAAAGAAUUGAGUGGGAGGAUGGUGGAGACUUGAUAAGGUUAUUGAACCGUCACUUCAACUAGUGUGUAGCAGGGCACAGGAAGUUGUUCCUGUGGCACCUACACCAAUUGAAGUGGAAGCUUAUGAUAGUGAUCAUGAAACUUCGGAUCAAGUCACUACCAAACCUCGUAGGACGACGAGGAUGCGUGCUACUUCAGAGUGGUACGUGAUCCUGUCUUGAAAAUCAUGUUGUUAGACAACAAUGAACCUACGAGCUAUGGAGAAGCGAUGGUGGGCCCAUAUUCUGACAAAUGGUUAGAAGCCAUGAAAUCCGAGAUAAAUGGAUCUUUAAGAAGAAGACGGACAUGGACGGUAAUGUUACCGUCUAUGAAGCUCGACUUGUGGCAAAAAGUAUUUCCACAAGUUCAAGGAGUUGACUACGAUGAGAUUUUCUCAUCCGUAGCGAUGCUUAAGUCCGUCGGAAUCAUGUUAGCAUUAGCUGCAUUUAUGAAAUCUGGCAGAUGGACGUCAAAACAAGUUUCCUUACCAGUUUUCGUAAGGAAAGAUUGUAUGUGAUACAAUCAGAAAGGUUUUGCCGAUCCUAAGGAUGCUAAAAGGUAUGCUAGCUCCAGCGAUCCUUCCAUGGACUAGAGCAAGCAUCUCGGAGUCAGAAUAUACGCUUUGAUGGAGUGAUCAAAGUUUUUGGGUUUAUACAAAGUUUGUUAGAAACUUGUAUUUACAAUAAAGUAAGUGGGAGCGCUACAACAUUUCUGAUAAGUAUAUGUGAAUGACAUAUUGUUGAUCUGAAAUGAUGUAGAAUUUCUGGAAAGCAUAAAGGGUUGUUUGAAAGGAGUUUUUCAAAGGAAGACCUGGAUAAAAGCUGCUUGCAUAUUGGGCAUCAAGAUCUAUAGAGAUAGAUCAAGACGCCUGAUGAUACUUUCAAAGAACGCGCACCUUGACAUGAUUUUGAAAGAGUUCAAAAUAGAUCAGCAAAGAAGGAGUUCUUGGCUGUGUUACAAGGUGUGAGUAUUGAGUAAGACUCAAGACCUGACCACAGCAGAAGAGAGAGAAAGGACGAAGGUCGUCCCCUAUGCUUCAGACAUAGGCUCUACAGUAUGCUAUGCUGUGUACCGCACAUGGAGUGUGCCUUGCCAUGAGUUGGUCAAGGGGUACAAUAGUGAUCCGGGAAUGGAUCACAUGACAGUGGUCGAAUUUAUCCUUAGUAUCUAGUGGACUAAGGAAUUUUCUCGAUUAUGGAGGUGAAAAGGAGUUCGUCGUAAAGGGUUACGUCGAUGCGAACUUUGACACUAAUCCGGAUGACUCUGAGUAGUAAACCGGAUUCGUAUAGUAGAGCAAUUAUUUGAAAUGGCUCCAAAUAGCGCAUCGUAGCAUCCACAAGAUGACAUAGAUAUUCGUAAAGCACACACGGAUCUGAUAGGUUCAGACCCGUUGAUUAAUAACCUCUCUCACAAGCAUAACAUGAUCAAACCAGAACUCAUUGAGUGUUAAUCACAUAGUGAUGUGAACUAGAUUGUUGACUCUAGUAAACUAUUUGGAUGUUGGUCACAUGGUGAUGUGACCUGUCACUGUUAAUCACAUGGUGAUGUGAACUAGUUUAUUGACUGUAGUGCAAGUGGGAGACUGUUGGAAAUAUGCCCUAGAGGCAAUAAUAAAUUGGUUAUUAUUAUAUUUCCUUGUUCACGAUAAUCGUUUAUUAUCCAUGCUAGAAUUGUAUUGAUAGGAAACUCAGAUACAUGUGUGGAUACAUAGACAACACCAUGUCCCUAGUAAGCCUCUAGUUGACUAGCUCGUUGAUCAAUAGAUGGUUACGGUUUCCUGACCAUGGACAUUGGAUGUCGUUGAUAACGGGAUCACAUCAUUAGGAGAAUGAUGUGAUGGACAAGACCCAAUCCUAAGCCUAGCACAAGAUCGUGUAGUUCGUUUGCUCAGAGCUUUUCUAAUGUCAAGUAUCAUUUCCUUAGACCAUGAGAUUGUGCAACUCCCGGAUACCGUAGGAAUGCUUUGGGUGUGCCAAACGUCACAACGUAACUGGGUGGCUAUAAAGGUGCACUACGGGUAUCUCCGAAAGUGUCUGUUGGGUUGGCACGAAUCGAGACUGGGAUUUGUCACUCCGUGUAAACGGAGAGGUAUCUCUGGGCCCACUCGGUAGGACAUCAUCAUAAUGUGCACAAUGUGACCAAGGAUUUGAUCACGGGAUGAUGUGAGUUACGGAACGAGUAAAUAGACUUGCCGGUAACGAGAUUGAACAAGGUAUAGGGAUACCGACGAUCGAAUCUCGGGCAAGUAACAUACCGAUAGACAAAGGGAAUUGUAUACGGGAUUGAUUGAAUCCCCGACAUCGUGGUUCAUCCGAUGAGAUCAUCGUGGAACAUGUGGGAGCCAACAUGGGUAUCCAGAUCCCGCUGUUGGUUAUUGACCGGAGAACGUCUCGGUCAUGUCUGCAUGGUUCCCGAACCCGUAGGGUCUACACGCUUAAGGUUCGAUGACGCUAGGGUUAUAGGGAAAGUAUGUACGUGGUUACUGAAUGUUGUUCGAAGUCCCGGAUGAGAUCCCGGACGUCACGAGGAGUUCCGGAAUGGUCCGGAGGUAAAGAUUUAUAUAUGGGAAGUCCUGUUUUGGUCACCGGAAAAGUUUCGGGUGAUAUUGGUAAUGUACCGAGACCACCGGGAGGGUCCCGGGGGUCCACCAAGUGGGGCCACCAGCCCCAGAAGGCUGCGUGGGCCAAGUGUGGGAGGGGACCAGCCCCAGGUGGGCUGGUGCGCCCCCCCACCAAGGCCCAAGCGCAUGGGAGAGUGGGAGGGGGCAAACCCUAGGUCCAGAUGGGCCUUAAGGCCCACCCUAGUGGCGCCCCCCCUCUCCUCCCCUUGGCCGCCCCCCUAGAUGGGAUCUAGGGCUGGCCGCCAGCCCUUGGGGGUGGAAACCCUAGAGGGGGCGCAGCCCCUUCCCCCCUAUAUAUAGUUGAGGUUUGGGGCUGCCAUAGACAUGAGAACGUCUCUCUUUCGGCGCAGCCCUACCCCCCUCCCUCCUCCUCAUCUCCCGCGGUGCUUGGCGAAGCCCUGCGGGAUUGCCACGCUCCUCCAUCACCACCAUGCCGUCGUGUUGCUGUUGGAUGGAGUCUUCCCCAACCUCUCCCUCUCUCCUUGCUGGAUCAAGGUGUGGGAGACGUCACCGGGCUGCACGUGUGUUGAACGCGGAGGCACCGUUCUUCGGUGCUUAGAUCGGAAUCAACCACGAUCUGAAUCGCUACGAGUACGACUCCCUCAUCCGCGUUCUUGCAACGCUUCCGCAUCGCGAUCUACAAGGGUAUGUAGAUGCACUCCCCUUCCCCUCGUUGCUAGAUUACUCCAUAGAUUGAUCUUGGUGAUGCGUAGAAAAUUUUGGAUUUCUGCUACGUUCCCCAACAACUGACACCCGCCAGCCACCUGUGUGCGAAGCACGGCGGUAGAACCAGUCUCGCGUAAGCGUACGCGUAAUGUCGGUCCGGGCCGCUUCAUCCAACAAUACCGCUGAAUCAAAGUAUGACAUGCUGGUAAGCAGUAUGACUAGUAUCGCCCACAACUCACUUGUGUUCUACUCGUGCAUAUAACAUCUGCACAUAAACCUGGCUCGGAUGCCACUGUUAGGGGACGUAGUAAUUUCAAAAUUUCCUACGCACACGCAAGAUCAUGGUGAUGCAUAGCAACGAGAGGGGAGAGUGUCGUCUACGUACCCUCGUAGAUCGAAAGCGGAAGCGUUAUGACAACGCGGUUGAUGUAGUCGUACGUCUUCACGAUCGACCGGUCCUAGCACCGAAGGUACGGCACCUCCGCGAUCUGCACACGUUCGGCUCGGUGACGUCCCACGAACUCACGAUCCAGAAGAGUGUCGAGUGAGAGCUUCGUCAGCACGACGGCGUGAUGACGGUGAUGAUGAAGCUACCGGUGCAGGGCUUCGCCUAAGCACUACGACAAUAUGACCGAGGUGGAUUAUGGUGGAGGGGGUCACCGCACACGGCUAAGAGAUUAAUGAUCAACUUGUGUGUUCAUGGGGUGCUCCCUGGCCACGUAUAUAAAGGAUGGAGGGAGGAGGAGGCCGGCCCUCAUAGGGCGCGCCCAAAGUGUGGAGUCCUACUAGGACUCCCUAGUCCUAGUAGGAUUCCACCUCCCACAUGGAAUAGGAAAAGGGGAAGGGAGAAGGAGAAGGAAGGAAGGGGGCACCCCCUUUCCCUAGUCCAAUUCGGACCAGUCCAUGGGGAAGGGGCGCAGCCACCCUUGAGGCCUUUUUCUCCUUUCCCGUAUGGCCCAUUAAGGCCCAAUACGAAUUCCCGUAACUCUCCAGUACUCCGAAAAAUACCCGAAUCACUGGGAACCUUUCCGAUGUCCGAAUAUAGUCGUCCAAUAUAUCGAUCUUUACGUCUCGACCAUUUCGAGACUCCUCGUCAUGUCCCCGAUCUCAUCCGGGACUCCGAACUACCUUCGGCACAUCAAAACACAUAAAGUCAUAAUACCAAUCGUCACUGAACGUUAAGCGUGCGGACCCUACGGGUUUGAGAACUAUGUAGACAUGACCGAGACUCAUCUCCGGUCAAUAACCAAUAGCGGAACCUGGAUGCUCAUAUCGGUUCCUACAUAUUCUACGAAGAUCUUUAUCGGUCAAACCGCAUAACAACAUACGUUGUUCCCUUUGUCAUCGGUAUGUUACUUGCCCGAUAUUCGAUCGUCGGUAUCUCAAUACCUAGUUCAAUAUCGUUACCGGCAAGUCUCUUUACUCGUUCCGUAAUGCAUCAUACUGCAACUAACUCAUUAGUCACAUUGCUUGCAAGGCUUAUAGUGAUGUGCAUUACCGAGAGGGCCCAGAGAUACCUCUCCGACAAUCGGAGUGACAAAUCCUAAUCUCGAUCUACGCCAACUCAACAAGUACCAUCGGAGACACCUGUAGAGCACCUUUAUAAUCACCCAGUUACAUUGUGAUGUUUGGUAGCAUACAAAGUGUUCCUCCAGUAUUCGGGAGUUGCAUAAUCUCAUAGUCAUAGGAACAUGUAUAAGUCAUGAAGAAAGCAAUAGCAAUAUACUAAACGAUCAAGUGCUAAGCUAACGGAAUGGGUCAAGUCAAUCACAUCAUUCUCUAAUGAUGUGAUCCCGUUGAUCAAAUGACAACUCAUGUCUAUGGCUAGGAAACUUAACCAUCUUUGAUCGAACGAGCUAGUCAAGUAGAGGCAUACUAGUGACACUCUGUUUUUCUAUGUAUUCACACAUGUACUAAGUUUCCGGUUAAUACAAUUCUAGCAUGAAUAAUAAACAUUUAUCAUGAUAUAAGGAAAUAUAAAUAACAACUUUAUUAUUGCCUCAGGGCAUAUUUCCUUCAGCGGUGUGGUAGCUGGUCGUAGCGGCCGCUGCUGGUGCUCUCGCUCGCGGAGGAGCCGCCACCGCUCGACGAACCGCGGCCGUCAUCAAGGGCAAGAUCGCCCUCAGCGUCGUCACGACCGUUGUCAAGGCCAAGCGCAUCGUCGCCGCCGCUGUCUUCGGGGCAGCACCCUGCGCGACGACCAUCUUCCCCAAACAUCCUCACGAAGAGGGUCGUGACGCCGUCGUACUUGAAGUGGAGGGUGCGCCUCCUGCUCAGGCCGCGCGCGCGGGCGAACGCCUGCCAGCCGCGGGCCAGGGCAACAUUGCCCGCGGCGGAGACCUCCACCACAACCCACGAGGACUUGCUGCAGCAACCAUCGGUCCGCAACCAGAGGCCGUCAAGACCCACGGCCGGCAGCUCGCUGGUAAAGGAGCGCAGAAGCUGGAGCCAGGUGCCGGACGGACUCUCCGACCACACGACGAACUCCGGGAGCACCUCCUCCAAGUGGAAGCGGGGCCGGGGAAGCCGGGCAACAAGGCGCACCUCCCCUCGUCAAAGGGGCUGCGCCUCGCCUUGGGUGGCUCCCGCCAUGAGAAGAGACACCGCCGUGGCCGCCAAGGAUGACGCCGGUCCAUGAAGGAGUGCGCCCACGCCCCCGAGGAGGCACCACAGGGGUCGCGGCGUGCUUACGAGGGCGGCCCUGCCUCUCUUGGGUGGCGGCAAGUCGGGUCCCUCCUGGCGAGCCUUCCCCUUCUCGGUGGCGGCGAACCUCUUUGUUGGCGCCAUGGGAGCUGCGGUGAGGCGAAGAGGAAGGAGACAGAGCGUGCGGCGAGAAGAAGGAGAUGAGCAAAGAGGGCUCCGCCCCUCUCCUCAUUUAUAGCCAGGAGGAGGCCAACUGACGGCCUCCACGAUCGCAUGUAAUGAUGAUUUUUCUCAGCAUGCAGCAGAGUCUCGUCAAGUCGAACGGUUGCCGAGGCGGCGUGGGGAAGUGCAGGCGCCCAUGUCCCAUCAAUCGCCAUGCGUCAACUGAGGCCGCAAGUGGUUGGGGCCCGCGGCGCUCCACACUUGCCCUUUGGAUUCGCCUCGGGGCCAAGUUCGAGCGCGCCUUGGGUCCGGGGGCUAUUGUCGGCGUCCUAGGAAUGGGGGUACCUAGACUUGCCUGCCUGCGGCCCGUGGCGUGGCUCCAUCAAUGGCCCGGUACGGCCCAGCUUUAGCAGCAACAACUCAAGACCCUCGCGAGGGGCAAAGCCUCGCAAGGCGGAUGACACCAAGACCUCCCUGGGGGCGGCCUCACUAGGCCAUCUCCCGAGGAGCGGAGAUAUCUAUGCAAGGUGCACCUCGUGAGGUUCAUGUGACAUGAGCCAUGAUGACCAAGGCCAGGCGGGAGCCAGCGGGCGCAGUGUACUAGUUUCCUCUUUGGUGCUAAGGAGGCAAGCGCAGGCGCGGAGUCCCGAGGAAUCAAGCAAAGGUUUCCACUCCAGUGCAACAAGACCAAGAACGUCAGGACGAUGGGACGGAGGUCAUCGCGGAGCCCACCGCAGCGUCACCACCAGAGCCUUUUGCAGGCGAAGACUACUUUUGUCAGGAUAGCUUGUACUAGUUGUCUCCCUUCAAAUUUGGCCGUUGUGGGAUCCCUUCCCGCCUACAUUUGGGAAGAGGACCAAGGCCACUAUAAAUAGGAUUUAGCCACCACCAUAGAUGGAAGGAUAGAUCCAUUCCACCCUGACCACCUCACUAGCUCAUCGAGCUCAAGAACACCUCACCUCUUGAGGUUGUUCCACCACUGUACUAGUUCAUCCUCAGCCCCUCGAGGCAAUCCACCACAAAGCUGGAGUAGGGUAUUACACCGCAAGGUGGCCCGAACCAGGAUAAAUCCCUGUGUCUCUCAUUCUCUGGGUUCGUGGAGCUAGGCCGUGGAAUCGUUGAGCAGGCAGACUGGGAGAGAGAGUUCUUCGCACGCACCCCAUAGUUCGAACCUCUCAAGGGUCUGCGGAACCCCGAAUCCGACACACACGAGGUGGCCACAAGGACGGGGGCGCGCCCUCCACCAUUGUGGUGGCCUCAUGUCUCUUUUGGACUAUUUUAAUUUUCCUAAUUUUUUAAAUAUCCCAAAACGGAGAAAAUUUAUCAUUGGAAAACUUUUGGAGUCGGUUUACUUACCGUACCACAUACCUAUUCCUUUUCGGAGACUGAAACAUUCUGGAAAGUGUCCCUUAUGUACUCCUCCGGUGUUACGGUGUCAAUUAUAUUUAUUUCAACAUUUAUGGCAGUACCUGAGAUAUAAUGUUUGAUUCUUUGACCGUUACCACCUUCUGAUUUGUGCCUUCAGCGUUGUUGAUUUUUAUGGUACCGGAAUGAUAGACCUCCUCGAUAAUGUAUGGACCUUCCCAUUUAGAGAGAAGUUUCCUACGAAAAAUCUUAAACGAGAGUUGUAUAGUAAAACAUGAUCACCUAUAUUAAAAUCACGCUUUUGUAUCCUUUUGUCAUGCCAUCUUUUAACUUUUUCUUUAAACAACUUGGCAUUCUCAUAGGCUUGGGUUCUCCAUUCAUCGAGUGAGCUAAUGUCAAAUAACCUCUUCUCACCGGCAAGUUUAAAAUCAUACUUGAGCUCUUUAAUAGCCCAAUAUGCCUUAUGUUCUAGUUCAAGAGGUAAAUGACAUGCUUUUCCGUAAACCAUUUUAUAGGGAGACAUACCCAUAUAGGAUUCUUAUAAGCAGUUCUAUAGGGCCAUAUAGCAUCAUCAAGUUUCUUCGACCAAUUCUUUCUAGAUUUAUUAACAGUCUUUUGCUAAAUUAAUUUAAUCUCUCUAUUGCUCAAUUCUACUUGACCACUAGACUAAGGAUGAUAAGGAUAUGCAAUUUAUGGUUAACAUCAUACUUAGCAAGCAUUUUACGAAAAGCACCAUGAAUAAAAUGUAAACCACCAUCAGUCAUUAAAUAUCUAGGGACUCCAAACCUCAGAAAAAUAACUUCUUUAAGCAUCUUAAUAGAAGUGUUAUGAUCAGCACUACUAGUUGGAAUAGCUUCUACACCCACUUAGUAACGUAAUCAACAGCAACUAGAAUAUGUGUAUACACAUUAGAGGAAGGAAAAGGUCCCACAUAAUCAAAGCCCCAAACAUCAAAUGCUUUAAUAACAAGUGAAUAGUUCAUGGGCAUUUCCUCUCGUCUACUAAUAUUGCCAAUUCUUUGACAUUCAUCACAAGACAAGACAAACUUACGAGCAUCCCUGAAGAGAGUGGGCCAACAAAAACCGGAUUGCAAUACCUUGUGUGCAGUUCUAUCUCCAGCAUGGUGUCCUCCGUAAGCUUCGGAGUGGCACUUGCGUAGGAUCUGUUCAUGUUCAUACUCAGGUACACAACGUCUAAUAACACCAUCUACUCCAUUAUAAAGGUGUGGAUCAUCCCCAAAGUAAUGUCUUAAAUCAUAGAAAAACUUUUUGUUUUGCUGGUAUGUGAAACUAUGUGGUAUAAAUUUAGCAGCAAUAUAAUUAGCAUAAUCAGCAUACCAUGGAGUAUUACGAGAAGCAUUUAUAACAUUUAAUUGUUCCUCAGGAAAGCUAUCAUCAAUAGGUAGUGGGUCAUCAAGAACAUUUUCUAACCUAGAAAAGUUGUCUGCAACGGGGUUCUCAGCUCCCUUUCUAUCAAUAAUAUGCAAAUAAAAUUCUUGUAGCAAGAGAACCCACCUAAUAAGUCUAGGUUUAGCAUCUUUCUUUUCCAUAAGAUAUUUAAUAGCAGCAUGAUCAGUGUGAAUAGUUACUUUGGAAUCAACAAUAUAAGGUCUAAACUUAUCACAUGCAAAUACAGCUGCUAAACAUUCUUUGGGCACUGUCUAGAGUUUUACUAGCAUACUAAAUAACAUUUAAUUUCUUAUGAACUCUUUGUCCUAGAACAGCACCAACAGCAUAAUCACUAGCAUCACACAUAAUUUCAAAGGGUAAAAUUCCAAUCAGGUGGCUAAACAAUAGGUUCAGAAAUCAAGGCUUUCUUAAGUACUUCAAAUGCUUCUACACAAUCAUCAUCAAAAACAAAGGGAACAUCUUUUUGCAAGAUAUUAGUGAGAGGACAAGAAAUUUUAGAGAAGUCUUUAAUAAACCUCCUAUAGAAACCAUCAUGACCAAGGGAACUUCUUAUACAUUUGAUAUCUCUUGGACACGGCAUCUUUUCAAUAGCAUCUACUUUAGCUUUAUCAACUUCAAUACCUCUUUCAGAAAUUUUAUGCCCCAAGACAAUACCUUCAUUAACCAUAAAGUGGCACUUUUCUCAAUUCAAUACAAGAUUAGUUUCUUAAGAUAUCUGCAUAACUCGGUCAAGGUUGCUUAAGCAAUCAUCAAAAGAAGUUCCGUAAACGGAGAAAUCAUCCAUGAAAACCUCAACAAUCUUUUCACGGAAAUCAGAGAAUAUAGUAGUCAUACAUCUUUGAAAGGUAGCAGGUGCAUUGCAUAAACCAAAUGGCAUACGUCUACAAGCAAAGGUACCGAAAGGGCAAGUAAAAGUGGUUUUCUCUUGGUCAUCUUUUGACACAGGUAUUUGAGAGAAACCAGAAUAACCAUCUAGAAAGCAAAAUGUGUAUGCUUGUACAAUGUUUCUAGCAUUUGAUCAAUAAAUGGUAAAGGGUAAUGAUAUUUUCUAGUAGCUUUAUUAAAUUUGCAAAAAUCAAUUACCAUUCUAUAACCUAUAACAAUUCUUUGUGGAAUCAAUGCAUUCUUAUCAUUAGGAACAACAGUAAUACUUCCCUUCUUAGGGACACAGUGAACAUGGCUUACCCAUUGACUAUCGGCAAUAGGAUAAAUUAUACCUGCCUCUAAGAGGUAGAACUUAUAGCUUACAGAACACUAAUGGACAAGAGGUAGAACUUAUUUUUUUUGGCUUGCCGGAGAUCGCAAUGUUGGUCCAUCUUCCCAACUCCUUGUAGAGGCUAAGUUCACAACAGGAACCUGCAACUUCAUGCAGAUGGGAAUGAUGCAAGAUGCGGUCCUAUAUAUAUGCAUAUGCAAAUGCUCAUGAAAUGCUUAUGCAGUGCUCUUGGAAUGCUCAUGCAUGGAUGCAACUUGGUCAGGGGCCCCCUAGUGCUUCGUUUAUUUCUCUCUUGCUCAGGGUCAUUGCCCUGGCUUUGUACAAGGGGUUACAUGCAGUUGAGGCAAGGCCUGUACAAAAGGGUGGCUGCCGGGCAGGGCCCGAGAGCCGCGCCUUACUGGUAGAACUUGCGGAGGUGCUCAAUAUUCCAUGGGUUUUGCAAUUGAAUGCCAUCUCCAGUCUCUAGACAGACUGCGCCGGGUCUGGUGACUCGUACUACCCGGUAAGGGCCUUCCCACUUUGGCGUCAACUUUUUUGUACCCUUGGCAGACUAAAUGCGCCUAAGGAUAAGGUCGCCUUCCUCAAAACACCGGGCAUGAACCCUACGGCUAUGAUAGCGACACAGGGCUUGCUGAUAGCGUUCAGCACGCGUAGCAGCCCGGAGACGGUUCUCCUCGAUUAGCAUAGCAUCGUCACGCCAGUGCUGAUCUAGCGCUACUUCAUCGUAGGCAAGCACUCGAGGCGACCCCUAAAUGAGUUCCGUGGGGAUAAUUUCUUCUGCCCCGUAGACCAGGGAGAAGGGAGUCUACCUGGUAGCUCGACUUGGUGUUGUUCUGAGGGACCAGAGAACUACCGGCACCUCAUCGAUCCACCGCCUGCCGUGCUUCUGCAGCAUAUCAAAGGUUCUCGUCUUCAGUCCUCGCAGCAUUUCACGUUCGCCCUCUCAGCUUGUCCAUUGCUUUUGGGAUGUGUAACAGAGGCAAAUGAGAUCUUGCAUCCAAGGGCAUGAAUAUAUUGCAUGAAGGCGCGGCUCGUGAACUUGGUGCCAUUGUCGGUAAUGAUCCUUGCCGGGACUCCAAAGCGACACACCAAUUCUUUCAAGAACUUAAUAGCUGACUGAGCAGUCACCUUUCUCACGGCAGUCACUUCCGGCCACUUUGUAAACUUCUCGAUAGCAACGAACAAGAAUUCAAAGCCCCCGAUUGCUCGGGGGAGAGGGCCGAGGAUAUCGAGCCCCCAGACCGAAAAUGGCCAUGAUAAAGGGAUUGUCUGAAGAGCUUGGGCAGGCAGGUGGAUGUUCUUCGAAUGGAACUGGCAGGCUUCACAUUUGGUGACUAGCUCGACCGCAUCUUGGAGGGCUGUGGGCCAAUAGAAUCCUUGCCAGAAUGCUUUCCCAACUAAUGCCCUCGAUCCAAUGUGGGAGCCGCACUUGCCUUUGUGUAUUUCAGCUAGCAGUUCCUUUCCUUGUUCCUGGCAGAUGCACUUCAAUUUCACACCAUUGGGCCUCCUUCUGUAUAGAGUUUCAUCGACAAACUGAUACAUACUGGCCCUCCGGGCUACUCUUUCAGCUUCAUCUUGGUCGCGGGAAGCUCUCCGGUUUGGAGGAAGUGGACUAUGUGCCUUGCCCAAGUUGCGGUCCGGCAUAUGGUGAGGAGUUGUUUCCAGUAGGGUCUCUGCCAGGAGCGGACGGCUCUACUGGGAGAGGCUUACCGGAGUCCAACUUUCUCCUUUUCUAGGCCAUUGUUGUUGGGGAUACGGAGGGCUGAGUUAGAUGGAGAAUAAAAGUCCCUGGUUCCACAGGAAGCUUCUGCGCAGCACACUUUGACAGAUGAUCAGCUAUGCUGUUUUCCGCACGGGGUACGUGCCCUGUUUGCAAUCCGUCAAAGCGUUCCUCCAAUCUUCUCACUUCCUCAACAUAUGCCUCCAUCAAUGGGCUUUGGUAAUCCUUGUUGGCUUGUCUCACCACAAGUUGUGAAUCUCCUCGGAUGAUCAGCUUCUUAAUUCCCAAUUCUGCGGCAAUCCUGAGCCCGGCAAGGAGCCUUUCUACCUCUGUUGUAUUGUUGGUUGCCUCUUCCCGGGCAAAAUGCAUCUAGACGACGUACUUCAAGUGCUCCACAGAGGGGGCGACAAGAAGCACGCCAGCCCCUGCACCUUGUAGGGAAAAGGAACCAUUAAAAUACAUAAUCCAUUCUUGGGGUGAUUCCUUGCCGGGGAUAACUGUCUCUGGUACCUCCUCAUCAGGGGUUGGCGUCCAUUCUACAAUAAACUCUGCCAAUGCCCUGCUUUGGAUAGUUGAUGUGCUCUCAGACUUCAAACCAAAACUGGAUAACUCCAAAGCCCACUCCACUAUUCUACCGGUAGCCUCAGAGUUUCGGAAUAUCCUUUGCAACGGAAAACGAGUGACAAUCGUAAUCUCGUGAGCUUGGAAGUAGUGGCGCAGUUUCCUUGAGGCCAUGAUGAGACCAAAGAUCAACUUUUGCACGCCAGAGUACCUCGAUCUAGCCCCCCAUAACAAGGAGCUGACGAAGUACACUAGGCGUUGCACCAGUUUCUUCCUUGUCGGGUCCUUGGGGUUGCUCUCGCUGCCGUGCUCAUUGCUGUCUUGAUCCUUCUCUGCCUCUGCUGGUCCUUGCUCACUCUCUGCCUAAUCCACUUCCCGCUGCACCACCAAGGCUGCACUAACCACUUGGUUGGUUGCCGCUAAGUAUAGCAGCAAUGGCUCUUGUGGUUUGGGAGCAACCAGGGUAGGCACAGAGGACAAGUAGGUCUUCAACUCUUCCAAAGCUGCAUCUGCUUCCGGAGUCCACUUCAUGGGCCCUGCCUACUUCAAAAUUUUGAAGAACGGUAGUCGUGCUCGGCAGACUUGGAGAUGAAUCUGCUUAGCGCGGCAAUGCAUCCUAUCAGACGCGUCACAUCCUUAAAUGUCCUUGUUAGGAUUGGCUUCGAUCCCCCGAUGGGACACAAAGAACCCAAGCAGCUUGCCAGAUGGAACGCCAAACACACACUUCUUCGGGUUAGGCUUCAAGUUGAUCUUGCGCAGAUUAGCAAAUGUCUCCUCCAAAUCCUGAAUAAGGGUGGCUCUAUCCUUGGUCUUAGCCACAAUAUCAUCCAUAUAAGCUUCAAUGUUUCUGUGCAACUGUGGCUCGAAACCAAUCUGGACUGCCCUUGCAAAAGUGGACCCGGCACUCUUUAACCCAAAUGGCAUGCGGAUAAUACAGUACGUACCACAUUGAGUGAUGAACGAUGUCUUCUCUUCAUCUUCCUUAGACAUGAAGAUUUGGUGAUACCCAGAAUAUGCAUCCUAAAAGGAGAGCAAAUCGCAGCCUGAAGUGGAAUCCACAAUCUGAUCGAUGCUCGUCAAGGGAAACGGGUCCUUCGGGCAAGCUUUGUUGAGAUCGGUGAAAUCUAUGCAAAGCCUCUGUUGGGGAACGUAGUAAUUUCAAAAAAAAUCCUACGCACACACAGGAUCAUGGUGAUGCAUAGCAACGAGAGGGGAGAGUGUGUCCACGUACCCUCGUAGACCGAAAGCGGAAGCGUUAGCACAACGCGGUUGAUGUAGUCAUACGUCUUCACGAUCCGACCGAUCAAGUACCGAACGCACGGCACCUCCGAGUUCAUCACAUGUUCAACUCGAUGACGUCCCCUCGAACUCCGAUCCAGCCGAGCUUUGAGGGAGAGUUCCGUCAGCCCGACGGCGUGGUGACGAUGAUGAUGUUCUACCGACGCAGGGCUUCGCCUAAGCACCGCUAUGAUAUUAUCGAGGUGGAUUAUGGUGGAGGGGGCACUGCACACGGCUAAGAGAUCCAAGGGAUCAAUUGUUGUGUCUAUGGGGUGCUCCCCUCCUCCGUAUAUAAAGGGGGGGGGGAGAGGGCCGGCCAAGGGGAGGAGGCGCGCCCAAGGGGGGCAAUCCUACUCCAAGUAGGAUUCCCCCCUCUUUCCUAGUCCAAGUACGAGAGGAGAAGGAAGGGGAGGAGGACAAGAAGGAAAGGGGGGCGGCCCCCUAGUCCAAUUCGGUUUGGGCUAGGGGGGCUGCGCACCCCUAGCUGGCCGCCUCUCCUCUUCCACCACUUGGGCCCAUGAGGCCCAAUAACCCCCCGGGGGGUUCCGGUAACCCCCCGAUACUCCGGUAUAUGCUCGAUACUCUUCGAAACCAUUCCGGUGUCCGAACAUAGUCGUCCAAUAUAUCAAUCUUUACGUCUCGACCAUUUCGAGACUCCUCGUCAUGUCCGUGAUCACAUCCGGGACUCCGAACUACCUUCGGUACAUCAAAAAACAUAAACUCAUAAUAUAACCGUCAUCGAACUUUAAGCGUGCGGACCCUACGGGUUCGAGAACUAUGUAGACAUGACCGAGACACGUCUCCGGUCAAUAACCAAUAGCGGAACCUAGAUGCUCAUAUUGGCUCCCACAUAUUCUACAAAGAUCUUUAUCGGUCAAACCGCAUAACAACAUACGUUGUUCCCUUUGUCAUCGAUAUGUUACUUGCCCGAGAUUCGAUCGUCGGUAUCUCAAUACCUAGAUCAAUCUCGUUACCGGCAAGUCUCUUUACUCGUUCCAUAGUACAUCAUCCCGCAACUAACUCAUUAGUUGCAAUGCUUGCAAGGCUUAUAAUGAUGUGCAUUACCGAGUGGGCCUAGAGAUACCUCUCCGACAAUCAGAGUGACAAAUCCUAAUCUUUAAAUACGCCAACCCAACAAGUACCUUCGGAGACACCUGUAGAGCACCUUUAUAAUCACCCAGUUACGUUGUGACGUUUGGUAGCACACAAAGUGUUCCUCCGGUAAACGGGAGUUGCAUAAUCUCAUAGUCAUAGGAACAUGUAUAAGUCAUGAAGAAAGCAAUAGCAACAUACUAAACGAUCAAGUGCUAAGCUAACGGAAUGGGUCAUGUCAAUCACAUCAUUCUCCUAAUGAUGUGAUCCCGUUAAUCAAAUGACAAUUCUUUGUCUAUGGCUAGGAAACAUAACCAUCUUUGAUCAACAAGCUAGUCAAGUAGAGGCAUACUAGUGACACGCUGUUUGUCUAUGUAUUCACACAUGUAUUAUGUUUCCGGUUAAUACAAUUCUAGCAUGAAUAAUAAACAUCUAUCAUGAUAUAAGGAAAUAAAUAAUAACUUUAUUAUUGCCUCUAGGGCAUAUUUCCUUCAGUCUCCCACUUGCACUAGAGUCAAUAAUCUAGAUUACACAGCAAUGAUUCUAACACCCAUGGAGCCUUAGUGCUGAUAAUGUUUUGCUCGUGGUAGAGGCUUAGUCAACGGGUCUGCAACAUUCAGAUCCGUAUGUAUUUUGAAAAUCUCUAUGUCUCCCACCUGGACUUGAUCCCGGAUGGAGUUGAAGCGUCUCUUGAUGUGCUUGGUUCUCUUGUGAAAUCUGGAUUCCUUUGCCAAAGCAAUUGCACCAGUAUUGUCACAAAAGAUUUUCAUUGGACCCGAUGCACUAGGUAUGACACCUAGAUCGGAUAUGAACUCCUUCAUCCAGACUCCUUCAUUUGCUGCUUCCGAAGCAGCUAUGUACUCCGCUUCACAUGUAUAUCCCGCUACGACGCUUUGUUUAGAACUGCACCAACUGACAGCUCCACCAUUUAAUAAAAACACGUAUCAGGUUUGUGAUUUAGAAUCGUCCGGAUCAGUGUCAAAGCUUGCAUCGACGUAACCAUUUACGACGAGCUUUUUGUCACCUUCAUAAACAAGAAACAUAUCCUUAGUCCUUUUCAGGUAUUUCAGGAUGUUCUUGACCGCUGUCCAAUGAUCCACUCCUGGAUUACUUUGGUACCUCCCUGCUAAACUAAUAGCAGGGCACACAUCAGGUCUGGUACACAGCAUUGCAUACAUGAUAGAGCCUAUGGCUGAAGCAUAGGGAACAUCUUUCAUUUUCUCUCUAUCUUCUACAGUGGUCGGGCAUUGAGUCGUAGUCAACUUCACACCUUGUAACAUAGGCAAGAACCCUUUCUUUGCUUGAUCCAUUUUGAACCUCUUCAAAACUUUGUCAAGGUAUGUGCUUUUUGAAAGUCCAAUUAAGCGUCUCGAUCUAUCUCUAUUGAUCUUGAUGCCCAAUAUACAAGCAGCUUCACCGAGGUCCUUCACUGAAAAACUCUUAUUCAAAUAUCCUUUUAUGCUAUCCAGAAAUUCUAUAUCAUUUCCAAUGAACAAUAUGUCAUCCACAUAUAAUAUCAGAAAUGCUACAGAGCUCCCACUCACUUUCUUGUAAAUACAGGCUUCUCCAAAAGUCUGUAUAAAACCAUAUGCUUUGAUCACACUAUCAAAACAUUUAUUCCAACUCCGAGAGGCUUGCACCAGUUGCUACCUCUUGAGCACUGCGUUGGUUUUCCCUUGAAGAGGAAAGGGUGAUGCAGCAAAGUAGCGUAAGUAUUUCCCUCAGUUUUUGAGAACCAAGGUAUCAAUCCAGUAGGAGGCUACGCGCGAGUCCCUCGCACCUACACAAAACAAAUAAAUCCUUGCAACCAACGCGAUAAGGGGUUGUCAAUCCCUUCACCGUCACUUACGAGAGUGAGAUCUGAUAGAUAUGAUAGGAUAAUAUUUUUGGUAUUUUUGUGAUAAAGAUGCAAAGUAAAAUAAAAGCAAAGUAAAAGCAAAGGAAAUAACUAAGUGUUGGAAGAUUAAUAUGAUGAAGAUAGACCCGGGGGCCAUAGGUUUCACUAGUGGCUUCUCUCGAGAGCAUAAGUAUUUUACGGUGGGUGAACGAAUUACUGUUGAGCAAUUGACAGAAUUGAGCAUAGUUAUGAGAAUAUCUUGGUAUGAUCAUGUAUAUAGGCAUCACGUCCGAGACAAGUAGACCGAAUCCUGCCUGCAUCUACUACUAUUACUCCACUCAUCGACCGCUAUCCAGCAUGCAUCUAGAGUAUUAAGUUCAUGAAAACAGAGUAACGCCUUAAGCAAGAUGACAUGAUGUAGAGGGAUAAAUUCAUGCAAUAUGACAAAAAAAACCGUCUUGUUAUCCUCGAUGGCAACAAUACAAUACAUGCCUUGCUGCCCCUACUGUCACUGGGAAAGGACGCCGCAAGAUUGAACCCAAAGCUAAGCACUUCUCCCAUUGCAAGAAAGAUCAAUCUAGUAGGCCAAACCAAACUGAUAAUUCGAAGAGACUUGCAAAGAUAACCAAUCAUACAUAAAAGAAUUCAGAGAAGAUUCAAAUAUUGUUCAUAGAUAAACUUGAUCAUAAACCCACAAUUCACCGGUCUCAACAAACACACCGCAAAAGAAGAUUACAUCGAAUAGAUCUCCAUGAGAGAGGGGGAGAACAUUGUAUUGAGAUCCAAAAAGAGAGAAGAAGCCAUCUAGCUACUAACUAUGGACCCGAAGGUCUGAAGUAAACUACUCACACUUCAUCGGAGAGGCUAUGGUGUUGAUGUAGAAGCCCUCCAUGAUGGAUGCCCCCUCCGGCGGAGCUCGGGAACAGGCCCCAAGAUGGGAUCUCGUGGGUACAGAAGGUUGCGGCGGUGGAAUUAGGUUUUUGGCUCCGUAUCUGAUCGUUUGGGGGUACGUAGGUAUAUAUAGGAGGAAGGAGUACGUCGGUGGAGCAACAGGGGGCCCACGAGGGUGGAGGGCGCGCCCUGGGGGGUAGGCGUGCCCCCUACCUCGUGACCUCCUCCUUUGUUCCUUGACGUAGGGUCCAAGUCUCCUGGAUCAUAUUCUUCCUAAAAAUCACGUUCCCGAAGGUUUCAUUCCGUUUGGACUCCAUUUGAUAUUCCUUUUCUGCGAAACUCUGAAAUAGGCAAAAAACAGCAAUUCUGGGCUGGGCCUCCGGUUAAUAGGUUAGUCCCAAAAAUAAUAUAAAAGUGAAUAAUAAAGCACAAUAAUGUCCAAAACAGUAGAUAAUAUAGCAUGGAGCAAUCAAAAAUUAUAGAUACGUUGGAGACGUAUCAAGCAUCCCCAAGCUUAAUUCCUGCUCGUCCUCGAGUAGGUAAAUGAUAAAAACAGAAUUUUUGAUGCGGAGUGCUACUUGGCAUAAUUUCAAUGUAAUUCUUCUUAAUUGUGGUAUGAAUAUUCAGAUCUGAAAGAUUCAAGACAAAAGUUUAAUAUUGACAUAAAAAUAAUAAUAAUACUUCAAGCAUACUAACAAAGCAAUCAUGUCUUCUCAAAAUAACAUGGCCAAAGAAAGUUAUCCCUACAAAAUCAUAUAGUCUGGCUAUGCUCUAUCUUCACCACACAAAGUAUUUAAAUCAUGCACAACCCCAAUGACAAGCCAAGCAAUUGUUUCAUACUUUUGACGUUCUCAAACUUUUUCAAUCUUCACGCAAUACAUGAGCGUGAGCCAUGGACAUAGCACUAUAUGUGGAAUAGAAUGGUGGUUGUGGAGAAGACAAAAAGGGAGAAGAUAGUCUCACAUCAACUAGGCGUAUCAACGGGCUAUGGAGAUGCCCAUCAAUAGAUAUCAAUGUGAGUGAGUAGGGAUUGCCAUGCAACGGAUGCACUAGAGCUAUACGUAUAUGAAAGCUCAACAAAAGAAACUAAUUGGGUGUGCAUCCAACUCGCUUGCUCACGAAGACCUAGGGCAUUUUGAGGAAGCCCAUCAUUGGAAUAUACAAGCCAAGUUCUAUAAUGAAAAUUUCCCACUAGUAUAUGAAAGUGACAAAAUGAGAGACUCUCUAUCAUGAAGAUCAUGGUGCUACUUUGAAGCACAAGUGUGGUAAAAGCAUAGUAACAUUGUCCCUUCUCUCUUUUUCUCUCAUUUUUCUAUUUGGGCCUUUUUUUUAUGGCCUCUUUUUUUUCGUCCGGAGUCUCAUCCCGACUUCUGGGGGAAUCAUAGUCUCCAUCAUCCUUUCCUCACUUGGGACAAUGCUCUAAAAAUGAAGAUCAUCACACUUUUAUUGUCUUACAACUCAACAAUUACAACUCGAUACUUAGAACAAAAUAUGACUCUAUAUGAAUGCCUCCGGCGGUGUACCGGGAUAUGCAAUGAAUCAAGAGUGACAUGUAUGAAAGAAUUAUGAACGGUGGCUUUGCCACAAAUACGAUGUCAACUACAUGAUCAUGCAAAGCAAUAUGACAAUGAUGGAGCAUGUCAUAAUAAACGGAAUGGUGGAAAGUUGCAUGGCAAUAUAUCUCGGAAUGGCUAUGGAAAUGCCAUGAUAGGUAGGUAUGGUGGCUGUUUUGAGGAUGGUUUAUGGUGGGUGUAUGAUACCGGUGAAAAGUGCGCGGUAUUAGAGAGGCUAGCAAUGGUGGAAGGAAGAAGAGUGCGUAUAGUCCAUGGACUCAACAUUAGUCAUAAAGAACUCAUAUACUUAUUGUAAAAAUCUACAAGUUAUCAAAGCAAAGUAUUACGCGCAUGCUCCUAGGGGGAUAGAUUUGUAGGAAAAGACCAUCGCUCAUCCCCGACCGCCACUCAUAAGGAAGACAAUCAAUAAGUAAAUCAUGCUCCGACUUCAUCACAUAACGGUUCACCAUACGUGCAUGCUACGGGAAUCACAAACUUUAACACAAGUAUCUCUCAAAUUCACAACUACUCAACUAGCAUGACUCUAAUAUCACCAUCUUUAUAUCUCAAAACAAUUAUCAAGCAUCAACUUUUCAUAGUAUUCAACACACUUAUAAGAAUUUUUUACUAUUAUUGAAUACCAAGCAUAUUAGGAUUAUUCAAGCAAUUACCAUGCUAUUCAAGACUCUCAAAAUAAAAUAAGUGAAGCAUGAGAGAUCAAUAGUUUCUAUAAAACAAAUCCACCACUGUGCUCUAAAAGAUAUAAGUGAAGUACUAGAGCAAAACUAUAUAACUCAAAAGAUAUAAGUGAAGCACAUAGAGUAUUCUAACAAAUUCCAAAUCAUGUAUGGCUCUCUCAAAAGGUGUGUACAGAAAGGAUGAUUGUGGUAAACUAAAAGGCAAAGACUCAAAUCAUACAAGACGCUCCAAGCAAAACACAUAUCAUGUGGUGAAUAAAAAUAUAGCUUCAAGUAAAGUUACCGAUGGAAGUAGACGAAAGAGGGGAUGCCUUCCGGGGCAUCCCCAAGCUUUGGCUUUAUGGUGUCCUUAGAUUAUCUUGGGGGUUCCAUGGGCAUCCCCAAGCUUAGGCUCUUGCCACUCGUUGUUCCAUAAUCCAUCAAAUCUUUGACCCAAAACUUGAAAACUUCACAACACAAAACUUAACAGAAAAUCUCGUGAGCUCCGUUAGCGAAAGAAAACAAAAGACCACUUCAAGGUACUGUAAUGAACUCAUUCUUUAUUUAUAUUGGUGUUAAACCUACUGUAUUCCAACUUCUCUAUGGUUUAUAAACUAUUUUACUAGCCAUAGAUUCAUCAAAAUAAGCAAACAACAGAUGGAAAACAGAAUCUGUCAAAAACAGAACAGUCUGUAGCAAUCUGUAACUAACUUAAACUUAUGGAACUCCAAAAUAGGAAGACCUAGACAAUUUGUUUAUUGAUCAGCAGCAAUUGGAAUCACUAUUUUAUCACUUCCUGGUGAUUUUUAACAAUUGUUUUCGUGAACAGAAAGUUUCUGGAAAUUUCUGCAAGAUCAAAUAACUAUCAUCCAAGAAGAUCCUAUAGGUUUAACUUGGCACAAACACUAAUUAAAACAUAAAAACGCAUCUAACCAGAGGCUAGAACAAAUAUUUAUUCCUAAACAGAAGCAAAAAGCAAAAAAAAACUAAAAAUAAAAUUGGGUUGCCUCCCAACAAGCGCUAUCGUUUAAUGCCCCUAGCUAGGCAUAAAAGCAAGGAUAGAUCUAGGUAUUGCCAUCUUUGGUAGGCAAUCCAUAAAUGGCUCUCAUGAUAGAUUCAUAUGGUAAUUUUAUUUUCUUCCUAGGGAAGUGUUCCAUGCCUUUAUUAAAUGUAAAUUGGAAUCUAAUAUUCCCUUCCUUCAUAUCAAUAAUUGCACCAAUCGUUCUAAGGAAAGGUCUACCAAGAAUAAUAGGACAUGAAGGAUUGCAAUCUAUAUCAAGAACGAUAAAAUCUACGGGCACAUAAUUCCUAUUUGCAACAAUAAGAACAUCAUUAAUUCUUCCCAUAGGUUUCUUAAUAGUGGAAUCUGCAAGGUGCAAGUUUAGAGAGCAAUCAUCAAAAUCACGGAAAUCUAGCAAAUCGCACAAAGUUUUGGGAAUAGUGGAAACACUAGCACCCAAAUCACAUAAAGCAUAGAACUCAUGAUCCUUAAUCUUAAUUUUAAUAGUAGGUUCCCACUCAUCAUAAAGUUUUCUAGGAAUAGAAACUUCCAACUCAAGCUUCUCUUCAUAAGAUUGCAUCAAGGCAUCAACGAUAUGUUUAGUAAACGCUUUAUUUUGACUAUAAGCAUGAGGAGAAUUUAGCACGGAUUGCAACAAGGAAAUACAAUCUAUCAAAGAGCAAUUUUCAUAAUUAAAUUCCUUGAAAUCCAAAAUAGUGGGUUUAGCAACAUCUAGGGUUUUGAUCUCUUCAAUCCCACUUUUAUCAAUUUUGGCAUCAAGAUCUAAAAACUCUGAAUUUUUGGAAUGCCUUCUAGGAAAAGGUGGAUCAUAUUCAGUCCCAUCAUUAUCAAGAUUCAUAUUGCAAAACAAACAUUUAAUAGGAGACACAUCAAUAACUUUUAGAUCUUCAUCUUUAUUUUCAUAGAAAUUUGAAGAACGCGCUUUCAUAAAGAAAUCUUUCUUAGCAUGCAUUCUAGCGGUUCUUUCUUUGCACUCAUCAAUGGAAAUUCUCAUGGCUUUGAGAGAAUCAUUGAUAUCAUGCUUAGGAGGAAUAGAUCUAAGCUUUAAAGAAUCAAGAUCAAGAGAAAUUCUAUCAACGUUCCUAACCAAUUCAUCAACUUUAAGCAAUUUCUCUUCAAGCAAAGCAUUGAAAUUCUUUUGCGAAUUCAUAAACUCUUUAACACUAGUCUUUAAUUCAGAGGGCAUCUUAUUAAAAUUUCCAUAAGAGUUGUUGUAGGAAUUACCAUAAUUAUUAUAGGAAUUUCUAGGAUAAGGCCUAGGAUUAAAGUUUCCUCUAUACGCGUUGUUACCAAAAUUAUUCCUACCAACAAAAUUCACAUCCAUAGAUUCAUUAUUAUUCUCAAUCAAAGUAGACAAAGGCAUAUCAUUAGGAUCAGAAGAAACACUCUUAGUAGCAAAUAAUUUCAUAAGUUCGUCCAUCUUUCCACUCAAAACAUUAAUUUCUUCUAUCGCAUGCACUUUUUUAUUAGUAGAUCUUUCAGUGUGCCAUUGAGAAUAAUUAACCAUAAUAUUAUCUAGGAAUUUAGUAGCUUCUCCUAAAGUGAUUUCCAUAAAAGUGCCUCCCGCGGCCGAAUCUAAAAGAUUUCUAGAAGCAAAAUUCAAUCCGGCAUAAAUUUUUUGUAUAAUCAUCCAUAAAUUCAAACCAUGAGUAGGGCAAUUACGUAUCAUUAAUUUCAUCCUCUCCCAUGCUUGUGCAACAUCUUCAUGAUCAAGUUGCUUAAAAUUCAUAAUAUCGUUUCCAAGAGAGAUGAUCUUAGCGGGAGGAAAAUACUUAGAGAUAAAAGCAUCUUUGCACUUGUUCCAAGAAUCAAUACUAUUUUAGGCAAAGACGAAAACCAAGCUUUAGCACGAUCUAUAAGUGAAAAAGGAAACAGCUUUAGUUUAACAAUAUCAUUGCCAAUAUCUUUCUUCUUUUGCAUAUCACACAAAUCAACGAAGCUAUUUAGAUGAGUAGCGGCAUCUUCACUAGGAAGGUCGGCGAAUUGAUCUUUCAUGACAAGAUUCAACAAAGCAGCAUUGAUUUGACAAGAUUCAGUAUCGGUAAGAGGAGCAAUCGGAGUGCUAAGGAAAUCAUUAUUGUUGGUAUUGGUAAAGUCACAUAAUUUGGUAUUAUCUUGAGCCAUCGUGACAAACAAGCAAUCCAACACAUGAGCAACCAAAAAGCAAGCGAAAAAGAGGCGAACGAAAAAGAGAGGGCGAAUAAAAUGGCAAGGGUGAAGUGGGGGAGAGGAAAACAAGAGGCAAAUGGAAAAUAAUGUAAUGCGGGAGAUAAGGGAUUGUGAUGGGUACUUGGUAUGUUGACUUUUGCGUAGACCUCCCCGGCAACGGCGCCAGAAAUCCUUCUUGCUACCUCUUGAGCACUGCGUUGGUUUUCCCUAGAAGAGGAAAGGGUGAUGCAGCAAAGUAGCGUAAGUAUUUCCCUCAGUUUUUGAGAACCAAGGUAUCAAUCCAGUAGGAGGCUACGCGCGAGUCCCUCGCACCUACACAAAACAAAUAAAUCCUCGCAACCAACGCGAUAAGGGGUUGUCAAUCCCUUCACGGUCACUUACGAGAGUGAGAUCUGAUAGAUAUGAUAGGAUAAUAUUUUUGGUAUUUUUGUGAUAAAGAUGCAAAGUAAAAUAAAAGCAAAGUAAAAGCAAAGGAAAUAACUAAGUGUUGGAAGAUUAAUAUGAUGAAGAUAGACCCGGGGGCCAUAGGUUUCACUAGUGGCUUCUCUCGAGAGCAUAAGUAUUUUACGGUGGGUGAACGAAUUAUUGUUGAGCAAUUGACAGAAUUGAUCAUAGUUAUGAGAAUAUCUAGGUAUGAUCCUGUAUAUAGGCAUCACGUCCGAGACAAGUAGACCGACUCCUGCCUGCAUCUACUACUAUUACUCCACUCAUCGACCGCUAUCCAGCAUGCAUCUAGAGUAUUAAGUUCAUGAAAACAGAGUAACGCCUUAAGCAAGAUGACAUGAUGUAGAGGGAUAAAUUCAUGCAAUAUGAUAAAAACCCCAUCUUGUUAUCCUCGAUGGCAACAAUACAAUACGUUCCUUGCUGCCCCUACUGUCACUAGGAAAGGACACCACAAGAUUGAACCCAAAGCUAAGCACUUCUCCCAUUGCAAGAAAGAUCAAUCUAGUAGGCCAAACCAAACUGAUAAUUUGAAGAGACUUGCAAAGAUAACCAAUCAUACAUAAAAGAAUUCAGAGAAGAUUCAAAUAUUGUUCAUAGAUAAACUUGAUGAUAAACCCAAAAUUCAUCGGUCUCAACAAACACACCGCAAAAGAAGAUUACAUCGAAUAGAUCUCCACGAGAAAGGGGGAGAACAUUGUAUUGAGAUCCCAAAAGAGAGAAGAAGCCAUCUAGCUACUAUCUAUGGACCCGAAGGUCUGAAGUAAACUACUCACACUUCAUCGGAGAGGCUAUGGUGUUGAUGUAGAAGUCCUCCGUGAUGGAUGCCCCCUCCGGCGGAGCUCCGGAACAGGCCCCAAGAUGGGAUCUCGUGGGUACCGAAGGUUGCGUCGGUGGAAUUAGGUUUUUGGCUCCGUAUCUGAUCGUUUGGGGGUACGUAGGUAUAUAUAGGAGGAAGGAGUACGUCGGUGGAGCAACAGGGGGCCCACGAGGGUGGACGGCACGCCCCUGGGGGGUAGGCGCGCCCCCUACCUCGUGGCCUCCUCCUUUGUUUCUUGACGUAGGGUCCAAGUCUCCUGGAUCAUAUUCUUCUUAAAAAUCACGUUCCCGGAGGUUUCAUUCCGUUUGGACUCCGUUUGAUAUUCCUUUUCUGUGAAACUCUGAAAUAGGCAAAAAACAGCAAUUCUAGGCUGGGCCUCCGGUUAAUAGGUUAGUCCCAAAAAUAUUAUAAAAGUGAAUAAUAAAGCCCAAUAAUGUCCAAAACAGUAGAUAAUAUAGCAGGGAGCAAUCAAAAAUUAUAGAUACAUUGGAGACGUAUCACCAGUCCAUAAAUGGAUCGCUGGAGCUUGCACACUUUGUUAGCUCCCUUUGGAUCGACAAAACCUUCCGGUUGCAUCAUAUACAACUCUUCUUCCAGAAAUCCAUUCAGGAAUGCAGUUUUGACAUCCAUUUGGCAAAUUUCAUAAUCAUAAAAUGCGGCAAUUGCUAACAUGAUUCGGACAGACUUAAGCAUAGCCACGGGUGAGAAGGUCUCAUCGUAGUCAAUCCCUUGAACUUGUCGAAAACCUUUUGCAACAAGUCGAGCUUUAUAGACAGUAACAUUACCGUCAGCGUCAGUCUUCUUCUUGAAGAUCCAUUUAUUCUCGAUGGCUUGCCGAUCAUCGGGCAAGUCAACCAAAGUCCAUACUUUGUUCUCAUACAUGGAUCCCAUCUCGGAUUUCAUGGCCUCAAGCCAUUUUGCGGAAUCUGGGCUCACCAUCGCUUCUUCAUAGUUCGUAGGUUCAUCAUGGUCUAGUAACAUAACCUCCAGAACAAGAUUACCGUACCACUCUGGUGCGGAUCUUACUCUGGUUGACCUACGAGGUUCAGUAAUAACUUGAUCUGAAGUUUCAUGAUCAUCAUCAUUAACUUCCUCACUAAUUGGUGUAGACGUCACAGGAACCGGUUUCUGUGAUGAACUAUUUUCCAAUAAGGGAGAAGGUACUGUUACCUCAUCAAGUUCUACUUUCCUCCCACUCACUUCUUUCGAGAGAAACUCCUUCUCUAGAAAGGAUCCAAAUUUAGCAACAAAACUCUUGCCUUCAGAUCUGUGAUAGAAGGUGUACCCAACAAUUUCUUUUGGGUAUCCCAUGAAGACACAUUUCUCUGAUUCGGGUUCGAGCUUAUCAGGUUGAAGCUUUUUCACAUAAGCAUCGCAGCCCCAAACUUUAAGAAACGACAACUUUGGUUUCUUGCCAAACCACAGUUCAUAAGGCGUCGUCUCAACAGAUUUUGAUGGUGCCCUAUUUAACGUGAAUGCAGCCAUCUCUAAAGCAUAACCCCAAAACGAUAGCGGUAAAUCAGUAAGAGACAUCAUAGAUCGCGCCAUAUCUAGUAAAGUAUGAUUACGACGUUCGGACACACCAUUACGCUGUGGUGUUCCAGGUGGCGUGAGUUGCAAAACUAUUCCGCAUUGUUUCAAAUGUAGACCAAACUCGUAACUCAAAUAUUCUCCUCCAUAAUCAGAUCGUAGAAACUUUAUUUUCUUGUUACGGUGGUUUUCCACUUCACUCUGAAAUUCUUUGAACUUUUCAAAUGUUUCAGACUUAUGUUUCAUUAAGUAGAUAUACCCAUAUCUGCUUAAAUCAUCUGUGAAGGUGAGAAAAUAACGAUACCCGCGGCGAGCCUCAACAUUCAUUGGACCACAUACAUCUGUAUGUAUGAUUUCCAACAAAUCUGUUGCUCGCUCCAUAGUUCCAGAGAACGGCGUUUUAGUCAUCUUGCCCAUGAGGCACGGUUCGCAAGUACCAAGUGAUUCAUAAUCAAGUGGUUCCAAAAGUCCAUCGGUAUGGAGUUUCUUCAUGCGCUUUACACCAAUAUUGUAACACCCCGGAUGUAACUUUCCAUAUUUGUAACUCCAACUCUUGCCAUUUCUGGCUAUGUGUUAUGAUAUUCCCUUCAUGGUCGGGUUUUGUCUUUUGUUUUGCAUUUUUUUCAUGUCAUGCAUCUCAUACCAUGUCAUCAUGUGCAUUGCUUUUGCAUACGUGUUCGUCUCAUGCAUCCGAGCAUUUUCCCCGUUGUCCGUUUUGUAAUCCGGCACUCCCACCUCCUCCGGCGCACCCCUCUUGUUUUCUUUUCGUAAGCGGGUGUUGAACGUUCUCGGAAUGGACCGAGGCUUGUCAAGUGGCCUUGGUAUACCACCGGGAGACCACCGGUCAAGUUUCGUUACAUUUGGAGGUCGUUUGGUACUCCAACGGUUAACCGGGUAACCGCAGAUGCCUUUUAUGUGUUGCAGCAAAAAACCCCUCCAAACAGCCCAAAACCCCUCUAAGUCAUCUCCAUGCUCUAGGUCGUUCGAUCACGAUCGUGUGGGCGAAAACCGCACUCCAUUUGGAGUCUCCUAGCUCCCUCUAGCUAUAUAUAUGUGAGUCCCCCCGAAACAUUCGCAGAUCAAACCCUAAAAUCGCCCCUCCGCGCGCCGGACGUGUCCGUACCGCCGCCGGACGAACCCGCCACCGCCCUCGCCCACUCGCAGAGUGCCACAUGGCAGCCCGUACGCCGGCCGCCGCCGAAGCCCGCGAGCCCGGGGCCGGCCCCCGCGGCCCGCAACGCUGCCGGCCGCCCGGGUCCCCGCUCCCCGCCGCCCGAGCGCCCUCCCCGCGCCGCCUCCUCUCCGCCAUCGCCGCCACGCCGCCGCUGCAGCACCCCGCGCCGCCUCCUCUCCGCCGGCGCCGCCGCGCCUCGCCGUCUCCAGCGCCGCCCGAGCCCUGCUCCCCUCGCCGCCGUCUCCCUCUCCCUCCUCUCCGCCGGCGCCGCCCCUCUCCAUCUCCGGCAGCAGCUCCGGCCGCCCCGUCGCCUCUACCUCCGGCGAGCUUCGGCAGGCCAGAUCUGGAUCGAACCUAGGUUGACUUUUUCCCCCUGUCAAAAUAUUUCUAAGUCCUAAUAUUUUUACAGUACUUGCCCCUGUUCAUCGCAUCAUAACUCUCUGCAUAUAGCUCCGUAUCGCGUGUGUAAUAUGUCGAAAUGUUCGCCUCUUGAUGAUCUACAUUUUUUUCCAUUGCACCAUGUUCAUUUGAGUCCAUCUUGAUGUCCAAAUCUCUGGUGCAAGAGUGCUACUUGCUGUUAACUGCUGUUACUUAUCAGAACUUGGAGAUUUGUUAUUUUUGUUGCAUUUAAUCUGUGCAUCUUAUGAGUAUGAGCUCUACUUGGGUUUUGUUGUAUGCCAUGCCAUCUUUAUAGAGGUGUAUGACAUGUAUUUCUGUGAUCUCUGUGGUGACUAGCCCAAGCAUGCAAACUAGGCUUCGUAAUGUUUCUGAUUUCAGGGACUUGGUAAUUUUACCAAGUCUGUGACUGCGGUUAUUUUGUUGCUAUGUAUCCAUGUGGUUACAGAGAGAUCCAUGCUUAUUUUGGUGAUGUUCAAUAAGGAUGUUUUGUAGAUAUUAUUGUAAUUGAUCCAUUAAUGCCCUUGUUUGCAAUUAUGGAGUGCCAUAGCAUGACUAAAUCUUGCUCUACUUUUUGCUAUAAAAUAUUUCUGGCAGAUUCUUAACAUGAUAUUCAAUUUUGCCAAGCUUUUUGUAGUUGUUUCAUACAUGCUAUGUAUUUGCUCUUGCCAUGGAUAGCUUCAAACACAUGCCAUCUUGCUGUAGGUAUGCUUGUUUUUUCAUGAAUGUCUUUGUGGUGGGUGCAUCAAGCUCACCAAGAUGCCUUCAUAUUAUUGUUUCUGCCAUGCUCUGUUUUCUGCUAAGUCUGAAACCUGUUAACGAAACUUGCUAUGUUUAUAUGGUUACCAUCAUAUCUUCUGGUCCUUUUUUGCUUAUGGUCAUUAAGGGACUUUUGUCAUAUGCAUUUAGUAGAAUACUUCCAUGCCUUGUUUUGCCAUGUUAAGUUCCCGUAGCAUGUUUAUUUCGUGCUCUGAACAUUGCUACGUGAUGCUGUUUCAGUCAUGUCCAGUAAUUUCACUAAGUCUGUAAACCUGUUAUCUUUUGCACUUUUGCCAUGCUUGUUUGAGCCUGCUAUAUUGUGAUCUAGCCGUAGCUCAGUGUUCAUCUUUUGUCAAGCAUCUCCUGUAGAUUACUUUCAUAUGCUUUGUUGCUAUGUUGGAGUGCUGUAGCAUAGUUUCUCGGUGUAUUUUAAGUGCUAUCAUGCUGUUAAUUGCAGAUUCCUGUCAUUCUUGUUUUGCUUGCCAUUUGCAAACCGUGCAUCCGUUUCCGGUGAUCUUUAUAUCGGUUUCGACCGAAAUCAUCUCAUCUUUCGAGUGGCAUACUUGGUUUGCCAAGUUACUGCCUUGUUCAUCAUUUUCCUUCCGGAGCACGCAUAUGCAUAUCAUAUCUUGCAUAUCAUUCGUGUAUUGCAUCAUUUUGCUUGUGCAUUUCCCGUGAUUGAUUGUGGUUCCGUUGCUUGUGUUCUUAUUUUGGGUAGAGCCGGGAGACGAGUUCGUGAACGAGGAACCUGUUGAGUACGUUUACGAGGAUCAAGCUUUCGACAACUCUGAGAACCUUGCAGGCAAGAUGACCACACCCUCGAAAUCACUUCUAUCUUUGCUUUGCUAGUUGUUCGUUCUAUUGCCAUGGUGCGCUACCUACCACUUGCUAUAUCAUGCCUCCCAUAUUGCCAUGUCAGCCUCUAACCAUCCUUUCCUAGCAAACCGUUGUUUGGCUAAGUUACCGCUUUUGCUCAGCCCUUCUUAUAGCGUUGCUAGUUGCAGGUGAAGAAGUUUGUUCCAUGUUGGAACAUGGAUAUGUUGGGAUAUCACAAUAUCUCUUAUUUAAUUAAUGCAUCUAUAUAUUUGGUAAAGGGUGGAAGGCUCGGCCUUAUGCCUGGUGUUUUGUCCCACUUUUGCCGCCCUAGUUUCCGUCUUACCGGUAUUAUGUUCCUUGAGUUUGCGUUCCUUACGCGGUUGGGUGAUUUAUGGGACCCCCUUGACAGUUCGCCUUGAAUAAAACUCCUCCAGCAAGGCCCAACCUUGGUUUUACCAUUUUCCACCUAAGCCUUUUCCCCCGGGUUUUCGCGAGCCUGAGGGUCAUCUUUAUUUAAACCCCCGGGCCAGUGUUCCUCUAAGUGCUGGUCCAAACUAGAGCCACUUGCAGCGCCACCUUGGGGAAACUCGAGGAUUGGUUUUAGUUGUACAUAGUGUUCAUCCGGUGUGCCCUGAGAACGAGAUAUGUGCAGCUCCUAUCGGGAUUUGUCGGCACAUUCGGGCGGCUUUGCUGGUCUUGUUUUACCAUUGUCGAAAUGUCCUAUAAACCGGGAUUCCGAGACUGAUCGGGUCUUCCUGGGAGAAGGUUUAUCCUUCGUUGACCGUGAGAGCUUAUGACGGGCUAAGUUGGGACACCCCUGCAGGGUAUUAUCUUUCGAAAGCCGUGCCCGCGGUUAUGAGGCAGAUGGGAAUUUGUUAAUGUCCGGUUGUAGAGAACUUGUCACUUGACCCAAUUAAAAUACAUCAACCGUGUGUGUAGCCGUGAUGGUCUCUUCUCGGCGGAGUCUGGGAAGUGAACACGGUUUGAGUUAUGCAUGAACGUAAGUAGUUUCAGGAUCACUUCUUGAUCAUUUCUAGCUUCGCGACCGUUGCGUUGCUUCUCUUCUCGCUCUCAUUUGCGUAUGUUAGCCACCAUAUAUGCUUAUUGCCUGCUGCAGCUCCACCUCAUUACACCAUCCUUUCCUAUAAGCUUAAAUAGUCUUGAUCUCGCGGGUGUGAGAUUGCUGAGUCCUCGUGACUCACAGAUUCUACCAAAACAGUUGCAGGUGCCGACGAUGCCAGUGCAGGUGACGCAACCGAGCUCAAGUGGGAGUUCGAUGAGGAACGUGGCCGUUACUAUGUGUCUUUUCCCGAUGAUCAGUAGUGGAGCCCAGUCGGGACGAUCGGGGAUCUAGCAUUUGGGGUUAUCUUAUUUUCAUUUAGAUUUGACCGUAGUCGGUCUAUGUGUGGAUUUUGGAUGAUGUAUGAAUUAUAUUUAUGUAUUGUGUGAAGUGGCGAUUGUAAGCCAACUCUCGUUAUCCCAUUCUUGUUCAUUACAUGGGAUUGUGUGAAGAUGACCCUUCUUGCGACCAAACCACAAUGCGGUUAUGCCUCUAAGUCAUGCCUCGACACGUGGGAGAUAUAGCCGCAUCAUGGGCGUUACAAAUAUGACCUAAACGGUAGUGCCACAAAUAAGUUGCACUAUCAUUAUCAACUCUGCAUCUUUUGGCCUCAAUAUUAUGAAUAUGUGUAUCACUACUAUCCAGAUUUAAUAUAAAUAGACCACUCCUCAAGGGUGCAUGACCAUAAAAGAUAUUACUCAUAUAAAUAGAACAACUAUUAUUCUCUGAUUUAAAUGAAUAACUGUCUCGCAUCAAACAAGAUCCAGAUAUAAUGUUCAUGCUUAACGCUAGCACCAAAUAACAAUUAUUUAGGUCUAAAACUAAUCUCGAAGGUAGAUGUAGAGGUAGCGUGCCGAUCGCGAUCACAUCGACUUUGGAACCAUUUCCCACGUGCAUUGUCACCUCGUCCUUAGCUAAUCUUCGCUUAAUCCGUAGUCCCUGUUUCGAGUUGCAAAUAUUAGCAACAAAACCAGUAUCAAAUACCCAGGUGCUACUGCGAGCAUUAGUAAGGUACACAUCAAUAACAUGUAUAUCACAUAUACCUUUAUUCACCUUGCCAUCCUUCUUAUCCGCCAAAUACUUGGGGCAGUUCCGCUUCAGUGACCAGUCUGCUUGCAGUAGAAGCACUCAGUCUCAGGCUUAGGUCCAGACUUGGGUUUCUUCUCUUGAGCAGAACCUUGUUUGUUGUUCUUCUUGAAGUUCCCCUUCUUCUUCCCUUUGCCCUUUUUCUUGAAACUAGUGGUCUUAUUGACCAUCAACACUUGAUGCUCCUUCUUGAUUUCUACCUCCGCAGCCUUUAGCAUUGCGAAGAGCUCGGGAAUCGUCUUAUCCAUCCCUUGCAUGUUAUAGUUCAUCACGAAGCUCUUGUAGCUUGGUGGCAGUGAUUGAAGAAUUCUGUCAAUGACGCUAUCAUCUGGAAGAUUAACUCCCAGUUGAAUCAAGUGAUUGUUAUACCCAGACAUUCUGAGUAUAUGCUCACUGACAGAACUAUUCUCCUCCAUCUUGCAGUUGUAGAACUUAUUGGAGACUUCAUAUAUCUCAAUCCGGUCAUUUGCUUGAAAUAUUAACUUCAACUCCUGGAACAUCUCAUAUGCUCCAUGACGUUCAAAACGUCGUUGAAGUCCCGGUUCUAAGCCGUAUAGCAUGGCACACUGAACUAUCGAGUAUUCAUCAGCUUUGCUCUGCCAGACGUUCAUAACAUCUUGUGUUGCUCCUGCAGCAGGUUUGGCACCUAGCGGUGCUUCCAGGACGUAAUUCUUCUGUGCAGCAAUGAGGAUAAUCCUCAAGUUACGGACCUAGUCCGUGUAAUUGCUACCAUCAUCUUUCAACUUUGCUUUCUCAAGGAACGCAUUAAAAUUCAACGGAACAACAGCACGAGCCAUCUAUCUACAACAAACAUAGACAUGCAAAAUACUAUCAAGUACUAAGUUCAUGAUAAAUUUAAGUUCAAUUAAUCAUAUUACUUAAGAACUCCCACUUAGAUAGACAUCCCUCUAAUCAUCUAAGUGAUCACGUGAUCCAAAUCAACUAAACCAUGUCCGAUCAUCACGUGAGAUGGAGUAGUUUCAAUGGUGAACAUCACUAUGUUGAUCAUAUCUACUAUAUGAUUCACGCUCGACCUUUCGGUCUCAGUGUUACGAGGCCAUAUCUGCAUAUGCUAGGAUCGUCAAGUUUAACCUGAGUAUUCCGCGUGUGCAACUGUUUUGCACCCAUUGUAUUUGAACGUAGAGCCUAUCACACCCGAUCAUCACGUGGUGUCUCAGCACGAAGAACUUUCGCAAUGGUGCAUACUCAGGGAGAACACUUUUAUCUUGAAAUUUAGUGAGAGAUCAUCUUAUAAUGCUACCGUCAAUCAAAGCAAGAUAAGAUGCAUAAAAGAUAAACAUCACAUGCAAUCAAUAUAAGUGAUAUGAUAUGGCCAUCAUCAUCUUGUGCUUGUGAUCUCCAUCUCCGAAGCACCGUCAUGCUCACCAUCGUCACCGGCGCGACACCUUGAUCUCCAUCGUAGCAUCGUUGUCCUCUCGCCAACUUAUGCUUCUACGACUAUCGCUACCGCUUAGUGAUAAAGUAAAGCAUUACAGGGCGAUUGCAUUGCAUACAAUAAAGCGACAACCAUAUGGCUCCUGCUAGUUGCCGAUAACUCGGUUACAAAACAUGAUCAUCUCAUACAAUAAAAUUUAGCAUCAUGCCGACCAUAUCACAUCACAACAUGCCCUGCAAAAACAAGUUAGAUGUCCUCUACUUUGUUAUUGCAAGUUUUACAUGGCUGCUACGGGCUUAGCAAGAACUGUUCUUACCUACGCAUCAAAACCACAACGAUAGUUCGUCAAGUCAGUGUUGUUUUAACCUUCUCAAGGACCGGGCGUAGCCACACUCGGUUCAACUAAAGUUGGAGAAACUGACACCCGCCAGCCACCUGUGUGCAAAGCACGUCGGUAGAACCAGUCUCGCAUAAGCGUACGCGUAAUGUCGGUUCGGGCCGCUUCAUCCAACAAUACCGUCGAACCAAAGUAUGACAUGCUGGUAAGCAGUAUGACUUGUAUCGCCCACAACUCACUUGUGUUCUACUCGUGCAUAUAACAUCUACGCAUAAAACCAGGCUCAGAUGCCACUGUUGGGGAACGUAGUAAUUUCAAAAAAAAUCCUACGCACACACAGGAUCAUGGUGAUGCAUAGCAACGAGAGGGGAGAGUGUGUCCACGUACCCUCGUAGACCGAAAGCUGAAGCGUUAGCACAACGCGGUUGAUGUAGUCGUACGUCUUCACGAUCCGACCGAUCAAGUACCGAACGCACGGCACCUCGGAGUUCAGCAUACCGAUCCAGCCGAGCUUUGAGGGAGAGUUCCAUCAGCACGAUGGCGUGGUGACGAUGAUGAUGUUCGACCGACGCAGGGCUUCGCCUAAGCACCGCUACGAUAUUAUCGAGGUGGAUUAUGGUCGAGGGGGGCACCGCACACGGCUAAGAGAUCCAAGGGAUCAAUUGUUGUGUCUAUGGGGUGCCCCCCUCCUCUGUAUAUAAAGGGGGGAGGAGGAGAGGGCCGGCCAAGGGGAAGAGGCGCGCCAAAGGGGGGCAAUCCUACUCCAAGUAGGAUUCCCCCUUCUUUCCUAGUCCAAGUAGGAGAGGGGAAGGAAGGGGAGGAGGAGAAGAAGGAAAGGGGGACCGGCCCCCUAGUCCAAUUCGGUUUGGGCUAGGGGGGCCACGCGCCCCUAGCUGGCCGCCUCUCCUCUUCCACCACUCGGGCCCAUGAGGCCCAAUAACCCCCCGGGGGGUUCCAGUAACCCCCCGGUACUCCGGUAUAUGCUCGAUACUCUCCGAAACCAUUCCGGUGUCCGAACAUAGUCGUCCAAUAUAUCAAUAUUUACGUCUCGAACAUUUCGGAACUCCUCAUCAUGUCCGUGAUCACAUCCGGGACUCCAAACUACCUUCGGUACAUCAAAACACAUGAACUCAUAAUAUAACCAUCAUCGAACUUUAAGCGUGCGGACCCUACGGGUUUGUCGUGGAAUUAACACGUCAGAUGUCCUAGGUGUAAGGACUUAGUCGUGAGGUCAGCGCAUCUAUGUAGUAGCUUGAGAGGGGUUGAUUGGGAUGAGAGACGCAGGGCAGAUUGACGCACAAGACAAGGGUUUAGACAGCUUCGGGCCCCGGGAAACAUCAUCCGGUAACAACCCUACAUGCUGUUUGAGGCUAGGUCUCAUUAUGAUCACGGGAGAGUCGCCGCAUAAGCCGGCUCUCGGUGUUUAGCCCUAGAGAUUAUUUCUUGUUGCCUGUCCCUCUUCGGGGAGCCCUGCCCCUCCUUAUAUAAGUUAGAGGGGCGGGUUACAUGUGGAGUCCUAGUAGGACUAGGACUAGUCUAUCUUCUCUUACAAGUUAAUUACAAGUCCGGGUCUUGCUUCCCUGUAAAGGAAAUAUUCGUCACCCCUUCCUUCUUAAGCCGGCCCAUCAUAAAUGUGAGCCGGCCUUCUGGGCCUUGGGCCUUGUUGUCCAUCUGACCCGCCCGCCGGGUUACUAAUGAGUCGCCAAGAUCGGGCAGGUUAUCUGUGAAUCGCCAAGCUCCGGGCGGGUCACCAGUGAGUCGCCAAUUCCGGCCGGGUCAUACCGCGGGGUAUAUCCCCGACAUUAGCCCCCAGUUUGAUUUGGAUUCAUCCAUGUUAAACUGAUCCUGUAAAAUAAACACAAGAACAAACUUGAUAGGUUGUGCUCUGGGUUAAAUAUUCUUUGUAAGCCGGCACCUGAUCAUCUUUAAAUCCUUGUCAUUUCCUUCUUGAUACAUGCCCAUGAACUCAUCGCAAAUCUCCUUUAGUAGAUAUGUUCAAACUUUGUGAAUGCAAAAAAUCCAGAUACUUCUUUCAAGAAAUCCGGGUCAAUAGGCCAGCUUCAGAGUCAAUUUGCUCGCAUUGGUAUCCUGACUUUCAGCCGGCUUGAAGAGGUAAAACUUGCCGGUUUAUCAUAACCAAAAUUGCCGGUUUGUAAAUAUUUAUAGCACCGGGUCAUAACUGUUGCCGACGCCGGGUCAUAAUUAUUGGUGACACCGGAUCAUGAUUGUUGCAAACACCGGGUCAGUCUGAUCUACUCAAAAUGGAGAAUUUGAAGAUUUUUUCUCCCUUAUAUGCAUAUCACCUGUAGCCCCCAAGUCUUAAGAGGAGAACAUAGUGAUAACUUAAGACUUGCUUCAAUAUAAGUGUUGCAACCUUGAAGAAAACCGGAUUAUUCAUCUCAAUCAUUAGUCAUAAACUGAAUAUUCCACAUAUGUAGCCCCCAAGUGUCGGGUUGUCAUACUUGCAGCAACCUGGGACUUGUAAUUGCCUUAUGCUCAUAAAAACUUCAACCAAUGUAGCCCCCAAGGGCCGGGUCAUUAUACAAUAAUGAGCAGGGACUUUGUAAAUAUGAUCAUGUAAGCUUUGACUAGCAACUUGUAGUCUCCAAGGGCCGGCUUAGUAAGAUAAUACUAAGCUAGGACUUUGUAUAUAAUUUAUUGAUAAUAACAUCAUAUAAUAUAAUCUCCACCAUGAGGCUUGAACCCACGUCCACAAGGUUAAAAGCUUUGUACUCUACCAACUGAGUAGUGGACCGUUCAAUAUAAUGGAUUAAUGCUUGUGUACCUUGAAUUUUUGACAGGACCAAUUGGUAGCCCCCAAGGGCCGGCUCAUUUAGAAUGUGAUGAGUCGGGUCUUCAAUAAGUUGAGCAAAAAAUGAUUUUACAUUAGCCCCCAAGUGCCAUGGUACAUGCUGGCAGUAACAUGGGACUUGCAUAUUCGACGUAAUAUCAAUUUGAAUAAUGUAGCCCCCAAGUGCCGGGUCGUAAGCCUGCAGCGACUCGGGACUAUUCCUUCCAUUGUAGAGUAAAUCAUAUCCAUUGAUAAAAUAAUAGCCAUUGCGCCAAAGCGACUUUGAAUACCUCAUAUGUUGAUAAGUAAAUCCGGAGUUUAAAUACCCGGCGGCUCUUGGCCGAUGGCAAUUUAAUACGCCUCCAUUGUAAGCCGGAAUUUGUACAACCCGGCGGCUUAUAGCCUUUGAGAAAAUCAAGAAUUGAUAACCCUUUUGAGACACCAAUUUCCAUCUAUGAUGACGUGCUUGAAUUUAAUCAUUUAUGUAAGUCAUAGUUCUGUAAAUCCUGCAGAGUUUAAACAACAUAUGCCCUGGCGACUUAACGUCAAAAACCAGGACGGGUAACCACCCAAAUGUAGUCUUAUCCUGCACACAAGUAUAUCACAAGACACCUUGGUGGUUUACCGCAGGGCGGGUCAAAAUAUCUUACAUAUGACCACUGUGAUAUUUGAACUGUACCGCCGGCUUAUGAUACCUGUGCAGUAAGUGUGAUAACCCAAUCCUUAGAAGCCAAUGCUCUCACAUAGAUGAUGAUUGUCAUAAGCCGGUGACUUAUCAUCGAAAAUCAAGCCGGGUUUAAAUAGAAACCGCUCAUAUACACUUUAGAUGUGUUCAAAAGAGCUUCAAAUAAAAUCCCAAAAAUUAUUGGCAAAAAGAAACUUCAAAAAAUCUUGAGGCUUCUGAUUCGAAUACGAUCGGAAAACCGUCCCAAAGGGGUUAAGCUAAGAUUCGAAUACGAUCAUAUAGCCCCCAGUGGCUUUGGCGUUGCCGAUCAAGAGGGUACCGACAGCUAUGUUCUCUUUGGUUCGAAUACGACCUAUGUUUGAACAGGAAGCCCCCAAAUGACCUUGAGAGUUGUUUAACGACGCUGAUUCGAAUACGAUCCACGUCGGUUCCCAAAGGGGGUUGAGCUAUGGUUCAAAUAUGACCAAGAAACUCCCCAAUGAGCUCGGCAGUGUGCCGAUCAAAAGGGUAUCGACAGCUAUGUUCUCUUUGGUUCGAAUGCGACCUAUGUUUGAACAGGAAGCCCCCUAGUGAUCAUGAGAAUAUUUAACGACUCCGAUUCGAAUACGAUCAGGGUCACACCAAAAGGGUUAAGCUAAAUUCGAAUACGAUCAGCUCCCGAUGGUCAUUAAAGCAGGGUACCUAUAUUUGAGUUGUGCUUUGUAACAGACUCUCUUUGGUCCCUUUAAUUUUUCCUGAAAAUUCAAACUUGAGUCGGACGUUUGAACCGGAUUUGAGAGCUUCAAAACCUUGCGGGAGAAAGAUAUCUCUUGAACCGGAUUUUAAACCGGAAUCUUUAUUUGAACCGGCAAUUUUCUGACGGGCUUUAAGGUUCCAUCGAUAUGGUAGCAGCCUCCGGAACCGGGUUAUCAUUCCCUCCAACGACCCGGGGUUCCCGAGUCAUGUCACUGUAGCCCCCGAGUCUCAAGAUGACUCGAGGAGUUGGCUUGAGAUUCUCCAUAUUUAACCGUGAUAUAAACCGGCAUAACUUGUAUAUCAUUGGUGUUGAUAACACGAUGUGUAUCCACAGAAGGUUGAGGUGACUGCGGCGGGUUAUAAAUGAUCCCUUAUGAGCUGUGUCAGCAACUCGGCCAAUGGUUCCUUCCAACUGGCUGUUUGACGCUUAACCAAACUGUAGUGAUGGCGACUUGUGCGCAUGUCCAUUGAGCCGUCCAGGUGCAGACGGCGGCUGAUAACAUAUGAUAAUUUGCCUCCAAUUUGUUGGAAGAAAACCGGGCUUCCCAAGUAGUGACCUGCUCAUACUCAAUACACAGCUCAUGCAGAUAAGUGCUGCUCGGUGUGUUGAUGUAGACCAGGCCACGAGAGGCGGACGGAAAAGACGACCUCAGCAUCAGAGGCGGCCCAGACAGACGAACCGGCCGCGGUGUUAUAAACCGGCGCAGUCGGGCGAGUUAACCACGCCGUUUUGAUGUAGUGAACAAUUGUCCUGCAUCAACAAUAUUGCAGACCUAGACAAAGAUAAACUGCUCUUUGACAAAAUAAUAUGUACCAAUAAAAUAUAUUUUAGAUGGAUAUCACCUGAUGUGCCAGGCCGGAAAUAAUCCGCCAUGAAAUUGAUGAUCGCUAGGUGAAGUUGAAGUCGCUCACGGGUGAACCGGCCACGGCGUGGUAAACCGAUGUGGACGGGUGAGUCGGCCGUGACUUUUGUAAGCCGGCGCGGACAGCGAGUCGGCCACGGUGUUGUAAGCCGGUGCAAACGGGCAAAUUGUCCUCCUCGUUGUAAACCGGUGUGGUCGCGAGAGACGGCCACGUCGUUGUAAGCCGGCGUGGUCGCGAGAGACGGCCACGGCGCUGUAAGCCGGUGCAAACGGGCAAAUUGUCCUCCUCGUUGUAAACCGAUGUGGUCACGAGAGACGGCCACGUCGUUGUAAGCCGGCGUGGUCGCGAGAGACGGCCACGGCGCUGUAAGCCGGUGCGGGAGUCCGUUGAGUAACGACGACCACCCGUGCCAAAAAAUGUUGGCGUGCCUCCAUCUCCUCGGUAUAAUACCACUUUUUGUCAUAAAUAAUUGCCCUGUAUAAACAAUAUUGUAGACCAAGGCAAAGAUAAACUUGUUUUUUGACAAAAACAACAUGUGCUAAUAAAACAAACUUGGAUGGGUAUCACCUGAUUUGUCUGGAUGACGGACGGCGAGUCAAUCACAUGGCAAGCCACACGGACAGCGAGUCAAUCGCAGGCAUGGUAAGCCGUGCAGACUGACGAGUUGAUGUAGACCGGGCCACAGGAGCGGCGACUUACGCACGUCCGUUCAUCGGGUAGUGUGGCACGAACGGAACACUAGGCCAGAACGUUUGCCAGUGUGCGCUCCGUACCCGUAGUAUUACAAUUGUCUGUGAAACAAUAUUACACGCCAAGUAAUUGUUCUCAGACGAAUUAACAUAUUGAUAAAAUACAGUAGAAAGAUAUCACCUGAUUUGCUUUGACGGUAGAUGAUUUGCAUGCAGACUACUAGCACCAAUUAAUUCAUCUGCUGCGUGAUCUCCCAUACUUUUGUCUUUUCCUUUUGUUGACUCUGGUCAUCAUGCGGUUAGUAAUCCACUUUUCCCAUCGCAGCCUCAAAGAUGUAAGGUAACAUGCAGGCGCUUAUUAGGAUGUAUCCUUUUUCCCUCGCCCUCUUCUCACCCACAGUAGCACAGAACUGCAGAGAGCCCGUUCAGAGGUGGAAGGCGGCUGAAACAAACAUGGCCGAGGCGGCGGCAGCCAACACGAGGACAGGCCCGAGGCCGCGGGCUACAGGCGCGGUGACUCGAGGCAGAAGGACAGCAGCUUGAUCCGCCCGAGUUAGUAGCGAUUUUGGCGAUCAGUGUCUCAGAAGCCAUGGCUCAUAGAACAGCUCAUGGUGUCACCCGCAGUGACGGAGGCUGGCGACUUAACCCGUUUUGCGAUCCGGCGGCUGAGGCCUGGCGGCAACUCAUGGUCGGUCGAUUCUCAGGGUGAUUCAAAGAGUGAGCCGGCGCGGCAACAGAGUGAACCGGCGUAGCAAUUUGAGGAAACCGCGCGAGGCCGCGGCGACUCACGGCGCAAGGGACUCAAUGGCUGUGACCCGGCGGGGAGUCGCGGGACCAGGGCGGUUUGCCGAUGCGGGCGAGACUGCAGAAACAGCAAAGCAGGGCACCCCACAGCGGGUUGACGGGCCGGUCGGGCCUCUCGCGGGUCGAGCCAGAGGAGAUCCCGCAGUGGUAAACCGGCAGCUCAUCAGCGGCGGCAGGAAGGCGGCCCUGCACUAGCGCACCAACACGGCCAGGUGGAGGAGGGCGUCCAGCACGAGAGCCUGGCGCGGCGCGAACGGAGGCGUCGGGCGGCUGAUUCAGAGCAAUGGUGGCUUAGAGGCAUGACAGCGGCGGAGGCAGGAUCGCAAGGCCGCCAAGUCCGAGUCGAUCCUCCGGUCCCAUGCUCGUCCUGGUCGUGGUCGGUUUUACCAUCCCCGAUCCGUCUCCUCCAGGUUGUGGGCUCAUGACCCUUUUUUUGACUUAUAGCUACUGCAGGAUAUGCAUGCAUAGUUCGCCCGGUGGGCAGUCCGUGAUUUCAGAGUUCCAGGUGCUUUCAACUUGUACUGACUGCUUAUCCUUCUUGGUAACUUCCUUGGGUAGACGUAGUGUUUAGAGAAAAAACCAAUCUGAACUUGCAGCUCCGCUCGGCCUUCAUGUGACAAACAGAGUACUAGUUGACAACGACUUGAGAGAUCAAUCAUGACAUCGACCACAUACUAGAAGUAUAGUACUAGUAGAUCAAGUAGUAUCAGUUUUGAUUUCCAUGUGAGAUGUUCCUGAUCCGUCAAAUCUGGAAUAGCAGCGAAAAAAACUGCGGUUGCCCUGGGCCCGUGGCUGCCGUCAAGUAAAGGUGAAUCACGCGUGGAGCUGCUGUAAGUCAAGCACACGCAACGCUGUGUACAGUACGCGAACGAAACAAAACGGAUUGAUGCAACUGAUUGAAUUCCUGUCGGUCUCGGCCACGCAGCACAACGCUCCAAAAAUCGAUCUGGUUUUUGGAUUGAUGACUCGCUCUCGUCGGCCUUGGCGACUCUCCAGCGGUUUCAGCAAAAAUCAAUCUGGCUUUUGCGACUCAUCCGGUCGUGGCGGCGCAUAACAGGCACUCUCAUCCCCUUGAUCCAGAGUAGAGCUUCACGCACCAUCUGUUAAUUAUUUAGCUGAUUGCGAACUUCUCGAUCCUUAGGAAAAUCCCUUCAAGAACUCAACACCACUAUGCGCGGGCCCCACGGUGGGCGCCAACUGUCGUGGAAUUAACACGUCAGAUGUCCUAGGUGUAAGGACUUAGUCGUGAGGUCAGCGCAUCUAUGUAGUAGCUUGAGAGGGGUUGAUUGGGAUGAGAGACGCAGGGCAGAUUGACGCACAAGACAAGGGUUUAGACAGCUUCGGGCCCCGGGAAACAUCAUCCGGUAACAACCCUACAUGCUGUUUGAGGCUAGGUCUCAUUAUGAUCACGGGAGAGUCGCCGCAUAAGCCGGCUCUCGGUGUUUAGCCCUAGAGAUUAUUUCUUGUUGCCUGUCCCUCUUCGGGGAGCCCUGCCCCUCCUUAUAUAAGUUAGAGGGGCGGGUUACAUGUGGAGUCCUAGUAGGACUAGGACUAGUCUAUCUUCUCUUACAAGUUAAUUACAAGUCCGGGUCUUGCUUCCCUGUAAAGGAAAUAUUCGUCACCCCUUCCUUCUUAAGCCGGCCCAUCAUAAAUGUGAGCCGGCCUUCUGGGCCUUGGGCCUUGUUGUCCAUCUGACCCGCCCGCCGGGUUACUAAUGAGUCGCCAAGAUCGGGCAGGUUAUCUGUGAAUCGCCAAGCUCCGGGCGGGUCACCAGUGAGUCGCCAAUUCCGGCCGGGUCAUACCGCGGGGUAUAUCCCCGACAGGGUUCGAGAACUAUGUAGACAUGACCGAGACACGUCUCCGGUCAAUAACCAAUAGCGGAACCUGGAUGCUCAUAUUGGCUCCCACAUAUUCUACGAAGAUCUUUAUCGGUCAAACCGCAUAACAACAUACGUUGUUCCCUUUGUCAUCGGUAUGUUACUUGCCCGAGGUUCGAUCGUCGGUAUCUCAAUACCUAGUUCAAUCUCGUUACCGGCAAGUCUCUUUACUCGUUCCGUAAUACAUCAUCCUGCAACUAACUCAUUAGUUGCAAUGCUUGCAAGGCUUAUAAUGAUGUGCAUUACCGAGUGGGCCUAGAGAUACCUCUCCGACAAUCGGAGUGACAAAUCCUAAUCUCGAAAUACGCCAACCCAACAAGUACCUUCGGAGACACCUGUAGAGCACCUUUAUAAUCACCCAGUUACGUUGUGAUGUUUGGUAGCACACAAAGUGUUCCUCCGGUAAAUGGGAGUUGCAUAAUCUCAUAGUCAUAGUAACAUGUAUAAGUCAUGAAGAAAGCAAUAGCAACAUAGUAAACGAUCAAGUGCUAAGCUAACGGAAUGGGUCAUUUCAAUCACAUCAUUCUCCUAAUGAUGUGAUCCCGUUUAUCAAAUGACAACUCUUUGUCUAUGGCUAGGAAACAUAACCAUAUUUGAUCAACAAGCUAGUCAAGUAGAGGCAUACUAGUGACACUCUGUUUGUCUAUGUAUUCACACAUGUAUUAUGUUUCCGGUUAAUACAAUUCUAGCAUGAAUAAUAAACAUUUAUCAUGAUAUAAGGAAAUAAAUAAUAACUUUAUAAUUGCCUCUAGGGCAUAUUCCUUCAGCCUCCACUUCCUGUUAGCCUUCGGGACUACCACUGGAUUUGCCAACCAUGUGGGAUGUAACACUCCUCUGACCAAACCAGCUGCUUCAAGUUUCUUGAUCUCUUCCGUAAUAAACUGCUGCCUCUCCAAGGCCUGCUUCCGGACUCUCUGCUUGACAGGUCGGGCGUGUGGGUAGACAGCAAGCUGGUGCUCGAUUACCUCCUUGGGAACACCGGGGAUAUCAGAUGGUUGCCAGGCAAACACAUCGAUAUUCACCCGCAGGAAGGCAACGAUCGCGCUUUAUUAUUUGUCAUUGAGGGUGGCGCUGAUAGUGAAAGUGCCAUCAACGCCAGCCAGCCCUGCUGGGACCUUUUUCACUUGGCUGCAGUGACCUUGGAUCUCUUGCUGUUGGAGCUCUCUGGCAAGUCUUCGAUAGGCGCAACGCACUCCGAAGAAGUACGCUUCCCGGAUGCCUUGCCAGCGUCCUUGCUACCCUUCUUCUUUCCUCUGUCCUCCUUGGCGGGAACUACUGCUACCACUGCCUCUGCCGCGGCUGCGUCCUGGUACAUCUUGUCCACGCAAAUGAUAGCAUCAUUCUCGUCUGAUGGGAUGGUAAUGACUCCCACAGGCCCAGGCAUCUUCAAGGUGUUGUAGGCAUAGUGGGAUGCUGCCAUGAAUUUAGCUAGGGUUGGGCGUCCAAGAAUCCCAUUGUACGGCAGGGGGAGGUCGACCACAUUAAACACAAUCUUCUUAGUUUGGUAGUUCAGCUCUUCCCCAAACGUCACCAGCAACGUGAUCUUUCCCUUAGGAUGACUCCUGCCGGGAUUAACUCCUUGAAACGUGCCAGUGGCCUUCAACUCAUCUUCUGCUAUCUGAAGUUUGCUGAUGAAUGCCGGCGAAAUCAGAUUCAACCCGGCCCCGCCGUCCACCAACAUUUUUGUGACCUUGAGGUUGCGAAUUGUUGGAGAGACCAACAAUGGCAAACACCCUACCGUUGUGGUGCGGUUAGGAUGAUCCUCUUCGUCAAAGAUGUUGGGCGUGCGUGACCAUUUGAGCGGCUUCCGGGCCUCUGGCGCUGGUUCCACGGCAUUGACUUCUUGUGCCCACCGUUUGAGCUGGCGGUGAGAGGUGUGCAAAGAUGCACCCCCGUCCAUGCACAGGGGGUCAGUGGCCUUCUGAAACUCCUGCUCAUUGGUUUCCUCUUCAUCCCCUCCAUCGCUCUCAUCAUCACAGGUCUCCUUCUCUCGACCUCUGGCGGGUUUUCCUUGGUUCCGGAAGGGUUUGCCGGGGCGAUUUACUUCACCACCUCGGCCCUUACCGCCAGCGACAUUCUGACCUUUUUCAUUGUCGCGCUUCUCAUACUCUGCUCUCUCUCUCUCUCUCUCUCUCUCUCUCUCUCUCUCGUAACAAGCUGCUCAACCUGAUAACACUCUUGAAGAUCCUGGCCUUUGGUCCUAUGAAUCUUGCAAUACGGCCCAUCACCUUUCCCGGCCUUCUCGGCAGCCGUGACCUCCUGGCAGUCAGCGCACACGGCAGCUUCCUUGUCGGGGACCUCAGCUUUGGCCUUCUUGCCGGUACUAGGUGUACCUGAUCCUUCAACAGUCAUCACUGCCUUAUCCUUCCUCUUCUUACUGCACUUCUUGCUCUUCUUCUGACUGGUUGAUUCAUCAUCAUCCUCUGAAUCGAUGUUGGUGCAAUAUUCCUCUCCGGGCAACUUCCUUCCCUCCUCCAUCCGAGCACACUUGUCCACCAAGGUGUAGAGCUCCUUCACAGUCUUGGGCAACCCCACGUUCAUCUUGGAACGAAUCUGGCGGUUGCGCACAUUGGACUGGAAGGCAGCUAUCACAGCUGUCGGAUGGAUAUUCGGGAUGUUCCUAUGCAGGGUCUCUCCUUCCUUCUGUUGGAGAAACUGCAAGUCGCUGGGUCGACCUAGCUCUUGAUGGCCGCCAGCGAAGGAGCCAAUGAAUUCAUGGCACAGGUCAGCCCACGACGAGAUGGAGUUCUCCGGCAGGUGCAUCAGCCAAGACCUCACAUUGGACUUGAGGGCCAAAGGGAAGUAGUUGGCAAACACCUUCUCAUCUCUUCCCCCGGCAGCCUGAACAUCGAUGGUGUAGAUGCUCAGAAACUCUGCCGAGUUCAGCCUCCCAUCAUGCUUCUCUGGUAUCUCUGGCCAAUGGACUUGCCGCGGGUCAUGAGUAAAGGCAGGGUACCCAACCUCGAAAGGUAGGCACCGGCCAAUACCGAGCGCAGGCUCGUCGACGUCGAGGCCAUCGCACCCGUUGGACUGGCAGUGGUUGUCGCAGUGUCGCUUGACGACGACACGUGCUCUACUCCCCGCCUAUCCUCCGAGGCUCGCCGUUGGCCUGGACGCGCUCGAGGGUCACAAGAGGCCAUCGAGCCAUCGUCAGGGUCUUGGUUCUGCUGCGCUCGCGCAGGCUGCCGUGGCGGGGACUGCACCGUGGGGGUGGCCCCUUUCGUACGGCCAGCAUCAUGAGCCGUCAUCGUCGCUUGGGGAGGCCGUGGCGGGCCAGCUCGCUGCGAGCCCCGGGCUUCGGCGAAAUCGAGCACACUUUGGAUGGAAGCACACCAUUCGUCCAUCUGCUCGGCCGCUGGCAGAAACCUCAGCAGCAGCUGAGCCCGCGCCAUGGCCUCUGUGGCUGUACUCGGCAUGGGUGAUGAUGAAGUAGAUCGCACCGUUGCUCAGCUCCUGACGGUGCCAGUGGUGGCAGCACCGCGUCUUCGCGGUUGCGGAGUGGCCACCUGGAUGGCUGGGUGGUGCGGCAAAGGCGCUCGAGGGCCAGCUCUGUCGGGUGCAGCGACUUGGUCGACCUGUCCCGGGGGAGACGCACGUGCUACGGUCGCUCCCGUGAUGGGGGCGGCCGGAGGGCGGCGAUUUGCCCCAUACCUAGUGCCGUUGCUGCGGUUGUGCCCGUCGGCGAGAGGAGGAGACGUAGAUGGAGUAACCCCCUCACCCGUACCUUGCGGAGCAUGCCGUCGGGGCGUUGCUGAUGUUGUUCUACUCCGAUGCCUCCUACCCUUGUGUCGGCCGCGGGGGAAGUAGUGACGGUGUCGCCUGCUCCGACUACGCCCCCAGCAGCGUCCACAUCCUCAUGUACCUCCGUGUCCCCCGCGGCAUUAGAGGUCGCGGGCGGCGCAUCCUUCGAGGUGGACGGAUGAGCCGAAGCACCGGAUUUCUACUUGGGCGCCAUGGUCGAUGGCGCCGUCGAAGGUGAAGAAGGUGAUGAAGAUGAUGUGCUGCACACGCCUUCAGGUUCGCGCAAGCGAUCCCCCUACCUGGCGCGCCAAAGAUGUCAUGGGAAACCACAGCCACCUAUGGGAUCAGAGGGCCCCUUGCUGGUUUGGCAGGGGGACGUCGCAUCGCACAAAGAGCAGACGAGCAUGGGGCAGCACGACAGCGAUCACACAAGAAAUUUUACCCAUGUUCUGGCCGCCGUGAGGCAUAAAACCCUACUCCUGCUUUGGUGGAUUGAUGGUGGAAGAAUGGUGGUAGAGCGUAGUACACUUGCCUGGCAGGGGCGGUAGUGGCUACGUGCGUAUGGGUGUGUGUGUGUUAUCCAACCUUCCAACCCUUUCUAUGGUUGCCAUGCCUCCUUUUAUAGAUUAAGGGGUUACCACAAUGGCAAAGUAGUAAUUAUGCACUGAUAAGAUAGCAAACAGUGCUAUCAUACCUAACUCUGCAGGCUGACAGGGUGCAUUAAAUGCGUCGCUUAACGUCACGUCACUGGUUGCCCGGCAAGCCUUGCCGGGCUGUCUCGCUAGCUCCACGCCUGCUCGCUCGACACGUCGUAGGACGGGUGUCAUCUGUAGGCAUUUCCUGUGGAAAGAGGCCGCCAUGUGGCAAAUGGCUCCCACUUAGUCACUUUGCGGCUUGACACCGCACUGAUUGACGACGUGGGUCAUGGCGGAAUGGUUAGGUGAGGUGGUUUUGCCUCCGUGAGCCCCGGCAGGCCCUGCCGGGACGUCUUGGACAUCUUCUUAUGGGGGUGACCCCGUCCUUGUCGAGAUCGUCUGCCCGGCAAGGGAGGCUUUUCUCCUGGUGGUGUCUUGUUUCUCUGGCUUGAUCUUGGUCCUCUUGAUCUGCAUGUUGGCUCUUCGAUGAUCUCGGUCUCUUGUACUCUAGCAUGGCUUGGUGUUGUACUCUUGUUCCCGUGACUGUGCACAGUUUGGGCAACAGACCCAGGGUUUGUUGCAACGACACCGAGGUUUUGGGACCAAGAUCGAAUACAAGAGAUGAACUAGGGUUUGAGAGGAGAUGGUGGUGGUGAAGAUGUUGGUGGAGAUUGACCCCCUCUCGAUGAGAGGAUCGUUGGUGAUGACGAUGGCUUCGAUUUCCCCCUCCCGGAGGGAUAUAUCCCCGACAGAACAGCUCCGCCGGAGCCCUUGAUUGAUUCUGCACAGGUUCCGCCUCGAGACGGCGGCGCUUCGUCCCGAAAGCUUCCUUUUGAUUUUUUUUCCAGGUCAAAACACACCGUAUAGCAGAAGAUGGGCGUUGGAGGCCUGCCAGGGGGCCCACAAGGACGGGGGGCGCGCCCUCCAACCUUGUGGCUGGCUGGUGGCCACCCUCUGGUACUUUCUUCGCCCAAUAUUUUUUAUAUAUUCCGAAAACAUGCUCCGUGAAGUUUCAAGACUUUUGGAGUUGUGCGGAAUAGGUCUCUAAUAUUUGCUCCUUUCCAGUCCAGAAUUCCAGCUGUCGGCAUUCUCCCUCUUCAUGUAAACCUUAUAAAAUAAGAGAGAAAAGGCAUAAGUAUUGUGAUAUAAUGUGUAAUAACAGCCCAUAAUGCAAUAAAUAUCAAUAUAAAAGCAUGAUACAAAAUGGAUGUGUCAUUACUCUCAUUAGAAGGUGGGAAGGGGUAGCUAAUCCGCUCUUCCUCCUUUUGUUCUUCGUUCUCCUCGUCAUCUUUUUCAUCCAAUGAGCUCACAGUGUCAUCAGUUUCUUCUUCCAUAUAUUCCUGCAAAAUAUUAGUCUCUUCUUGGACAGCAGAGACUUACUCAAUAAACUCAUUAAUAUCAGCAUUAUACACAUAACUAACAAAGUGGUCCGCUCGAUGCGCGGGCUAGUAUUUAAUAAAUUUAUUAAUUAUAACAUAUAUUUUUUGUUCUAAAGAACAAAUGAAACCGAAUGUGAUGGCAUUUACGGAUAUAAAACUUCUACAAACAUAAUUUGUUUUUCUUUGUUGUUUUAAAGUUCUAUUCUUACAUGGAUAUAUUUAUUAGUAUAUUGAAUGCAAUAAUGUUUGAGGCAUAAAAAUAUAGAUAGACGCAUGGGAGUUGAAAAACUAAAACUACUAUGUUGCAUAGAGAGUAAGGGUCAACAAAAUUAUGGAUAUAGGUAUGUAGAUCUAAAUGUUGUGCUUCAUUUAUUGAAAAAAGGUUCACCAAAUUACCGUUCUUGUUAUAGUUAGCUUAUCACAUACUUUUAAUAUAGUUGAAUUUCAUAUCACAUUAGAUAUUUGUUAACAAAUUUAAUUUUUUAUCAUAUGGGUUGUUUGGUUCUUUUCCUAUUUUGGAUUUGUGAUAUAAAUUUAAAAUCUAGAGGAAUAUGUAGUCAACAAAAUCUUGAUUCCUUUUUUUGUUAAUAUUCCUCAUAUAUUUGUAAUGUAUUACUUAUGCUGCACAUAUUUAAAAGAAUUAAGUAUCGGCCCACUCAUUCAUUGGGCAAAAUUUUGUAUGUAAUGGUCACAUAUUGACAAAGUUUUUUUCUGGAGAGUUGUUUCAGUUUUCCUCUGAUUUGAGUUGAGUUCUCGAGAUAGACAUCGAAAAUAACAUAGAGUGUGUGUGUAGCCAAAAGAAUUAUGCACCACAUUGAGAUACGUAGCUGACUAAUAAAAAAUGGAUGAGAUGCGUGCACCCGUUCGUCAUGUCAAAGCAAAGGAAAAAUAUUAUCGGAUGCAUUUUUGUUGUUGUAACACAUGUAAUGAUGUCAGAUGUGAGGAUGCUCAGGAUAUCCUUAAUUAAUAAUGUAGUAGGGAAUAUAUGUGUGCCUAUUUCUUUCAAUAUGUCAUAUUCAAAGUGUGCAAGGAUGACCAUUUAGGUUUUAUCUUCUGCUGUUUAUGGCUUCACAGCUCCAAAUAUGCAAUCAUGUAGUAGUGUCUCCCAUGUUUAUUUGCUGUCUGCCUCUAAAGUAGUCUAGAAAGUUGUCAUCUAUAAGAAAUUUGUGUUCUUUGUUUUAUCAUUGGCGAGUCAAGAAAGUAUCUUCCUUGCUCAUUAUAUAGGUUGAUCUGCAGAAAAUCAAAUAGGUGAAAAUAUGUUUCCCAUGCAUCUGGGUAGGACUUAAUUUGCAAGGCAUUAAGAAGGAACCAUACAGACGGACAUUGGAAAUACAUGAGACACUAGUAGAAAAAGGGUCAUCUGUCCCGGUUGGUAAGGGCCUUUUGUCCCGGUUUUUGAACCGGGACUAAAGGGUCGUUACUAAUGCCCUAGCCCUUUAGUCCCAGUUCUUACACGAACCGGGACAGAUGGGCCUCCACGUGGCCGGUGCGGCGAGCCCAGGCAGGAGGGCCGUUGGUCCCAGUUGGUGGCACUAACCGGGACCAAUAGGCAUCCACGCGUCAGCAUUUCAGGGGCUGGGGUUUUUGUUUUUGUUUUNNNNNNNNNNNNNNNNNNNNNNNNNNNNNNNNNNNNNNNNNNNNNNNNNNNNNNNNNNNNNNNNNNNNNNNNGAGGUGCUCCUACUGUUUCAGGUUCAAAAAAAAACCGGGACCAAUAGGCAUCCACGCGUCAGCAUUUCAGGGGUUGGGUUUUUUUUUUGAAAGGGGGGGGGGGUUGGGGGUUUUGGGGGGGUUAAUUUAGGUGUUUCAUAUAUUGUGUUAGCUAGCUAAUUAAUAGAGAGAAGUGUCCUCUCUUAUCUCCGUACUUGGUCGACGCUACGUACUAUAUACGUAUAGAGAGGACUAGACACGCUAGCUAGUAAGCAAAUGAAGGAAACAAAAGAUCGUCAUGAACAUAUGCAUACAGAGAGAAGUGAUAUCGACCACCUCUCCUUCUCUGAGAGAUUGGUCGAACAACAAGUUCUCGUAUAUCUAUCCGACACUACCGGCUACAUAUAUACAAUAAUUAUCUCUUACAAUAUAAUCUCCUAAUUAAAUUGUAAGAACACAGGGUCCACAUAGUAUUCUCCGUUUUCAACGAUCAUGGUCAGGGAAGAAUGUCGCCAAUUCCUCUUGAAUUGCUCGCAUACGAUCUGGUGCUAGGAGUUCAUCCCGCAUCCGAAAGAUCUAAUUUGAAGAAGGGGUAAAUACACACACACACACACACAUAUAUAUAUAUAUAUAUAUAUAUAUAUAUAUAUAUAUAUAUNNNNNNNNNNCAAUAUAAUCUCCUAAUUAUAUAUGAACACAGGGUCCACAUAGUAUUCUCCGUUUUCAGCGAUCACGUGGUCAAGGAAGAAUGCCGCCAAUUCCUCUUGAAUUGCUCGCAUACGAUCUGGUGCUAGGAGUUCAUCCCGCAUCCGAAAGAUCUAAUUUGAAGAAGGGGGUCAAUACAUAUAUAUAUAUAUAUAUAUAUAUAUAUAUAUAUAUAUAUAUAUAUAUAUAUAUAUAAAUAAAUGAAACUCAACACAAAUGAUGGUAAUAAAAUAAAAUUGUGAAUAUUAUUGCUUACGUACUUCAUAUUGUUCAUCAGAGUAGCCCCGCUCACAGGUCGUGUGGCGGAUGGACUCGCAAACGUAGUAUCCACAGAAAUCAUUCCCUUGUUCCUGCCACAACCACUUUACAAGAAAUAGAGGUCAAUCAAACUGAUAAGCAAGCAUGCUAAAUGGUAUUGAUGAAACUAGCGCUUGAAUCACUAGGAGAUGCGCAGAACAUGCUACUAUAGUACUUACCAAAACAAUGAAUGCAUCAAUUAGCUAGUCAGCACAAGCUUAACUAAUAUAUUUACCUGGCCGGACUAUGUUCGGUCACCGGAGCCGUCACCACGGGCUCCUUCUUGCACCAGCAUUGGGUCACCCGAGCCAUCAUAAUCAUGUCUUUCCUCCUCCACUCUUCGAUCACCGUAGCCUGCUUCUUCACCCUGUUCUUCUAGACCAUCAUUGUCGUUAAGAUACGACAAGACAUCACCUCCGGCUAAGAUUAUGUCCCCCAACACCUCUUCUGCUUCCUCGUCUCGUCCGUGCUCCAUUGUUUCUGCAAAUAUUACAACAUGGCAAUUAUUACACAAACAUGACAGCAGGUGGAUGUAUUAGUGCAAACGUAGACCUAGCUUAUUCCGGGUUUGGGGUGGCCUCGGCAACGCUUCAAGGGUAGGGGCGUGGCGGGAGGGGGUAGGAGACCGACAUCGUUUUUUUUCUAGGGUUUGGGUGUCCUCGAGAGUUUUGGUCAAGCGAGAGGGCCGGGGGGUGCUCCCGUGGUAUAAGUUAUCACGGUCGAAGUUAUCCGGGAGGGGGUUAUAUCGACAACGACGACAUACAUACAUACAUGGGAAAAUAAUGUUAUCGGGGAGGGGGUAGGUCGAACCCCCCCCCUCAUGUUGAAGUUAUCGGGACACGGGGUAUAUCGACAAUUACAUAUCCGAUAAAAAAUAAGAAGAUGAAGAAGAAAUAAAAAGAGGAGAAGAAGAUAUUAAUAGAGGAGAAGAUUGAAGAAAAAAAGAAGAAAAAAAAAGAGGAGAAGAAGAAAGGAAUAGAGGAGAAGAAGAUAUUCUCCUCUAUUNNNNNNNNNNNNNNNNNNNNNNNNNNNNNNNNNNNNNNNNNNNNNNNNNNNNNNNNNNNNNNNNNNNNNNNNNNNNNNNNNNNNNNNNNNNNNNNNNNNNNNNNNNNNNNNNNNNNNNNNNNNNNNNNNNNNNNNNNNNNNNNNNNNNNNNNNNNNNNNNNNNNNNNNNNNNNNNNNNNNNNNNNNNNNNNNNNNNNNNNNNNNNNNNNNNNNNNNNNNNNNNNNNNNNNNNNNNNNNNNNNNNNNNNNNNNNNNNNNNNNNNNNNNNNNNNNNNNNNNNNNNNNNNNNNNNNNNNNNNNNNNNNNNNNNNNNNNNNNNNNNNNNNNNNNNNNNNNNNNNNNNNNNNNNNNNNNNNNNNNNNNNNNNNNNNNNNNNNNNNNNNNNNNNNNNNNNNNNNNNNNNNNNNNNNNNNNNNNNNNNNNNNNNNNNNNNNNNNNNNNNNNNNNNNNNNNNNNNNNNNNNNNNNNNNNNNNNNNNNNNNNNNNNNNNNNNNNNNNNNNNNNNNNNNNNNNNNNNNNNNNNNNNNNNNNNNNNNNNNNNNNNNNNNNNNNNNNNNNNNNNNNNNNNNNNNNNNNNNNNNNNNNNNNNNNNNNNNNNNNNNNNNNNNNNNNNNNNNNNNNNNNNNNNNNNNNNNNNNNNNNNNNNNNNNNNNNNNNNNNNNNNNNNNNNNNNNNNNNNNNNNNNNNNNNNNNNNNNNNNNNNNNNNNNNNNNNNNNNNNNNNNNNNNNNNNNNNNNNNNNNNNNNNNNNNNNNNNNNNNNNNNNNNNNNNNNNNNNNNNNNNNNNNNNNNNNNNNNNNNNNNNNNNNNNNNNNNNNNNNNNNNNNNNNNNNNNNNNNNNNNNNNNNNNNNNNNNNNNNNNNNNNNNNNNNNNNNNNNNNNNNNNNNNNNNNNNNNNNNNNNNNNNNNNNNNNNNNNNNNNNNNNNNNNNNNNNNNNNNNNNNNNNNNNNNNNNNNNNNNNNNNNNNNNNNNNNNNNNNNNNNNNNNNNNNNNNNNNNNNNNNNNNNNNNNNNNNGCAAAUGUUCGAUGAAACUGAAAAAUUUACAAGUCCUGCUUAUAUACGGAGAGCAUUGGUACCGGUUCAUGGCAGCAACCGAGACCAAUGCCCCUUUUAGUCCCGGUUGGUGCCACCAACUGGGACCAAAGGUCUCUUUACAGCAGCCCAAAGGCGGGAAGCGGCGGCCUUUGGUCCCGGUUGGUGGCAACAACCGGGACUAAGGGGGGGGGCAUUGGUACCGGUUAGUGCCACCAACCGGUACCAAGGCACCCCUUUAGUCCUGGUUGGUGCCACCAACCGGGACCAAAGGCCUUGUGCUGUUGCGCCCGCGUCGAAAGUUUAGUCCCACCUCGCUAGUUGAGAGGGGCGCGCAGUGGUUUAUAAGCCCCACUGCCACUCCCCUCUCGAGCUCCUCUCCAUUGCAGGCUUACGGGCCUAAUUGUCACUGCUAUGCCUGAUGGGCCUACUGGACCUUCUGCUGGCCUGAAUCCUGGCCCAUCGAUGGGUUUCUAGUCGUAUUCAGGCCGUGGUGGCCCAGUAGGUGGCAUAUUUUUUAUUUUUUGCCUGUUUUUUGUUUUCUUUUUUGCUUUAUUUAUUUUGUUUUGUUUCUACUUACAACAAAAAACUUAUUUAUUUUAUUUUGUUUUGUUUCUAAUUACUUAUUUAUUUUACUUUAUGAUAAUUCUUUUUGCUAUUAAAGUUUCUAACAAAAAAAGUUCUUUAUGAAAAUUCUUUUUGCUUUCAAUGAUUUUGAACAGAAAAUACUUCGAUAAUUUUAGUUGCAUCAAUUUUAUAUAAUUUUAGUUUCAAUAAUACUAGAGGUUGCUUAUAAUGUUUUGAACAGAAAAUACUGUGGUCCCGGUUCAAGCCACCAACCAGGACAAAUGGUGGUGGGCCAGGAGCGAGGCCCAUUGGUCCCGGUUUGUCCCACCAACCGGGACCAAAGGGGCCAAACGAACCGGGACCAAUGCCCCCAUGAGGCCCGGCAGGCCCCUGGCCUCACGAACCGGGACCAGUGCCCCCAUUGGUCCCGGUUCUGGACUGAACCGGGACUAAUGGGCUGACCCGGCCUGAAACAAAGCCCUCUUUUCUACUAGUGAGAGGAUGGAUUUCCUAUUAGUUGUUGGUGCUAUUGAAAACACUAAAUAAAGCAUGAGCAAUUUCACCAAAAUACAAACUGCUUCCAAAGCUAGAAAAAUGCAGAGGAAAAAGAUAAAAAACUUUUACCCCGUGACACAUCGCUGGAGCCUCCCUUACUCUGCUUGCAGCAUAAGCAAAAUUUAGAAAUAAUCUAGAAAUUGAAACUCACAUGGAUAAUCAAGGUGAAUCUUCUGAGAGACCCAUUGUCGUUCGUGGACGUGAAAAGGCAAGGUGCAGCCUCAAAGAACUUAUGUGCCAGGGCACGCUGGCUCAUUCAUAUAUCCAGCUUGCUGUGCGUGUCGACGGAGUCAUACGGUUCUUUACACAGCUGCAACUCAUUAAACUGCAUGCACAUGAUGUACUCCAAAUAAUUGACAAACGCCAGCCAACUCUUUUUUUCUCUUGCUGCUGCACCAAUUUUGCUCACGGUGUGUAUUUUCUCAAGGCAUGCCUGCAUGUAGUAUUAAAUGAUUUCGAUGCUAAAUCGCAAAACCUCGACGGGUACUACAUCAUGUAGCCUCAAAGAACUUGUUGUGGGGAACUCUAGUGAAAAAAAGAUCAAGUAAGCAUCGAAGGAUUUUAUUUCAUUAGGAUAUGUCAUCAAAGAUGAAGGAAGUGCACCGGACGUGUCGUACUUUCAUAUCGCACCUGCCAUAUCUUCUUUCUUCUUUUGCAAAACCAUAACCUCCCAUAUCUUUGAUUCACAUGCAUGUCACUAAACUAUGGAUAUUUCUCACCGAUUAGCUACCUCCACACCGAUAAAAAGUAAUGACAGAUAGAGUUAUAUUUUUCAUGUCCUAUCUAUUAAGAGAGUUUUUUUUUUGGAAUCACCUAUGAAGAGUGCUGCAAAUCUGUCUUUUGUUAGAACACCUAUCAAGGGAGUUGCAAAUCGAUUUCGAGUUGCUAGUUUUUUUUUUCAGAAUCAAGUUGCUACAGGCAUAUAUAGAAGCCUAGAGAAUGUAUCUUGUAUUGCACAUAAACUGAUAAAGCUAGCGUACCUAUCACAUGCUGGUAGAUAGCUAUAUAUGGGUUGUCUCUUGUGUGCAUGAAAAAAAAAAUCUUUGAUUGAUCAGGAGGGGAACGACUGUGCUAGGACUGGGGGCAUGCAUGUAUGCAUGCAUGUGAGGUCUGGCCUCAAUCCGAAUAAUCAGCAAUAGCAUAUUCUACCCAACUCCCCAACCAAUUAUGCAGGCGUUGUGGCUAGUACCAAGCAUGCACAAAUACCAAAUUCCUCCAAGAUCCUCCGGCCGUCCGUCGUACUGGUGCUCCAACUGGCCAUCCCCAUGCUAAUCGGAUCGCUCGUUCUCGUUUUGAGUUCUGCACGUACACUGAUGGUUGGGCCUCUGCAGAGAACUAAUUAAUUAAGGCAUACUUACUUUAAUCAAAAUUGGCUGCCACUCAAUGGCCUCCAAGAUCCUUCGGCCGUCCGUCGUCCUGGUGCUCGAACUGGCCAUCCCCGUCGUAAUCGGAUCGCUCAUCCUCGUUUUGAGUUCUGCACGUACACGUACUGAUGGUUGGGCCGCCGUGGAUCUCAUACGCGAACACGGCGGCGGCAGCCUUUUCUUUUCUUUCCAUGGCCUUUUUCUACCUAUAGAGGUCACAUCGAAGGGGUAUGAGGAAGUUUUUUAUUUGUUUCUACUUAGAUCGGACGGCUGUAAAAAAAAUUCUCUGUCAAAUAAAUGGUUAGAUGUUUCUAGUUUUUAUGGUAAUUUCUAGAAUAAUUCUCUUUUUCUGGUUAGUCCGUAAAGCCGUAAAUUACUUUUCUUUCCCUUAAUUUUUUAAUCUUUUCUUUCCCUAACAAUAAUAAUAAAGCGACUAUUGCCUCUGCCCGCUAACUUACCGUCGUGGCGUUUUUGUAAAAAAAUCCCUGUGGUUUCCUAUAGUUGAAGCCGCGGUCCCUACGUAAGUGGCUAACCUGAGAAAACGUUUCAGUUUUACAAAUAAGACCCUGUAGUUUGUUAUAUUAAACCCGCAGUCCAUAUGUUUGGUUUUAUUAACCAGGGUCGGGUCAACGCGGUGGCACGGCGGCGCGAUGCAGAACGGCGGCGGCGGCUGGAGCUUGCAGGGGCAGGAUCCGUGCAGGGUAGGGGCUGGGGAGGCGGAUCAGGAGGCGGGCGGCGUGGCGGGGAUUGCCGGUGACGACGAGGAAGGCCGGAGCGCGGCUUCCCGGGUGGGUUCAUGGCAUCCACGGCUAUUGGGCAGAGAGGAGACAAGGAGGCGAGGGAGAGAAGAAGGGACAAAGGAAGAGCGGUGCGGCGACCUAGGCAGGAGCUCGCCGGAGCCGGGCGAUGGCGGACGGGCGCGGGAGACGGAGGGAUCCCGUGCGGCGGCGUGAAGUCCUUGCUAGUGGCGUCGACGGCUGGGCGUGCGACGGCGCGGAGCCCUCCCGUUGCUACGGCGUCCGGUGGAGUGCCCUGAGGGCGCGGAUGCUGCUGCUACACCAGCACCACCAGCCCAAGGUCAGCCUCCUCCACCUCGUUCUGUAGCGCAACUCCUGUCUCGCAUCAUGCUGCCUUACUUCUGCCCCUUUGGAUUGGAGAGCGUGUGCUCUCAGCUCUGCUGGGCCAGCUGUGCUCUGUUGCGUGCGAGCAAGGGAGAAGAGCGAGCUUGCUGAUUCUUCUUACCUGCAGCUCCAACACGAAAGCCAGCCAAUCGACUCUUGAUAGCAGAACACAAACAAUACAAGUAAACAGAAUUCUAAGACAGCCAAGGUGGAUAUGAUAGCAGCGGAAGUAAUUGUUGAUUUAAGUGUAACAACAUUGUGUGCUAUUCUAUCCUGGUCUUGCUUUUCUUCUUGGAUAACUUCUCUAAACUCUCAAUAGAUUUCUUGGGUUGGCGUGGUUGUUAGUAUUAGUUAAUACAAACCCUAUAUAGCCAGCUAUGGCUAUAUAUGAAUUUUGUUACUUGAAAUGUUCAAUACAAGUGUUGACUUGAAAAACUAAAAUCGUGUGUAAGGAAUCAUGUAACCAUAUUGGAUGAAGGUGACCCAUAAAUUCAUUCAGUUAAUUGAAUUCUUUUUGCCUUCUGCUCAAGAUAGGUACCCAAGCUCUAAUAAUUUCAGUGGCAACUACAUCCGAACUUUGUCACAUCUUUCUAUUUAAAAAUUGUGAUUAUAUCAUUUGUCAUCUGAAAACCAGACUCAUGUAUACAUUAUGGGACAUAAUGUCCAGGAAAUAAUCACCAGGUACAGACAUCACUCUUGACCUACAUUGUACAACAUUGCAUAAUUUUCUGUUUUUCUUGAGGUACCGCUCAGUACUUUUUUAUCGCACACAUAGAUAGAACAAAGGCCACAAGAGCUGAUUUGGUACACCUUGCUGCAUGCGCUCUCACUUGAUUAAGAUAUUCAAAGUGUGAGCUUUUGAAAUUUCCAAAAAUAAGUCAGAUUCUCAUUAUUAACCUAUGUGCACAUGCCAAUAUUUUCUGACUCUGACAGAUUGUGUUUGAUAAUAAUUUGAUGAACCACCAUGUCGCCCUUCCGCCUGGUUCCAUGGGAAAGUAAUUUACAAAGCUCCAGUUGGUCAAUACAGCCUAGAUGUUUUGUUUUGAACAGGCAGCCUACAGGUUGACAUUUUUUUUAGUUCCAUGUUUUCUAGCAUUGCUUAACUUUAUUUGAAAAAGUGUUGUAGUUAUGUAUGCAGGAUACAGUACUAGAGGUGUAUGCAGGAUACAGUAGUGGAGUUGGAAUUUCAGGGCAUCCAAAAAUAAUUUACUAUGCUUCAGGCAAGAAAGUUAAUUUGUUUGACCUUUGUAAGGACUACAUUACUAGCUUAAUGCAUGGAACUUAUUGAGCUGCAUACAUGGCAUGUGCGUACAUAGAGACCUGCUGCAUCAAAGCUCGGUGCGGAUACACCUCUUCUUACAGGACAGGUUGUGUACAACUUAUGUUGAGCUUAAAUUUCCAUAAUAAAACGUGUGUUUUUAUUUAUCAUUGUUUCCCUCCUACAAAACCAAACAUUUUCAGAUGUUGUUUUUUCAUUUCCUUCCGACGCUAUUAAAUCUCAGUCUUACCUAUGUUGAAAUGGUUCCAGUGUGUGUGUGAUGCAUUGCUUCCCUUAGUUUUCGGAGGAACAUGGUGCUAUUCCUGGUGAUUUUGGUUAUGGAAAAGCUGACAUUAGUCAGGAACUUUCUAAGGUGAUCACUUUAUUGCUCCGUUCUCAUCAUACCGUCUCUACACUGUCUACUGAGUUCAAAAAUCCAUGCUGUACUCUAAUUCUGAAGCUUUGGUUUAUGUGGGAUGUGGCUGAAAGAGGAAAUGAGAUAGCCGAUGUUUAAUGGGUUUCCCCCAAUCGACAAUGACAUUUCCUCACAUGAUGUGAAGAGUGGAGCCGCUUAAAGUAAAUGGCGAGCUCACCAUGGUCGCCUUUCUUACUACAGAUUGGGAGCCGCCGACUACGACCCUAUGACCCAUGGUGUGUAGAUGAUACACUGGUGAGGCAUUCAAGGGACAAACAGGAGCUCACGAUUUUCAGGGAUGAGGAGGAGCUUGCAAUUUCCAGGCUUGGCCUGCCCGACCUGCCGACGCAUGUGGAAGACUAGGAGUCUGGUGUUUUCUCUGCAGCGAAGCACAAAUGUCCCCGGGUGCAACUCACGGGCUCUUUUGCUUUUACACACUUCAUUUUGUAAUUUUAGUGUUCGACUAAUAGUACAUCUGUUGGAACAAGUGCAAAGGCAACAUCAUCUUCCAGCAAAAAAUUUCCCCUGCGUUGAGCGCUUCAGAGAUGCACUAGGUGGGUAAAACAUCGACAGUUUUGAGAACGUCAAGCAAUAUUUACUACUAUUAUGUUGUAUUAACAAAUUUAGUAUCAAGUUGAAUGAUAUAAGGAAAGUAAACAGAGAUGCUGAUGAGCUUAAUUAAUUCAAAAAAUUGUUCUUGAUUUUUAUUUCUAGAAGAAAUAUUUGAUUCAUUGUUGUGAAUUUUCCAGGAGAGAGCAGGUUCUGGUGGACAAAGAGGUGAUAAGCGAUGAACUCUUCCAGUAUAAAUGUUGAUGGUCCUAAUUCCUUUAUAAUUUAUUUCUUGAUCACUUUAAGUUACAAAACAUCUCUGUGACUUUUCGUGUUCUGUGAUAAUAUAUUUGAUUAUAGCCACAGACUAUGCAAAAUGAUUAUUUAUGUUCCUAAUUUAUCUUCAUCUUUCAUGGUGGUAGGGAAACAUCGCCGUUAGUUCACACGAGCUAGGACUUCACAAAAUUUGUCAAUAGCAUUGAUCAGGAUAUAAUUUUUCUUAUUCCUUUCUAUUUUUAGACAAGAAAGAACCAUAGAGAAUCUCAAUCCUUAUACUGUAGCAGUACCUGCAGUAGAGCAAGCCAUUGUCACAAAUUUAACAGAAGAUGGAAAAGAAUGGUUGCUUUUGUUGCAGGUUACUCCAAGAAGUGCAUUGUCAAACUAGAUGUUGUAUAUUAUCCAUCCAUCAUCUGGAUGCUUGUGUGUCCUGCGACAAAUCUGAGCUUAAUCAGGAUAAUCUGAUUAGUGUAUCACAAGUCUGCUUUUUCUAAUUGUACCAAUUCUGUACUUAUUUUAGCGUUUUACAUAAUGUGUAGAUUUUUCAGAACAAAAAGAAGUGAAUCCAUAUAACCUGAUUUUGCUAUAUUAUUUAGUUCAAAAUGACUUUGUAAAUCCCAGUUUCUCCAGUAUUGCAACUCUGCGUCAAAUUGUCCAAUUAAACUGAUAUUUCUAUUUGGACAACUAUAAUUUGUAAUAUCAUGAUUUUCCUUUCUAGAAACCACUUCAACUAGGCUAGGGCUAUGUCUAUUAGUCCUCCUCCAGUAUUUGUUGAAAUGAGAUAACACAUGUUUCUUCAAGUGUCUACACACUACAUGUAGUAAGUUUCUUAUAGAAGUAGUGAAACCUGGAUACCAAUUUAUUGGAACAUUAUAUUUCUUAUAGAAGUAGUCAAACAAGGAUAUCAAUUUAUUGGAACCAUCAAGAGGGCGACACUCCUGGAGGGUAUAUAUUCUCGCUCUUAUGCCUAUUUGAAAUAGCUUGUAGGUCUGUACUUUGCCACCCAUAUGGUAGUACUCAACUGUUGCAAGGAUGGAGCAGGAAAGUGUGCUAAACCUUCUAAUAUGGAUACUACACUUUUAUGAGCCACGGGCCACUAUUGUUUAUCAUAUGGAUUGUAGAUGUAGUGGUAAUGUACCACCUUUUUUUUUGCUAUUCCCUGUAAGAGGCAGUGAAAAAAUAGAAUAAAAAGGUUCAUUAGAGAAAUAAUAGAAUUGGCGAUUGAAUAUCCAAUGUCUAUGAUUUUAUAUCUAUGUGGGAGAUUGACGUAUGAUUACGUGCAAAGUAUACAAGUGAAAAACAUUAUUAUUUAUUUAGAUGAGCUAUUACCAGAAUUUUUUGUCACAGAUGGAGGGAUCCCAAAUCUUCAUUAUCAUUAUCGGAAACAUGACUCUAGGCCCUAAAGGAACAAGAAAAAUACAUAACAAGUCCCUCGACUUUUACAAAAAAGAGCUCAAACUGAGAAAAAACAUGAUCGUGUCCUUGCGUCUCGUUGUUUCCGUGGAUGAGCCACUUAGGACAAUGAGGUUGCUGUGGGUAGGCCAUACAUAGUCCCGAAUAGUAGAAACACAAGGCCGCCUUACAGCCUGAAGAGUCAUCGGAGACGAGGCCAAAUGUUGGGCACAAGCUGGGCCAAAUUUUCUUACCCCGUUGCAACACAGCCUUUUUUGCUAGUAAUACUAAAAAGGGCGUCUGCCCGUCCGCCGUCGUUGUUGAUUUUUUUUUAGAAAAACUUUUAACCCGGGCACGGCGGCGGGAACCUAGCCUCCUCCAACGCGCGCCAGGACACGCCGUCGGUGGCGUCGAUAAGCGGCCCCACGCGCUCCACGCCCAGUAGGUCGCCGAACGCCGUGCAGGAGCUCACGGGACAGGCAGGGGUAAGGGCCCCACGCAAUGGAUCUCAACUUCUCUUCCACAUGUGUGUCUUCCGUCCAUGGGCUCCCCUAGAUCUCAGGCUUCCAAUCUUUCUUCUUGAAUUGCAGUAGAGAUUGUGGCAUUCAGACCGGUGCUACCGACAAACUCCAUUAAUCCAGCUCUACUUCGUCCAGCGCCGGCUGUUUUGUGUGAACGUGUCUUGCUUAUUUGCCGGUUCACACGCUUCCAGCAGCAACGUCAUGAGAUUAAUUUGUAAGAUAUUUUCCAUGACUUUGCAGGUUCAUAGGAAAGGUGUUGCACUUGAUAGAUCAGUAGAUUUGUCAAAGUUUAGUGACGAUGAUGCAAACCAAAGCUGAGCUCGACGAGAUGUUUGGAUUUGACAGUAAAUUGAUGUCUUCCAACAGAGAUUGGCAGAUGGUGUAUACAGAUAAUCAGGGUGACCUGAUUCUGGACUUUCAAUUGUAGUUCAAAUUGGCAGAUGGUGUAUACAUUCAACUGUUCGCCUUGCUGUUUGUGCUCCACUCUUAACUGCAACCGUCUGACCCUGCUUCACUUGAGGUAUGUACUAUAGUUUCAGAAGAUGAAUAAUACCCAAUGCAUUGCUUCUCUGUUUCUCAAAUGUACUAUAAUUUAAUAUGCAAUCUGCAGUGUUGCACCACCCGAACAUUACAUGUAAUAAUGUUUAUACUUUCUGUAGAAGUUCCAAUAAAACUUCUCUUGAGAAGCUAGCACAUAAGGCAGUCAUAUUAGGUUUCAGACAUAGACAAUGCAGCUGGGAAUAUCAAUCAUAUAUUGGGUUUUAGACAUAAGCAAUGCAGCUAUGUAUAAAUAUAAAGGUAGAAUUGACUUGAAGUUGUUUCUUUGGCUGAGGUAGGAAGUAGGAAACGCGCAGCUUGAACUAGAGCAGAAAAACAUACUGAAAUUUUGUUGCAUCUUAGUACAUGCCCAGAGGUAUACCGCAUAUGUAGCAGGUGUACUAAAAUUUUGUUGCAUCUUAGUACAUGCCCAGAGGCAUACCGCAUAUGUAGCAGGUGGGGUUGUGUUGUUUCUUCUAUUUUCUUUUACACAGUCUAUUGACUGGUAGGAGGAUGAGAUGGAAGUUACCAAGUCACAAGCUUUCAAAGCAUACUUUUUUUUCUUCAGUAUUUAGGCAAUUACUCAAUUUUGAGGAGUUAUCCAUUCAAAAUCAAUGAAUAAGCUUGUUUCCCUCUUCAUAUCCCUUAUUCAUUGCAUCAUUUUCAAAAUAUUUACAGUCCUUUCACUGAAAUUAUCUCAAAGUGAAGACCAAGGACUCUGGGUGCAUACACAUGUUUUUAUUGUACCUAAUCUGUACCACUCACUGUGAGCUUUUUGUAAACUAUAGGAUAUCAUAGCCUGCUCUGCUAAACUGUAGGGGGAUUGGCAUAGCUUACUGCUAUUGUUGAACUGAAUUAGCAAAUAUAUGUUGCUUUUUAUUAGGAAAGUGAAAAAGAAACCAUUUGAUGUUGGGCCUAUCCUUGAGGUAGUGACAAUUCUUUUAAUAAGCGUCAGAUAUUUUGUGAUGAGAGAAUUUGGAGAGUACUUAAUAGGUUUGAGGCACUAUUUUCAUUUGCUAUGUUGGGCAACCAUGAAAAAGUUGGGAUUGCAGUAAUCAAGCUAAAUCCAUUCAAGUGUGUUAACUGUUAUGCAUAUCAAUUUACAGUGUACAGGCACCAUUAGGUUUGGUCCUGUUUCUUCCUCUCAAGUUGGGUUUGGUGCUGUUUGUGUCCUUUACCAAAUAUGAAGUCUUUGGAGCUUGCCAGGACACACAUUUUGUAUGGCUGAUUAUAAGAGGUGAUUGUGUGGAUUGAGCUUUCAUGUUUCUGGUUGGCCUUGUGCAACUCAAUCCAAAACAAAUGUAAGACGGUAAUUGUGAAUAUUGUUAGUACUACAUGCCGGGUCAUGUGUUGUGCAAUUAAGGUUUUAUACUGGAAAUAAAGAAUAUUGUGUGCUGUUGACCCAUUGUGUCGUAAAAUAUAUAACCAUAGUAACCCAGGAUUUGCAACAUAUUACAGCAAUAUAAAGGUUUGCCUUCAUAUAGAGACCGUAUGCCAUGUGUGGUCAACUACCUCAUUUCAUGUUUACAUGUUCCGGCACUUAGUUGUUCAUGACUUGCUAUAAUAGAAAAGGCACUCGGUCCUCCAAGCCUCCUCCCUAUCCGACCAUAAUUCUCCGAAACAAGCACAUCAGGUGAAGGCGUCAUCGCUUCUUGACCAUGUAUGUACAUGGUCCAAACAAUGACCCGUAGCAACGCACGGGCACAUUUACUAGUUAUAUAUAAUAGAUUCUCAUAUAGCAAUAUUUAAGUAUAGCAUAAUUUUCAAGUAUGUAAACAACAUCAUCAUAAUUUUCACACUUUUCAAACAAAGAUUCAAUUUCAUAAGCACCCUUAAAAGCAACAAAUUAUUCUAUUUGUUCCACAUCAUAGUAAUCAUAUAUACCAUUAGCAUAAGAAGCCAAGGUUUCAUUAUCACUAAAUUCACAUGAAAAGGGAAGGUGUGGAGCCUUCAUCCUAGAGCAACAAGUAUAAUCAUAUCUCAAGCAUAAAUUCCAUGCAUACCAAUGCAACAUAUGAAUUUGAUCCCAUAAUAGUUUCCCUUUUUGAGUCAAGCGAUAAUCCCUAAAGUUUGCACGUUGAUCCAACGUGGCUCCCAUUAUCAGGUUGAAUGGGGUUUUCUCAAGAUUAUCAAAGUAGUGUUUAAUAUUUUCCACAUAAUGAGCAUCGAGGGUUUUAGGAGGUUCUCCAUCUCCAUGAGUAGCAAGUACACCUAAUUUUUUUGGUAUUUCAUGUUCCAUAUCCAUAACUAAAGAUAGAGAACAACUUAGAACAGAAAAUAAAAACUAUUUAGUGAUAAAGCCAACAAGCACACAUGAGAAUAUUCACCCCACGCUAUUGCUCCCCGGCAACGGCGCCAGAAAAAAGGUCUUGGUAACCCACAAGUAUAGGUGAUCAAUUGUAGCCUUUCUCGAUAAGUAAGAGUGUCGAACCCAACGAGGAUCUAAAGGUAGAACUUAUAUUCCCUCAAGUUCUAUCGACCACCGAUAUAACUCUACGCACACUUAACGUUCGCUUUACCUAGAACAAGUAUGAAACUAGAAGUACUUUGUAGGUGUAAAGGGAUAGAUUUGCAAGAUAAUAAAGAACACGUAAAUAAAAGCUAGGGGUUGUUUAGAUAAAGAAACAACUAAGUUAGUUUUAGUAGAGAGCUUUUUGUCACAAGAAAGUUAUUUAUCCCUAGGCAAUCGAUAACUAGGUCGGUAAUCAUUAUUGCAAUUUUAUAUGAGGGAGAGGCAUAAGCUCAGGGGCGGAGACAGGGAGCNNNNNNNNNNNNNNNNNNNNNNNNNNNNNNNNNNNNNNNNNNNNNNNNNNNNNNNNNNNNNNNNNNNNNNNNNNNNNNNNNNNNNNNNNNNNNNNNNNNNNNNNNNNNNNNNNNNNNNNNNNNNNNNNNNNNNNNNNNNNNNNNNNNNNNNNNNNNNNNNNNNNNNNNNNNNNNNNNNNNNNNNNNNNNNNNNNNNNNNNNNNNNNNNNNNNNNNNNNNNNNNNNNNNNNNNNNNNNNNNNNNNNNNNNNNNNNNNNNNNNNNNNNNNNNNNNNNNNNNNNNNNNNNNNNNNNNNNNNNNNNNNNNNNNNNNNNNNNNNNNNNNNNNNNNNNNNNNNNNNNNNNNNNNNNNNNNNNNNNNNNNNNNNNNNNNNNNNNNNNNNNNNNNNNNNNNNNNNNNNAAAGAUUGCCCCCCCUAACGAUCUAGUGCAGAUAUUAGCACUAAUACGUAGCAGUAUAUACAAGUAUUCAAGUACUACUUGUCCGUAUAUAGGUUAACUACUACUAAGGCCGAAACUUAUCUGUCUCUGUAAAUGCCGAAGCCCAAAAAGAGCCCAUGCCCACGUUGAUUGCCCAUUAAGCGGUGAACUGUAACUUGCACGAUAAUGAAACCUAGCGUGCGUUGCAACUUGUCUAGAUCGACUCCAUGCCGCCGCCGCCGCUUGCCAUUAUUCGAGGCCACUACUCUGCGUGAUGCCAGCCGCCAGACGCCAAAUAAGGACACCACGGCGAUGCGACGAUGGUGCCCUGCUAGCCAUGGGCGCCGUUGCCCCUGCCUCUGCUAAUCCUGCCGCAAUGUCUACUGCAUCCGAGUCUGUUGAUCUGGUGUUUAUUCUUCAAACACUCAGUUUUAAAGGUAUCAUGUACUUUACACUUUUGUUGAUGGACUGCUGGCUGCACCCUACUCAUCUAAUUAAUUGGUUCACUUUCAUACAAGAGAAUUGAUGAAUUUACUGCAUGUGUUCCUUCUUAUAAUUAAUGAGAGAUCACUUUCUUUGAACCUUUGCAUUGUCGCUAUAUGAAAAGAUUGUUUGUGAGAAAGUACUUCCAAUUAGAUUAUCAAAUUGUGUAGUCAUGGAUAUAAGUUUAUUAAUUGAAACGAAGUUUUAUAAUGCCAAAUAUACAUUUCUAUGUUGUUUAUAUCAAUGUGCUGCACCUUUUAGCACGACUUGCUCCGCACUGUGCAUUUGUCUGCCAUUGUUGUGUGCUCACAUUUGCGAGGAAGUAGAGCAAAGUGGAAAGAGUAGCAUUAGCGUGCAUUGAACCCCUCUUACUUCAGGCCAAUUUAUAGCUAUAUUGUGUGGUUAAGUGCAAAAAAAUCUUCUUCGCCCCCCUAAUGUUCAAAUCCUGGCUCCGCCCCUCAUAAGCUAACAUACUUUCUCUACUUGCAUCAUAUGCACUUACGAUUGGAACUCUAACAAGCAUCCACAACUACUAAAGAUCAUUAAGGUAAAACCCAACCAUAGCAUUAAAGUAUCAAGUCCUCUUUACUCCCAUACGCAAACAACCUACUUACUCGGGUCUGUGCUUCUGUCACUCACGCCACCCACCAUAAGUGAAUCAUGAACAUAUUGCAAACCCUACAGCGGGGAUCCCUCACGCUUGCGCGACAUAGAGAGCACCAUAGGACAGCACCAAUAAUAAAACAUACAACUCAAACCAAUCAUGAUCAUCAAUCAACCCAUAGGACAAAACGGAUCUACUCAAACAUCAUAGGAUAGCCACACAUCAUUGGGAAAUAAUAUAUAGCGUUGAGCACCAUGUUUAAGUAGAGAUUAUAGCAGGGAGAAGGGGUGUUACACUGCUGCAUAGAGGUGGGGAGAGUUGGUGAUGACGGCGGCGAAGUUGUUGGUGUAGAUCGCAGUCACGAUGAUGGCCCCGGCGGCGUUUCGGCGCCACCGGGAGAGAGGGGAGAGAGCCCCCCUCCUUCUUCUUCUUCCUUGACCUCCCCCCCCCCCUAGAUGGGAGGAGGGUUUCCCCUCUGGUCCAUGGCCUCCAUGGCGGCGGAGGGGAGGGAGCUCCUGCGAGAUUUGAUCUCUCUCUUUGCUUCCUUCUGUUUCUGCGUUCCUGUUUUCUGGCAUUUCACCGUAUCUUAAAUUCUCGGAGAUUCGUAACACCGAUUGGGCUGAAAUUAUAACACGAUUUUUAUAUGGAUAUUAUCUUUCUUGCGGCUGAAGAAGGGCACCAACCGCCUUACGGGGUGUCCACAAGCCUCCCAAGCGCGCACAAGGUAGGGGGCGUGCCCCUAGGGCUUGUGGGCCCCUCGGGCAUCGUCUCGCGUUGAUUCUUUUUCCCCAAAAUCACAUAUAUUCCAAAAAAAUCCAUAACUUUUUAUCGCGUUUGGACUCCGUUUGAUAUGGAUAUUCUGCGAAACAAAAAACAUGCAACAAACAGGAACUGACACUGGGCACUGGAUCAAUAUGUUAGUCCCAAAAAUAAUAUAAAAUGUUGCCAAAAGUAUAUGAAACUUGUAGAAUAUUGGCAUGAAACAAUCAAAAAUUAUAGAUACGAUGGAGAUGGAUCAGUAACAGGUCAGUACCAGAUUUGAGCCAGGUCACAAAAACCCACCAGUUCUGAGCCUAAUGUGUAACGGGGAGCACUGACGGGCUGAUUUGGCCGCGAAAACGGCAGGUGGGUCCCACCUGUCGAAUCGAUGCAUAGAUUACCCCAUUGCCACCUCGAGAAUCUGGGAGUUGAGUAUAAAAACAUAUAUCAAGUGAAUCAAUAUGAUACCCCAUUGUCACCAUGGGUAUUCAUAGCAAGACAUACAUCAAGUGCUCUCAAUGCCAUAAAAGUAUUCAAUUCAAUAAUAACGAAAUCUCAAAGGGAAAACUCAAUUCAUCGCAACAAGAUAGACAUGGAGAAACACCAUAUGAUCCAACUAUAUUAACAAAGCUUGUUAUAGAUAAAGACAGAGAGAGAGAGAGAGAGAGGGAGAGAGAGAGAGAGAGAGAUCAAAUACAUAGCUACUAGUACAAACCCUCAGCCCCGAGGGUGGACUACUCCCUCCUCAUCAUGUGGCCGCCGGGAUGAUGAAGAUGGCCUCUGGUGAUGAUUUCCCCCUCCGACGCGAUGCUAGAAAAGGGUCAAGAAUGGUUUUUCGUAGCUACAGAGGCUUGCGUCAGCGGAACUUCUGAUCUAGAGUUAUUUCUGGAGGUUUAUGUAUUUAUAGGAUUUUUGGUGUCGGUCUCACGUCCAAAUGGGCUUCGAGGGGCCCACUACCCACCAGCACACGACCAAGGCCUCUGGCGCGCCCUGGUGGCUAGUGGACACCUCCUUCACCUUCUGGUCCUCCCACGAAUCUUCUAGUGCCUCUUUUGUUCCAAAAAAAUUAUCAAAAAGUUUGUUGCAUUUGGAGAACUUUUAUUUCUGCACAAAAAACAACACCACAGUAGUUCUGCUGAAAACAACAUCAGUCCGGGUUAGUUCCAUUCAAAUCAUACCAAAACCAUAUAGAAUUGUUGUAAACAUGGCAUGACUACUUCAUAAAUUAUAGAUACGUUGGAGACGUAUCAGCCACCAUACCUUAACUCAUGCAAUUAUUUAUACCCAUGCAUAUACUAUCAUCUCUCGACUGGUUCGCAACGCUCACUCUUGCCGCUAACAAAGAAAACAACCCCGCUCACUUGAGAAUGGGCCACUAAGAGUCUAAGACGCAGUUGGGCCACAUGUAGAUUGAGCAAGAACCCAGUGUUGCUGACGAUAUGCACGCAUGGGGUGCAAAUCGCAAGACCAAGAUGCACAUGCUUCACUCCAAAACCUAGCUAGGGUGGCAGCGGCUGGCUAGGAUGCCACGAACUAGCGAACAACAUGACAGUUGACGACAGAUGGGUGCCUCGAGCAAGCAGGUGGUUGGGUGCAACCGUGACUGCCCGAGACCGAUGCUCCAGAUGCCUACCGCUAUUUUUGUUGUGGCCGCAUUAAUUAUUAGGUUGUGGCAUUCAUCAUCGCAUCAUUCGCAUUGCAUCAGCACUGCGUUGCCGUCAUUUUUUCAAAACUUGCAUUCGUCCAUAGUUGCCGCUUGUCUCCAUUGUCUUCGUUUACCGUUCCGAGUCUAACCACACACUUGCACACGCCAGUGACAUCGUUAAAUAAUUAUUUGAAAAUGGGAUUAAAACAUUCUUGUCGGGGGAAACCGACACCUAUGGAAUUACUGGGAUCCCUUCUACGGUUGGCGGGCGCGAGGUUGUGCAAAGAGCGGGUCUGGCGGUCAGCACAAGGAUCGUUUACCCAGGUUCGGGCCGCGAGGAUGCGUAAUAGCCUAGUCCUGCUUUUGUGUGUAUUCGAGUGUUCUUGAGUUCUUGAACUAGCUAUGGGGUGUAACUUGUCCAAAAGAUCCGAAUCCCUCUCCUGGAUGCCUCGGGCCUCCUUUUAUAGACAAAAGGGGUUGCCACAAUGGCACACAGGAGGUGGAAAGGUGUACAGUGGAUGAGUCUAUCCUCUGGCACCGUCGGACAAACGCAUUUAAUGCGCUGCCGACGUGCCCCUCUUGCUUUAUCGGGGACGGCAAGGAAGCUCGUCCCAGCUGUCGCCGCCUCGCCUGGCUCCGACGCGCGUCCCAGCUGAUGAGGCGUUGCAGCGCCACGUUGGCUGGCUGCUGGGCUGGCGUGGUGAUGGAGUCUUCACAAAGAUCUGCAUGCCACCACGCAGGUGCUAGCUGAGUCGGCGUAGAGGUCGCAUGCUGCCACGCAGGUGCCUGCCCAGCUGGUUGAGCUAGCAGCUGCAUGGGAGCGGCGGCGUAGUCUUGGCAGACGUGGGCCUGGCCGCGGCCCCGCUGACGUCCUCGGAAAGGGUCUUGCCGGGGCCCCGACAAGGGUCUUGCCGUGGCACCACGGUCGUCCCCGGCAAGGAUCUUGCCGGGGGUCUCGUGGAUUUCCUCGGCAAGGAUCUUUGCCAAGAAUCGUCAUCUUCUGGUCCUCAUCUGAUCUUGUGUAUUUAUGAUCUUCACAAAGAUCUGCAUGCCACCAUGGAGGCGCCUCCCGAGCCUUGGUUCCAAUGUGGUUGAUGGUGUUGGAACCCUUGGGCUCAAGGGUGGCGCACUCUGCUGGCGUCGGGCAAGUUGCCCCGGCAAGGAUCUUGUCGGGUCUGCGGAGGCCGCCCCGACAAGGGUCUUGCCGGGGGAGUCCACCUCGCCCUCUUGCUCUUUGUGUCUCCGGUCUUGGCGUUGCUUUGAUUGCCUUGUGCUCCGGCUUCCCUCUUCUGCCCUGCUCAGUGUGGCCGCGGGCGUGGCUCUGACUGCCCGUGCACAAGUAAAGGGGUCAAAAGAGUGUGUACUUUUUUACACCGACAAUUCUCAGAACAGGUUGAAAGUUGGCGUGCGGUCUCAAUAUAUAGUUUCGUAUUGUUCUUUUCAACCUUCACUUCAGUCCUAUCAUUUUUAUCAUUUCAGAGUUUCUUCUUGAAGGUUCUUCAUGGUGGUUUGUGAACGAUUUCUUUCAUUCUCAAAGUGCCCUUCAAGAUUCUCCUCGAAGUUAAGAUCUGCCAAGCUAUACUCAAAAAUGAACAUGGUGUUCAACACAUGUUUUGUUUUGAGGAGUUCAAGCAUGUUUCAUCUUCCAUUCAAGUGUGCAAAUCCUUUCUACCUUGUCUUUCGAUCUGGUCUUAUGUCAUUAUUGACAAAUUUCCCUUCGUGUUUCAUGAUUCAUAGGUUGUAAAGAAUGAGAUAUUAAACCCACCAUUUUCUCUUCGUUCUGGAGAUCCUUUCAACCCAUCAAUCUCUUCGUUGGAGUUAUCUUGGGUUGAUCUCACCUAAAGCCUUCCCUAAGGAAUGUUGCUAUUGUGGUGCGUAUUUAUGAUCCAUGUUUUCUCUCUAUCCUCUCGGUGAAAGUUUUGCAUCUCUUUGUUGCUCUCAAGCAUCAUAUUUUUGGCAAAUGGCAGGCUUUAACCUCAAAAUUUUGAAAUGUUUCCAUAAGGCCAUUUGAAGCAUAUCUGUUGCUUGUUGAUUCUUUCACCAAUUUCCUUCAAGUCUUCUUCGCAAGGAUGCUCUUUAAUGUUCUAUUGCGUUAGAAGAUGUUGGUUUCUCCUCCGCUCUUUUCAUCCCAAGUAUCUAACUCAAUUUCUUUUGCUAAGGAAGCAUUGUGUUGGUGCUCUUUCCCAAGUUCCCUCCAUGUUGCCAACUUCAUGUUCUGCCUAUCACUUCUCUUUUAACCAGAGUCACAUACAAUUGCUUCCAUUUUCUCAAGUUCAUGUUCUAUGCCUUUCUUUUCUUCAACUGGAGUGGUUUCAAAUUCUUUCUCAUCCUUGAUGCCAUCUAUUAUCUCUUUGCAACCUCGUCUCACUCAUUUGUCACAGAAGCAACUUUAUUUUACCUCUUUCUCUUCCUCUUCCUCUUCCUAUUCUCAUUCCUAGAUCUCAGGGAGAGAUCUCUUGUAAGUGGGGGAGAGUUGUGAUAGCCCGAGACCGACGCUCCAGAAGCCUCCCGCUAUUUUCGCUGUAGCCGCAUUAAUUAUUUGGUUGUGCUAUUAAUCAUCACAUCAUUUGCAUUGCAUUGGCAUUCCGUUGCCAUCAUUUUUUCAAAACUUGCAUCCGUCCGUACUUGCCACUUCUCUCCGUCGUCUUCAUUGAUCGUUGCGAGUCCAACCACACACUUGCACGUGCCCCAACAUCGUUAAAUAAUUAUUUUCAAAGUGGGAUUAAAAUGUUCUCGGAAUGGGUUGAAAGUUUACGUGUGGUCUUAAUAUUAUGUAGGUAGACCACCUGCCAAAUUUUCUCGCAUUCAAAAGUCGUUUGGUACCCCAACCGUUAAACUAGAGGCACUAUAUGCGGAUAAACAUAGGACGUUUUAAUAAUAAAACGUGUUGCCGGGCUACCCGAUUUCCCUCUCAUCUCGGCCCAACAAAUCUACAUACCCCACCUAAACCUACCCUAACCACCCUCCACUCCAGAGCCUUCCGAUUGUGAUCGGAGGGCUCCAAAAACCCCACAAAACCCUCAACCCUCGCCAUCCCUGCCUAUUUAAGCAACCGCUACCCUACCUAAUUUGCAACCCUACCCCUCUUCCGCAUUUUCCAUGCGCAGCCUCUCCACCGCCGCCACUUGUCCACCUUCUCCAUCCUCCAACCGUCGUGGCCCUGUGAACCCAUCAUGGACCCGCUUGAACCCAUCGGGGCCCGAGCCAGCUCACGCGCCGCCGCCAUUAGUGCUCGCCUCCGUUGCUCACGCCCGAGCUCCCCUCACCAUGCCGCCUGCUCACCCUCGCGCGAGAUCUCCUGUCGACCGAUGAGCUGCCAGAGACCGCAACCGGAACAGGCCGACCUCGCCGCCUCCUCUCCUUUCUCCUCCAUCUCUCUCCCUUUCCACUCUAACCCUCUCUCUAUUGCAGUCAUGGAUAGGCGUCAUGGACGCCGCCCAAGCUCGGAGCUCAUGCCGCCACCUUGCCUCGCUGCCGCCUCGGGCCAGAUCCGGCAGCCAUGGCCCCUCCUGCGGCCGGAUCCGGCCCGAUCUGCCCACCUGCGCCGCUCCCCUACUGUUUGUCGACCUCGCCGCCGCGCCGAACCGUCGCCAUGGCCUCUGCUUCUCCCGCCGGUACGCCCUCAUCCCAGGAUCCACCAAACCUUGCAACCAAAGAACAUCUGGAACCGCUCCAUCCUAGUUUUCCCGCGAGGUCGAAUUUUUGCUUGUCCUCAGAUUUUUCACAUCGGAUUGCAUUUUGUGAUGAUGGUAACUUUGUGCAUGUUUGUCCGAUGGAAAUGAUCUUUCUAUGAAAAGUGAUCUACUCUUUGUGGGCUUAAUGAUGGUUGUAUUUUCAUCCUUCAUAGGAUUCAUCUACAUGUUGUAAUCUCUGUUGCAAAAGUGCAUCAUGUCGUAAUCUACAUAAAAUUGUUAAAACAUUCAAACUUACGUUGAUCCUUGCCACCAAUCCAUAACUCAUAUGCAUAUGAUUCCUUAAGGUGUUUUGCACUACGCAAUGUUUAUUUUAAUGCGAUGCCCAUGGAUGCCAUGUCAAGUUUCUUUAGCAUGUCUAUUUCUUCCUCUUAAGUGGCUAUCAUGGUAUAAAUACAUUCCUAUUAACAGAAAGUUCCAUUUUGUAAAAAUCAUAGUAAUUAAUAAAUGCAUCCUAUGAAUUUGUGCCUAUGAAGUAAAAUGAACAUUGCAAUGUAUAAUGCAUGUACAUAUAUUAUUCAUAAAUAUUGAAAUUGGUUUACUUAAUGUUUAGUGCAUCUCAAUUCAGCAUCAUAAUUUUACUGUUUUGCAAAUCCCAGAUUUUCCCGAAGUCCCUAGUACUUAGGAUAACAUUGCAUUUUGCAUAAAUCAUAUUAAAUUAAACAUGAUGCCUAUGAACCUAAACCUUAUAUGAAAAUUGUAGCAUGUUCAAGCAACUAUAAAUGCAGAUCCUUUUCAUAUGUUUUAACAACAUGCAUAUUGAUGUUCCGUUGCUCCCAAGUAGGCAUCUUGCUGUUUUGGCAGAUUACAAUCAACACAAGUUGUUCAGGUACGUGAUAGAUUAUGUUAUAUGUAGACAGUUUGCUUGAUAAUUUGUUCAUGUAAACAUACAUGCAUCUAAAAUUGUAAUUGUUUCAUUCUAGGCAGUGUGUUUGGUUACAAAUAUGGGAACACAUUUGAUUAACUAAAGAAAUGAUGGUUGGGAUCCACUCUUUUAAGAUGCCAAAGCCUUUUGCAAAAAAAUGGCAUUCAGAUCCUAAAUAUGGAUGCCAUCUUUAUUAAAUGGGGGAAAUUCUAGAAAAGGUGGGACAAACAAUGUCACUAUUGAUCAUUUUUUCCAUGUGGUCAUCUUCUAUGAUGUUAUAGACACCAUCGCCACAAAGGUUGAUCAUCAUUUUAAUGAGGUAUCUUCAAAGUUGCUCUGGAACUUCUCUUGUCUUGACCAUAGAGACUCCUUUUCUAGGUUCAAUGUGAAAAAGCCUGAGACUCACAUAGAAUUAUCAAGAGUAUUUCUCUUAGUAUGAACGUGAACCUAUAGAAGAUAACCUUGAGCUAUUCAUUAUUCAUACGAGAAGAAUUGAAAACAUGUCAUGAUAUUGCAAGCUUGGCUAGAAAGAUAGUUGAACUUGAAUGAUACAACAUGUUUCCUAUGAUUUAUCUCCUCAUUGAGUUGGCAUUGCUAGUACCAGUAGUGACGAAAACAAUUGCAAGAGCCUUCUCAGCAACGAAAAUCCUUAAGACCGAGUUGAGCAACAUGAUGUUCGGUGGUUGGCUUAGCUAUUCGGUGGUGUGUUACAUUGAGCGAGGAGGGAUAUUCAAAAGUCUUCAUCGUGGUAAAUUAAGAAAGAUUUUCAAAAAGAUGGUAGGGCAUUACCAUUGCUUGGGUCUUCUAGACAUCAUUGAAAGUUUCAUUAUCGGUAUGUUUUCGAUUAACGAGUAAAAUUUCUCGCUGUGUUGCGUUAGUGGGAUUUGAUUUGCCUCGUCGAGAAUAGCUAUGUUUUGAACAUGAUUGAGAUUUAUCAUAUUUGGUGAGAACUGCUAAAAACGGGAUGAUUUAUAUGCAUGUUUAUGAAUCUCGGAGGAUUAUAAACAAAAUCUAACACUAGUGUUUGAUAUUUUUAAUAGCUAGAUACAUAUUUUUUUAGUUGUUUGGAUUUACAUCUUUGAGGUUAGCUAUAGUUGUUUUUUUAGCAAAAGCCAUAGUUGGUAAAAUUUAUAAGAAUAAUAUCCCAAAUCAAGGGUAAUUAUUUUGGUAUUGAUUAACAACUAUACAUGGGCCAAAAAAGUACAAUGGUGGUCUACACGCGUCAUGUCCAUCUAUAUGAAAAUGAACCCUCAAAAAAUCUCUUUUCUUUUGACAAAAAUAAUCAAUUUAUGAUGUAGCAGUAAUUUGACAACUAAAAAAUGACCCUGGUCAACAAAAAAUGGUCGGGUUUCCGUGGUGCCUGUCAUGAUUUUAAGAUCAACGGUCCAUGCAUGUUGUCAUGAUCCAAUAUUAAUUUAUCGCUAAGAUCUUUGGAGAUUUUCUCUUGUCUAUAGUCACUACUAAUUAUAGGGAUUAAUAAUAUCUAUCUUUAGAGUUGUCGAUGCUCUUUUUAUACUCUAACCUCACAGAUUUCGUUUCAUAUCCUAUCCUUACGAGUUUUCCUCGCCUUCGUUGAUCUUAACUAGCAAAUCCUAGCCUUAGACACAAGUGGGUAAUAUUUGUCAAGUCGAGUGACACCACGGAGACCAUGGAUGUCAAGUACCACAACGGCUUCCUCAAGAAGGUGAGGCAGGUGGCCGUUGUGCCGGCAGUGGAAGGGGUGAAGUACAAGGAGUGCGACAGGAAUCAUGCGCUGACUAGUGGUGGGCACGUCGUGGACGGCUGCAGGGAGUGAAUGCCGUUGGGGGACCUCAACCCCGCUGACGCGUCGUUAUACAAGUGCACGACAUGCGGAUGACACCACAACUUCCACCGCAAGGUGAUGACGGAGAGGUCGCCGCCGUUGUCGCCCAUGGCAAGAACCGUCAUAGUAGUUGAGCCUAACUGCAAAAAACGCUAACAUAAAAAAACUUGUCAUGGUAGCUGAAAAAUGUCCCAUGGUAGACGAAAAACGUCUAACACUGGUGUGUGACGCUGGUGGGAGGAGACGGGAAGGUCCAACAGCGGAGGAGAAUGCAUCGGAGGCGUUGUGGCCGUUGGGUUAGUUGCGCUUAUUGUUGUGCCUCCAGUUCCUAAAGACGUCCUUACUGAUGCCAAUGUCAUGGCACCUCGCUUUGAUGAUGUCCUUAUCGCGCUUCUGCAGGCGCCACCCUAGGUGCUUCGACAGCUCCUGCAUCCGCAUCUUCUGGUAGGUAGUGAACAUGGUGUAGGACCACUUCCUCGCCGACAUAACCACAUGGGGCGGUGGCGCCGUCGCCGGCAAGAGCUGGGCGGGGAGCCUCUGGAUCUGCAGUGCCCCCAGCGGGCGGCUGUGUCAUGGAGAAGAGAUGUACGCAGGCAGCUGCUAUGCCAUCGAUGUCGGAGGAUACACAGGUGGAGGCUGAUGUGGUGGGGAGACGAAGCUCGUCGUCGUACUCCGUGGCAUCCGAGUCAUAUUCCGUGCCAUCCGAGUCGGUGUCAGAGUCGGCAACCGGGAGCCAGUCCUCCGGUGUCUGCUCCUCCCCGCGCUACGGCUGGCCAUGGAGUACGAUUGCAGCCAUGGGCGGUAGCAGCAGCGACCUCUCCAUCAUCAUCUCGUGGUGCAAGUUGUAGUGGCCGCCACAAGCCGCCCACUUGUAUGACGAUGCAUCGGUGGGGUUCAGGUCCCCCAACGGCAUCCACUCCCCGCAGCCGUCCACGACUUGCCCACUGGUAGCCAGCGCGUGGUUCCUACUACACUCCUUGUACUUCACCCCUUCCACCGCCAAUGCCACGAUCGCCUGCCUCACCUUCUUGACGAAGCCCUUAGGGUACUUGAUGUCCAUGGCCCCCCUGGUGUCACUCGGCUUCACAAAGAUUACCCACUAGUGUCUAAGGCUUGGAUUUACUAGUUAGGAUCAACGAAGGCGAGGAAAACUCGUAAGGAUAGGAUGCGAAACGAAGUCUGUGAGUUUAGGGUAUAAAAAGAGCAACAAUGACUCUAACGAGAGAUGUUAUUAAUCCAUGUAAUUAGUAGUGACUAUAGAAAAGAGAAAAUCUCGAAAGAUCGUAGUGAUAAAUUAAUAUUGGAUCAUGACAACAUGCAUGGACCGCUGAUCAUAAAAUCAAGACAGGCACCAUAGAAACCUAACCAUUUUUUGUUUGACCUUGCUCAUUUAUUAGUUCUCAAAUUACUCCUACAUUGUCAAUAGAUUUUUUUGUCAAAAAUAGCUUUUUGCAGGGGUCUUCAUCACAUAGAUGGACAGGACGCGUGUAGACCACCAUUGUACAUUUUUUGCCCAUGUAUAGUUGUUAAUCAAUACAAAAUAUAAUUACCCUGGAUUUGAGAUGUUAUCCUAUAUAACAAUCACCCCCACUAAUCUAUUUAUCUUGACAUGCAGCAUAUCGGCCUCAACAUGUAUGCCCCACAUGUGCCACCUUCUGCCACGUCAGCGACUCUUUACAUGCAGCGUUCAGUUACCAAUGUGCAGAACAGACUGUCCACCUGCCUUCUCUCCGUUUCCACUUUCCAGCCAUAAAUCGUUGAUGCCUCUCUCCCUCCCUCGGAAAUAAACACAAACCGAUCGGCCUCUCUCCCCCAGAAAAAUUGACGCCAGUUUUCUCCUUGGCUACAGGUGCACCAGGUCUGCAGGUGGGAGCCGAUCUGUGCAUCAAGGGUCCUCCCAUGGCACGUCCGUUGGUGCUGCUCGCCUCCGCGGUUCUCUAAAAUUCUCUAUGGUAUUACCCCCCUUGGCCCUUGCAGGUUUGGUGCCAUAUGUGCCCUAGUCCUCCCCUCCCGCGUGUGUCUCUAUUCAGGCUAAGACAGCUUCGGCGUCGUUGGGGAGGUCAGUACCGGCCGGUUCCAAUAGAAUCGGACCGGCUAUAGGUGAGUUUCCAAUCUGAAGAUCGCUUUCUUUUCAUCCUGUAAAGAACGAAUUGGACGACGCCGGACAGAGCCUCACCCAUGGCGUGGAGGGGUUAUUAAUACAUAUAUUUGCCUUGAACGAACGCCCAGUGUACCCGAGUCCAAUCAGGUCACCACGCCAUCAAAUUUUCAAUAUUUUUCCUUCUCAUGCUAGAGGGAACGCAUUGGUGUGACGAGGCAGGGCCUCAGCCAUGGCGUUGAGGUUUUUCUUUUGGCUUGGAAGGAACGCCCAGUGUGCAGGAGUCCUUUCAUCUAAAUUUAGAAGUUUGAUGUUUCUAACAGUAUGCAAGUUUGUAAAUUGCUCCAUUGAACAGAUUAGUAUACAAAGUGCUCUUCCCAUCAGGUUAUUCUCAGCCAUGGUGUGGAUAUUUUUAUUUUGGCCUAGAAGGAACGCCCAGUGUACAUGUGUCCUUUCCUGUGAAUUUAAAACUAUGAUAUUUCUAUUAGUAUACAAGUUUGUACAUUGCUCCAUUGAGCAGGUCAGUAUACAGAGUGCUCUUCCCAUCAGCUUAUUAUAUAUGUAAGCGCUACAAUUUCAAUCCAUCAUUCGGUAUGCCUU
This 109506-nucleotide long non-coding RNA is filed under the name Triticum aestivum (bread wheat). Its description in RNAcentral is "long non-coding RNA (TAES_LNC013845)". The record is from RNAcentral. Lineage: Eukaryota; Viridiplantae; Streptophyta; Magnoliopsida; Poales; Poaceae.